This 90940-nucleotide long non-coding RNA is filed under the name Brachypodium distachyon (stiff brome). Its description in RNAcentral is "long non-coding RNA (BDIS_LNC004779)". The stretch from base 58819 to 58954 matches the Rfam family "MIR1120/MIR1122 microRNA precursor family". The record is from RNAcentral. Lineage: Eukaryota; Viridiplantae; Streptophyta; Magnoliopsida; Poales; Poaceae.
UUUUUGUUUUUGUAUGACACACACUUGUGCUAUGUUUAAAAAAUAUAAUGGAUAUGUGCAUUAGUCGAUGGAGAUGGCUCACACCAGGGAUAUCUUUCUCUUCUAAAAAAGAUUGACACUUCCAUGAACAAUAGCUGUUAAUAGGACUGUGGAUGUAUUUAAUUUUGUUUUACUAUUCUCAUUCGAACAACAGUGUUUUUAUGCUGGUUGGUGGCGCUUCACUGCCCUCGGACUUGUUCAUUUGCCAGAACCAGUGGGUCAUGCUCUCUUGGGUAGUGGCUUCUUUUUCGUCUGCCUGCUAUGCCCGCCACCGCUGCACCCCCUUUAUUAGCAUCCACCAGCUGAGACAACUCAACAAACAGAGCAGGGGUUUCAUCGGCAGGAACCUGCAAGCAGUGAGAGAGGAAGACGGAGGGAAGGAGGAGAUGGGCAGCUCAUCGGGGCUCGUCGACUGGAGGGGGAGGCCGAUUAACAGCAAGAAGCAUGGAGGAGUAAGAGCUUCAAUCUUUAUCCACGGUAAGUAACACUCUCUGGAUGACUUGAUUCUUUUGAUCGAGUUCCGAUCCUUUGCUUUGCUCACUUAAGCUGUCUUCGCCCAGCCCACUAGUCAACAAUGAUACACUUAUCCUCACAAAAAUUUAAAACAGUGAUACGCUUCAACUGUGUAUGUUGAGUUGUUGACUUGCUGAGCUAUAGGUUAGGAUGCAAAUAGAAUCUGCUUAUAUCCCGUUUCUAAAUCAUUCUCCAAAUACAAUGUUUAAUCUUGGCUUGUGGACUUUGAGAUUGACAUAAAAGCCAGAUCCUACUUACAUCUCUAUAAGAUAUGUUUUAGUGUGAGAACACUUCGUAAGUAUACUUGGUAAAUAAGUACAUAGAUGCACAUUUGACUGACAUACAUGAAAACAACCGAUUUGGAUUUUUGUUGCACCCUUUUUCUUGUGCUAGAUAGCUACACUCUCACCUCACUCCCUCUUGUUUCAAUUAGGUGAAUCCCAACAAAUAAAAAUAAUAUACCCACCAUAAAAGCUUAAUCUUUUCUGCUGUGCUUCACUGCAGCUCUGGUGCUGCUUAGCAACGCUGCCAACAUAGCCAACAUCAUGAACCUGGUGACCUACCUCCGUGGCACCAUGCACAUGGGGGUUGCGGAGGCCUCAACGACGGCGAGCAACUUCUUCGCCGCGCUGCAGAUGUUCUCCAUCCCCGCCGCCUUCCUCGCCGACUCCUACAUCAAGCGCGUCUACGCCGUCCUCAUCUUUGGACCUAUAGAGAUCCUGGUAACAUAUCACCAUUCCAUAUUAUAAGGAAGAUGUGUUUUCAUGUUAUGUUAAUUAGCUAGUUAAUUAUCUUUGUAACGGGCAUUUCUUGAAAGGAAUGGAAUCUCCCUGGUGGGUAGCCCCAUAGAGUUGCUGCUUUCAUCAAACUACUCAACCAAAAAUUAGACUUUGUUGGGCUUGAAUGGGAAAGGUGGCCUAGGUGCCAUCGCGUACGUCAGCAGGGGCGACGCUGACGGGUUGACCAAUUGCAGGGGUAGUAGGUGGGACAUAGUGUGGGAGUUGAUAAUGUAGGAGUACUGCUCUGCUACUCCACUGCCUUGCUGUGUGAAACAAAACACUCAAAGAUGUUCUCUAGAAGCCUUGGGGGUGCUGCUGCUUUUGAUCGCAACAUUUCAGCUCAACGCUCUAGUUUCACUUUCAAGUUGGUUCCAGUCACAUCACUUUACCAAUAGACAGGCUUGAUCACUCAUAAUUGAUUGCUCAUUAGGUUACAAAUAUCCUUGAUGGAUGAAUAAGACAAGAUAUUGUUGAAAGCCGUGAAAGCUAAAAACAACUUAGAGCAAGCAAUUACCAUUUGGAUGGUCGUUUUCUACCCCUAAUAAAAACACAAACAACCCAAGUGCUUUCAAUUCAAGCAACCCCUCCUGUAAGGCUGUAAAUAUGCACUUCUCCUCCUAAUCGAAUGGCAAACGACUGCCUUUUCUUCAAAAAAAAAAAAAAAUCAAGCAACCUGAUGAAAGGACCCCCGCAGCCGCUCCUUCCCGCUCUGCUCCGUCGUCGGCCACCAUACUCUAGACGCCACUGUCUUCCGCUUUGUGCUUUUAUUUUUAGAUUCACAGGCUUUUCGCCCGGUUCAAUUUAACAAUGAAACCAUGUUCACAGGAAUAGCGCAAGUAGGAUUAUCACAGAACUGAAAGCCUACAUGGUCUAACCAGCCUGUAGAAGUAAAGGACAGCACAGCUUACAAGCUGAAAAAUUUCUGGCAACCAGAACAGGUAAAGGCACCUAAGCAGAGAAACCAAUAUGGAUGCAGCCUGGGGAUUUCUCUCGCUUUGGCGUCCAUCAACAUGAUGCAGAGAUCCAGGAAUCUGUAUGUUCUUCUUGGGGGCAAAGAGGUUGCCAACGCUUGAAUAAACUCAGCAGCCUGCAAGUUAUGUUUGAAUCUAAAUUUGAAAAUCAUGGAUCUUGAACUUCCGUUGGAUAACGCAAUGAUGAUGCAAAUGAGCAAACGUACCGUAAAGCAAGUCUGAAUGUCUGAUGAAGAUGGCUUUAAAUCUGCAGGGCUAUAUCCUGCUAGCAGUCCAAGCGCACAUCCCAAUGCUGCACCCGCCGCCGUGCAGCCAGACCGGCGCCACCGCCACCUGCGAGCCAGUCCAUGGGUCUAACCUGAGCCUGCUCCUCCUGGGCCUCUACCUGAUCCCCAUCGGUGACGGCGCCGCACGGGCCUGCCUGCCGGCGCUGGGCGGCGACCAGUUCGACACGGCCGACCCCGCGGAGCAGAGGCAGGAGACAAGCUUCUUCAACUGGUACACCUUCGCCGUCUCCUCCGGCGGCUUCCUCGGGCUUGUGCUCAUCGUCUGGGUCCAGAACAGGCAAGGAUGGGACAUCGGUUUCGCCCUCUGUGCUCUCUGCGUCCUGCUCGGGAUGCUCAUCUGGAUUGCCGGGUUCCCAUUCUACCGCAAUCAGCUCCCUGGUGGAAGUGCCAUCACCAGAAUGCUUCAGGUAUGUAUGCUUGUUUAUCAAGCCAGACUAGAAAUUUUGCGAAGAAUUGAGUAAGUUGUUUUCAACAGGUUCUCGUGGUGGCAUUCAAGAAAAGGAAUGUUGAGUUACCCAAGGACACAAGUGAACUGAAACAGAUGAACCAAGAUGACAGCAAUAAUGGGCUUGAAAAGCUGGAAAGAACAGUGGGCUUUCAGUAAGUAGAAAAAUCUAAGAAUUCUACAGCCCCACUAAAAUUGGAGUACCUUAAUUUCUGCUCUGUGAAUUUCCUUUCAGGUGCCUUGAGAAAUCUGCCAUAGACACUGGAGAGACGGGGCCAUGGUCGCUGUGCACGGUGACCCAGGUGGAGGAGACCAAGAUCGUGCUCCGCAUGGUGCCCAUAUUCCUCAGUGCCAUCCUCGGCUACAUCCCAGUGCCACUGAUCCUCAACUUCACAGUGCAGCAAGGGAACACCAUGGACACCAAGCUCGGCGCCAUCCACAUCUCCCCUGCCACGCUCUUCCUCAUCCCAACUGUCUUCCAGAUGGUCAUCCUGGUCCUCUACGACCGCUUCAUCGUCCCUUUCCUGCGCAGGAUCACCGGAUACGUUGGUGGCGUCACGCACCUCCAGCGCAUCGGCAUCGGGUUCCUCUCGGCCACCCUCGCCACCGGCGUCGCCGCCCUUGUUGAGACCAAGAGGAAGAGGGUCGCAGAGGAGAAUGGUCUCAUGGACGCUGCCACAGGGAUCCCUAUCUCUGUCUUCUGGUUGACCGUGCAGUUCUUCCUCCUCGGGGUCGUUGACGUCACCUCCUUCGUGGGGCUUCUCGAGUUCUUCUACAGCGAGGCGUCGACGGGGAUGAAGUCCGUAGGGAGCUCCAUCUUCUACUGCAUCCUUGGGGUGUCAGCUUGGCUGGGGAGCUUGCUCAUCCAGGUGACGAACCAGGUCACGAGGCGUGGCGGCAGCGGGGCGGCGGCGGCGGCAACAGGGUGGCUGGAUGGGACGAACUUGAACAUGGGCAAGCUUGAUAGGUUCUAUUGGCUGCUUGCUGUUCUGGAGCUGGUGGCAUUCUUCAUUUACAUGUUCUUCGCGUGGAGGUAUGAGUAUAGGAAUAACCAAAGGGUUGUGGACAAUACAGGAGAUACCAAGGCUCCAUUGGCACCCGAAGGCGCUGCCGGUGAUCUGAUCAUCUAGAUGUGUGCUACUCUUAUUGACCCUUUCUUUGACGAGGCUUUUACGUUGUUCUUAAAUUACUUAAGUAACGUAUUACAUCCUGUACUAUUGUAAUAUUUGGUUAGGGAAUGAGUGCUCUAUUCAAAUUUAUUGCUUCUGGUCGAUUUAUAUGUUUCUGUAGACCCAAUAUGUGAACAUUAUUGUUUGAUAUUGUGGUAUUUUCUUGCCCUGAAGAAACAUUAUUCCAAUGUUUUUAUCAAGAUCGAUCAAACUAAGAAUUCACGUUUUGUUUUGCGUAUUUAUUUCUAAUGUAAAAAUAUAGCUAUUUACGUAACCAAAAAGAAUAUUCUUGUGAAAUUUAUAUGAGGUCGACAAUAUUCCUUUUUUGCUUGGGUCCAUCUAUAGCCCAGUUGCCUGAGAUUUUCAGAAAUUUCAGUCACUUUCCAGCCAGCCAUCCAUCGCCUAUCCUAAGGCUAAAAAACCCUCCGAUGAAGGCCAAUAAAACAUUCCUAAAGAAUAUGAAAAGGAGUAAGCAUUUAUACACUAUUCAGAUUAUAUUUAGCAUUGUAGGUAUCAAAGAAAAGGCAACAAACAGAUCAUGGCAAUGUCAAUUGACACACUAGCUACAGGACAAAACAUCAUGCACAUUUUGUAAAAUAGUAAAAUAAUUAUACCCAUGUAAAGACAUCGGAUAAAGUAUGCUCAGAGGGAGCAUGCCUUCGUUGACAAAUUCAUCUUCUUCAUCUUCCUAUCAUUGUCCCAACUUAUCACUUCCUACUCGUUAUAACGAUAAGAAAAAACCAACAAAAUUAAUAGAACCAAGAGCAUGGCAUGUACAUCACACCACAAGCGUAAGAUAUAAUACAACCUAUAACUUCUCAACGAAGCAAGCCAAACACACCUCAAUGAAGCAUGCCAUUAGAAAAUUACUAAAUUUCUACUAAAACUUUCAUUGAAUAUUGGAAUAAAUAAGACUAAAUUAUAGCAAAAACAUUUAAACUACAAAUAAAAAAGUAUAUAAGCCUAUUCUAUGCAAUAUAAGUAAUGAAUAUAUGCAUACACCAUAGCAUGGUAUAUGAACAGUAUAAAAGCACGAAAACAAUUUAAAUAUUCCACUAGAAUAGCACAACAUAAAACAUGGUAAAGAAAUAACAUCUACAUUAACUAGCAUUUCUAUACAGUAAACAUGUUAUUUAUUUCUAAUCAAAUAAAAUCCUUAAAAGCAAAGAAAAACUGCAAAUGCUCAAUGAAUCACCAAUAAUAGUCCUAAUUAAUAUAGUAAAAUAAAUAAACCUGUGACAAAGAAAAUUAACUUGACACACAACUUUUGCACAACAUACGAACUACAUGAAAGAAGAGAUGUACAAAAAGUAUUACAACUAUACAAAUUGUAUUUGAAUUUGACCUAAAUUUACAUCUAUUUAAAUCUAGUUUGAAUUCUACGUAUUAGAUUUGGAACUACAUUCCACCAUAUAGGAGAACAUUUCUAUGUUUGGUUUGGCCUCAUAUGGAGAAGUACGGUAAUUUCGGUCGUCGACGAGAAGAGAGCGUCCAAGCUACGGUGAUCGGAUGGAAGAUCGCCUACUGUUCUAGACUCUCAAAGACGAGUGGCGCAUUGCAUGCGUGGAUUUUAUCGGAACUAGAUUUGGGAUGGUGAUGACAUGGCCAUGUUGGUGAGGGUCGGCAUGGAUUGGCAAACACAUAGCCAACAUGAUAGAUUAGACGAUCAACCAUGUCUAGAACUAGGGGCGAACGCACCGGUACGGCAUGGUGUGGCGGCAGGCACACCUAAAAUUCGGCCUAGAAGUUCAAUAUAUAUAGUGUAUAGCCUCCCUAAUUAGCCUAUUGGGUCUCAUAACCAGGGUGGGCUGGGCCUCUUGACUCCCGGAGUACCCUUCUCGAUCCCAACCUAAUUGAUCGCUAACUUUAAGACUUCCUGACGUUCUCGACUCAUAGGCGGCCGACUUCCCAUCUUUGGUCUUCCGCCGUUCCACGUUCUUGACUCGGCAAUUUCUGAAUUCCCUAACCAUCAACGGGCGUAAUUCGUGUGAUCGCCAAGCAGGCUGCAGCCUGCAGGCCGACAUAUCCUGCAUAUGACACUACAAGUUACUAAUUCAUAAUUUUUCUACGGUUUCAAUGCUUUGCAGAUCAUUUCUAUGUUUCAUGUAGUUUUUUUCUAUUGAGGUAUUUUGAGUGGCAAUACCUUACUUUUGGAUUUUUAUUACUAUACUUAUUGAACACAAAGUAACUCCACAAAGUGUCUGUGUGUGUAUAGAGAGAGAGAGAGAGAAAAAGAGAGAGACAGAGUAUCCUACCAAGUUUUUGCAUAGUUUUAUUGCACAUGACUUUCAGCUGUGUAAACUCUGCCAGACCUCAAAACUUAUCCUGAGUGCACCACUGUCUACAACUUAAAUGAGACAAAAAUAGGCAUACCGACGAAUGGAAUUUGGCCGUGGUUUCAAGCAUCUUCAACAGGGCCCCUAUUUGGACCCCUAUUCAUUUCUUAGGGGCUGGGGCCCAAAAACAUCUUCAACAGGGCCCCUAUCUGGGACCCACCCCCGAAUGGUCCUCAAUGGAGCCGCUGCCCUUGCUGUCGGCCGCUGCAUCCAUGCAGUCCCGUGUCGCUACGCCUCCUCUAUCACGCACAUCGCGCCGCCGCUUCCCACAGCCGGUUCGGAUUCAGAAAGAUAAUGAUCAUACCGUAUCCUAUUUGAUACUGUAUUUUUUUAUCUGGAAUUAAAGCAGUGACUAAUACACAAGGAAUCAAGGGUAGAGGCUUUCCUACUUGGUUGCCAAAUGUUCUACACUCACAAAUCAGGAUCCCUAAUACACAGACAGGCAUUGAAAUCAAAAUAGGAACAACUUACGGGCAAGACCUCUUCUAUUCAUAUGCAACGGUGGCAGCGGCAAGCGCUCGCCGUCGGGCGCGAGCGGGCAUAGAUAGAGGGCAAUGCCGUCGGUCGCGAGUUGGCGACGGAGGCAGCCGCGGCGGCCAGCGCGGCGAAGUCGUCGGGGCCGAGCGAGUGGGAGACGGAGGGAGCGGCCGCCGGCCCUAGGGGUGAGAGGCCGGCGAUGGAGGCGGCGGCCAGCGACCGGCGCCGCCACGCCACGCCACUCCUGGUCCUGGUCGAUCGAUCGAUCGGGAGAGAUGGCCGAUGGGGAAUAGAAACGUCGAGAAGCUGGGCCCUGGGCCUCUUUUUCUAAUGGGCUGAAUAACGGAACGUCAUUUGGUCCAUUUCGAACCAGUAAUUUCGCUCUCUCCUUUGUCACUUCCUUUGUCUUCCUGCUGUAGCUUUGGUCGGCAAUUACGCAUUGGGAAAGUUUGUAACUGGUCUCAAAAGCUCAAAUGAACUUAUCCUUAAUUAUUUAUCUGACAACUUAUACUAGCAAAGUCCAAACAAAAAAUUUACCACACUAGAAUCUAAGCUCGGCGGAAAAAGGGGCUAAUCAUCUUUGAAAAAUAAAAGAAUACUAACCGCGGCACGUGGCCAAUCGGAUGGUUAUGAAGGUUAUUCAGUUCUAAUAAAAAACGAGUAAUUGAGGAGUUAGCAAAAUCCCCAACAUAGGACAUAAGAAAAAUAAAUAAAGUACAAAUUACCUCAUUUAUAUGUUGCAUUUUACGUUAGGUCACAUAUAUAACUUGUGUAACGAUAGUGGAAUUCGGAGCGUGGAAUAAGUCAUACUUUAAAUUAUUUUACUUUGAAAAUAUCUCAUUUAUAUAGCUCCGAAAAACACACAUCAACCACCUGUGAUUAACACAACCGAAGAAACUAAAUAAUAAAAUAGAAUAUAAACAUGAAAACAGGAAAAUCAAGAUAAACAAAAAAAACAAAAACAAAAUCAAAGCAAGGUGCAAAUAAGAAAACAAAAAUAAAAAAUGCAAGAAGAAAGGUCCGAACAUGCAACCUCCAUACAGGCAAACAAAUACCAUCAAGUACCACCACAACAACCAGCCAAUACUGCACAUUCUCAGUUGAUCUUCUAUCUAUUGCGUCGUUUAUUUCAGCACGAAUCUCAACGCCCGAUCGGGCAGACCAGACCAUCAAGUGAGAUAUAACUAUUUCUCAGUCAACUGACAAAAAGCAAAUCCGUAAUAAAAAAAACACUGUCACGGAUGAGUAUUUCUAUACUGGUGUGUAGUUAUGAGCGGAUUUUGCUCUCCGGUGCCAGUACUUCAAAUAAUUUGAAAAUACUACGUAGUUCUGGAAAAAAUUACAUGCACAUGUAUAAAUUUACUACAUACCACAUAUCCUGAUUAAGAAAUAUAAAAAAACCAAGUGUGGAUCUAUAAUAACAUAAUUGUAUCUGUUAUUUUUAUCAAAAAGGGGAAUGCCCCUGCUCUGCAUUGACUGAUGAACACAGUCAAUUUUAUUGCAGUGUUUAAAAAUCAAAGAGCUUACACUUUAGGGGUCAUAAAAAGUGGAGACAAAUACCAGUCUAUAGAAAAUGUAUAGUAUUUAACAAGAAGCAAAACUAAACAUAGUUGAGUCUGGACUGCAAAUGAAUAUUUAUUAAUAAAACUUACAGGUAAACAGUAUACAUUUGUUGUCCGCUGGGGCCGCAGUACAGACAUGGGAAAGAAAGCGCUGGUCGGGGGGGGGGGGGGGGAACUUGGGGCGCCGCACGCUAACUCGUGUGGGCACGGUUGCCCCAUAGUUCGCUCCUUUGUUUAUAGUAUUGCUGAUGUUUAUCGAUAUAUUGGUGGUCCUUUUCGAAAAGAAAAGAAUUGACGCGUAAAAUGCGCUGGCACGCACCUGAGCUUGGUAGAGCGAGCAUCAGGAAAGAGUUUGUUGUUUUUCGCUCUCGGCUUACAUAAUACGGCCUAUACAUUACAUAAUAAUAGUGUCAUGACGGUUUUGGCAGAAGGAUCCGAUGGACCCAAUCUUUACUCCGUACGUACGUUUGCUUCGUCGUCUUCGGUGAAACUUAGCGGAAAAUACUACUCCAUAAAUGAUGUGAUCAAGCAUGAUAAACAUGAUCCAAAUCCACUACACCAAGUCCGAUCAUCACGUGAGAUGGAGUAGCUUCAAUGGUAAACAUCAGCAUGUUGAUCACAUCAUUCAUAUGACUCAUGUUUAACCUUUCGGUUCCUUGUGUUCCGAGGCCAUGUCUGUACAUGCUAGGCUCGUCAAGUUAACCAAAGUAUUCCUGCAUGUGUAAAACUGGCUUACACCCGUUGUAUGCGAACGUAGAGUUUAUAACACCCGAUCAUCACGUGGUGCUUCAAAACGACGAACUUUUGCAACGGUGCAUACUAAGGGAGAACACAUUAUUAUCUUGAUAUUAACAAUGAGGGAUCAUCUUAUAAUGCUACCGUCAACUAAGCAAAAUAAGAUGCAUAAAAGGGAUAAACAUCACAUGCAUAAAUAAUGUGACAUGAUAUGGCCUUCUCUUCGUGUGCCUUUGAUCUCCAUCUCCAAAGCACGGGCAUGAUCUCCAUCAUCACCAGCAUGGCGCCUAGGUCCUCGGGCGUCAUGUAUAGUUGCCUCCACCAACUAUUGCUACUACUAGCGAUAAAGUAAAGCAAUUACAUGGCGAUUAAAUCAUUGACACGAAGGUCAUACAAUAAUUAAUGAGACAACCAUACGGCUCCUGCCGGUUGCCAAACUCAUCGACAUGCAAGUCGUGAAAUAUUACAAAACAUGAUCAUCUCAUACAUCAAAUAUAUUAUAUCAUAUCUUGGCCAUACCACAUCACAUGCCCCUGCAAAAACAAGUUAGACGCUUCUACUUUGUUGUUGCAUGUUUUACGUGGCUUUAGGGGCUGCACUAAAAGAACCGUUCUUACUUACGCAAAAGCCACAACGGUGAUAUACAAAUUGCUUAUUAACCAUAUAGGCCUCCCAUUGCAAAUCAGAUUUCAACUAUAGUGGGAGAGACAGACACCCGCCAGCCGCAUUAUGCAAUACAAGUUGCAUGUUUAUUGCGGAACCGGUCUCUUGUGCGAAGACAAGUAAGGUUGGUCCGAGCCGCUUCAUCCCACUAUCCCGCAAAAUUCGAUAGUGCACAAAAGAGGUAGCAAUAUGAACAUCAACGCCCACAACUAAAUUGUGUUCUACUCGUACAAAACAUCUACGCCUAGAUCUAGCUCUGAUACCACUGUUAGGUUCGUUGCAUAUGAAACAAAAAAUUUCCUACGAGAAGUGCGGAAGAAAACCCAAGAAUAUAUAUACUAGAUGUAUGUAACGAGAGGGAUCAUGAACACCAUACCCUCGUAGACCGCUAAGCGUUACGAUCACGAGAUCGUUGUUGGUGUAGUGGAACUUUCAAUGAGAUCAAUCUCAGUGCCGAACGGACAGCACCUCCUUGGUAUCCACACGUUCAGCUUCACGUUGUCUCCUCCUUCCUCGAUCCAGCAAGCGAGAGGGAGAGGUAGACGAGAUCCCGGCAGCACGACGGCGUGGUGACUAUGGUGAAUAUUCUCACGGGCAGGGCUACGCCGUGCGCGUGAGAAGAGGAGGAGAGGAGGGCUCAGGGGAGAGAGAUCCAACUGAAAGCUUGGGGUGUCUCUCUCCCUUGCCCCCCCUUCUAUUUAUAUAGGGGUAGAGGAGGCGUGGCCGGCCAGGACUAUCCCGUGGCCAGGACUCUCAUGCGGCCAGGACUCUCCCGCGGCCAGGACUCUCCUCCUGGCCGCAUGGGCCCUGUGGGCUAGCCCCUCGGCCCAUUAAGGCCAGGGUGCUCCCUCACAGGCCCAUUUAGCCCAGGGAUAGGUGGGCCUCAAGGUGGAACCCUCCGGAUCCCUCCGGAACCUUCUAGAAGCUUCCCGGUCAAAACCGGGAAAUAUUCCAAACUUUCCAGAACCCUGAAAACAACUUUCCAUAUAUAAAUCUUUAUCUCCGGAACAUUCCGGAGCUCCUCGUUGCGUCUAGGAUCCCAUCCAAGACUCCGAAUCAUAAUUCGAUAUCAUCAUCAUUUAUCUCAUCUAACCCAAGCAACAUGAAACGUUAAGUGUGUGACCCUACGGGUUCGAGAACAUGUGGACAUGAUCAAAUAUCAAUAACCAAUAGCGGGACCUGGAUGUCCAUAAUGGUUCCCACAUAUUCCACGAAGAUCUCAUCGGUUGAACCACUAUGUCGAGGAUUCAAUUAAUCCAGUAUCCAAUUCUCUUUGUCUCGCGAUAUAUUACUUGCCCGAGAUUUGAUCGUCGGUAUCGCCAUACCUAGUUUAAUCUCGUUACCGGCAAGUUCUCUUUACUCGUUCCGUAAUAUAAUACCCCCGCGACUAAACACAUUAGUCGCAUGCUUGCAAGCUCAUUAGGAUGUUAUAUUACCGAGAGGGCCCAGAGAUAUCUCUCCGUCACAAGGAGUGACAAAUCCCAGUCUUGAUCCAUACAACCCAACAAGCACCUUCUGGGAUACCUGAAAAACACCUUUAUGAUCACCCAGUUACGAGAUGACGGUUGAUGCCCACAAAGUAUUCUUCCGGUACUAGGGAGUGGCAUGAUCUCAUGGUCUAAAUAAAUAAUACUUGACAUAAUAAAACAUAAGCAACUUAAACUUAAGUGACACGAUCAAAAGCUAUGUUUAGGUUUGGGUCUGUCCAUCACAUCAUUCUCCUACUGAUAUGAUCUCGUUAUUAAAUGACAACACAUGUCUAUGGUUAGGAAAUCUUAACCAUCUUUAAUCAACGAGCUAAUCUAGUAGAGGCGUAUUAGGGACACGGUAUUUGUUUAUUUAUCCACACAUGUAUUUGAGUUUCCAAUCAAUACAAUUAUAGCAUGGGCAAUAAACAUUUAUCAAGAACAAUGAAAUAUGAUAAUAACAAAUUUAUUAUUGUCUCUAGGGCAUAUUUCCAACACACCCCCCCCCCCCCCCGGCGGCCCUCCGCUCCGUGGCGAGGCGUGGCGGCACGAGCAGAUCCCACCCCGGCGGGCGGCGGCAGCCCUCUGCUCUGUGCCGCGGCCUGGUUCCCGCCCUCGCAAAAAAAAUUCCCUCGCUCCGUGACCUCCGUCCCUCGCCCCGCGUUCUCUAUUUCUCUGCCGAAGUCAAGCGGUCGUGGGUUUGUUUUUGCCUGACCGCUGGAUCUAAAUUGGACGUCAGAUCACAGGGAUAGAGGCGCUUGGGACGUACACGAGUAACUUCACCGAAGCAGGCAGUGAAAUACUGAAAUUAGAGAAGGAUCUCGAUAGAGUGCGUACCAGUGCCUACACGCAUGCCCACACAAGUACUCUUACAACCCUGCAGUCGCUGCCGUGUAACGAUCAGGGAGACAGUGAUGUACGGCGUACCACAACAUAAUUCGUUUAAUUAAUACGUACGUCUGACCGGCCGGACCACAAGCUCGUGGUGACUUGUCAACUGGAGUAUAUCGUCGAUCUAAACUCUAAAGUGUCUCGAUCAGUACCUGCGUUAUUUUCUCAGUCCCGGGUUACAGUAAUCUUGCAUGCAUUUGCGCGCCACAAGGAUGCCUGCGAUCGAGCUCUAAAUGCAUUGAUAUGGUAUAUGUGGAAUGGACCGCAUGGAAAACCCGUACCAGCCAAGCCACCAGCUGAGCUACAGCUUGUUUUUCAGUUGAGACAAAUUAACGCGAUCGCAGGCGGCAUGAUCAGCGCUUAAACUCGAAUUUGGAUACAGUCCAGCCAAGCCGUCCGUAGGUUUAUCUCAUUUGGGAUGCGGAAGCUUAAGUGAUGUGCAGUACGUACGAUACCUCCACACACACACACAAAAAAAAAAACAGACGUGUUGGACCGAUUGAUCAUCCAUGUCCACAGAAACAACAAAGAUCCAGCGGCAGUGCAUGCGUACGUUCGCACCAAGUAUCUCAGUACGUGCAAUCGUGCACGCAUGCACUAGUAGUAUUAUAUUCGAUCUCCUGCCCGGUAAUCAAAGAGUACGUACAGAUGUACGGUAAUCGAACUCUUUAAUGCCUGCGAGCACACACCGAUAUAGUAGAAAAUAGUAUCUUGCUAUAUACUCGAUCUUGCACACACCGUUUGAGUACAGUGUGGAUCGGAAUGGACCGUACAAGAAGCCACCAGCUUGUUUCUUUCUUUUUUUUUGAAGGAACACCAGCUUGUUUCUGAUUUGGGAAGAACGCGUGUGAUCAACACUGGAAUUUAAAAAGAUUCCAGUCUGUAGGUAAACAAACGGAGGGCUCAUAGCCCCUUAAUUUGUUCCUUAAAUUAAAACUUUUGACUAAGCCUUUGAACCAUAAUUAGUCUAUUAAAAUAUAAUUUUUUGAAAUAAAAUUGAUGCUAUUGUAUUCAUAUUUAAGAGUACUUGUUCAUAGUUAUGAUUUGUAUCUUAUAAGUCACACGUCGAUGGAGUAAUACUUGAUCAAACAUUCGGUCAAAGAAAACAAUAUACGUCUUAAUUUAAGGAACGGAGAUCUUAGCCGAAGAGUUUUAAGUCAAACAGCAGCUUGAAUUAUGACGGUCCCAAACGUGUUCUAGCUCAGGGAAAAUGAGAGAGAGGACCAGCCUGUUUUGAGUGGCAGGACUGAGCUAAAAGAUGGGGAAUAAAAGAUCAUUAUCUCUAACACUGUGUUUGGAUGUAUAAGGCCUGAUAUUAGACAUUGGUAUUGGACAAGUACCGAGUACUAUGAUUUGGGUUGUUUGGCUGGUCCAAGUAUUCGAUCCACACAUGGCACAAUUCCGAUGGGUAAGCCUCGACAUCCCUGGGUAUUCGGAACUUUCGGAACUGCUCGACAACACCCGCGUUCAACCCUCGCUCGAAGCAAUUUUCCCUUUUUCCCUGCCUUUUCCGUCCCUCUUCUAGCUCCCGCGCGAGGUUCAAGGCUUCCAGCGGCUGCGGCCCGAGCAGGCAGCAGCAGGGCCCUUCCUCCCUCCUCCUCCUCCUACGGCACCGGCGGUCUUCUCCCGCGACGCCGCAGCCCCGCACCAGACCACCUUGCCCUCCCUUCCCAUCUCUCUCCUCCGCGACCGCCCGUCCCCGCCGCCGCGCCCUCCUCGUCGGCUCGUCGCUCCCGAAGAAGAAGAGGACCGUGCGUACUGCGUAGGUACGGUGGUGCCGCACCAUCUGGAGCGGCGUGCGGCCUAAGGAGCAGCUCCGCCUUCCUCCGACUGGGCACGGCGCCGGCGGCCUCCCGCCCCUCCCUUCCGGCGUUCACCCUCUCAUCUCCCUUCUCUCUGCAGGUUUGCGGGCCAUCUCGACCAAGCUCCUGCCUCCGGCGCAGGUCCUGUUGGAGAUAUGCCCUAGAGGCAACCAUGUGAUGAUGUUAUUUCCUAUGUAUUCAUGAGUUAUUUGUCCUUGAACAUCAUCACUGAUAUGUAUCAAUAAAUACGUGAUUUGUUUGUGAAACUAUGUAUUCUAUGAUGUUGUUCUAAUGGUCCCUGGUCAUUGAGGUUAUGCGGACACAUAACCUAGACUAGCAAUGUGAAUCAGUGUGAUGACUAUGUUUCACAAGUCAUAGCGCAAGGUGUUGCCGACUGAUAGCAUGGACUCGACAAUGAGAUUGUUGAGUCGGACAGACCCGCACUGAGACACAACGAGAUGAUUGUCAUUUGUUAGUCUCAAGUACGAUGUAUAUGCCAGUCCUAGACCUGAGGUCAUCGUAUGAGCUUGGGAUGUGAAUCGGCCUACUUAGGGGUUGCCAAACGCUACUCCGUAACUGGGUGGUUAUAAAGGUAGCUUUCGGGUUCGCUGAGAAGCAUGCUGCGAGUCAUGGUUGAUCAAGAUAGGAUUUGCCCCUCCUGUUCGGAGAGAUAUCUCUGGGCCCUCUCGAGUGAUCAGAUUCGGAAAGCAUGGCCAUGCGACUUGGGUUAAGUGUUAACCCGUUCGGGAAUCUGUAUCACAGGAACGAGAAGAGACUCGAGCUAUCCACAAGGAUGACACGCACUCGCCUUGAGCUCGACACACAUAUCGCGAGGCAAAAGGAAUGUUGCAUAUGACACAUUGUAUGGUUCGUCAAUAUACCUUGUGGUUACUCGGGAGUUGGCACGUGCUGCUAGGCGCCGCUACCAACUAUCGACUUGAGUCGGUGCCAGUGGACGAGCAAGGUGUUACUCGGGCCCGCAGUCCGAGCUCGUAGUCAUGGCCGACUGACCGCGAACCUGAAGGGUCACACGCUUAAGGGGUGGGAACCGAGUUGGAUCGAUCCAACUCGUAUCGGGCUUGGACUCCUAAUGGGCCUCAAGUGUUGAGCCCACUAGGGACGUCUAUAUAAGUGGAGGAGACCAACCCGUCUAGGGUUAACUCCAGUUCAGACGCGAGUUAGACUCGGCCGUCGCACCUCCACGCCCAAAGCCUUGCGAUCGGAUCUAGCAGUCCGCCGCACGGAGUUCCUCCCUGUACGUGUGGAUACCUCGGAGGCGCUGCACCUGCGGCGCUUGGACGAACUGUUCGUGGGAUCGGCGAGGAGGAGCAGGCUGUUCGACUACUCGGCAUCGACGCGCUACAUCGACUCUACUUCCGCUACAGGUCUGCGCGUCUAGUGGUAAUCUCGUGAUCCAUUAUCUACAGCAUUGAUCCGGGCGGAAGCGGUAGAAAAUUUUAUUUUGUGCUAGCGUAGCAUACCGCGUUCCCCAACAGUGGUAUCAGAGCCGAUGCUGUCUGUUUUGGAUUCGAAUUGCGUGCAUAAGUGUUAUGCGGUUAGUAGUAGAUGUGAUCUAUUGCUAUCUUGGUGGUCGAUCUAAGUGUUAGAUCGGUUUUGUACUCAAUCGAUUGGAUCGAUUGUACUCGGGGAUCAUGGAUAUUCGAUUCUGAUAAUCGUGAUGUAGAAGGUCGUGACACAACAUACUCCUACCGGUCGGAUUUCCGCCAUCGGAGUAGACAGUGAAACAUAAAUCCGGAUACAAUUCAUGAGAUCAAUGCGAUUGAUCGAAUCGGAAUAGAAAUCCAUGAAGGAAAUUUCGGAUUGGAUCGGGGGACCGCCGUGCUAUCUAUUCGUAGCGCCUUAGUUGUCGUUGCGAGUUCACAUCAAUUCGGUAGAAUAGGUUUGUACGCUUAACUUGUUUUUGCAGGAUUGAUGUGAAUAGUAUGGCUCAUAUGUAUGUGAUACAUGUGUGUAAUAUUUGCAUGACCUGCGUGUCAUGAGUUUGUCAGCCAGGCUGGAGCCAAGGUGCUGUCUUUAUAAUUGUAUAACGACCUGCGUGUCGACAUUUGAUGUCAUUCUCCAUGUAAAUUCUUUGCUAGAUACUAGGUGUAGUCAUUUAGUAUGAAUUGGAGGACGUGAGCACCAUGGCGGCUUGAUGAACAGGUUCAUGGAGAUGGAGAUCACCAUGAAGAACAGAGCCAUACUAUUUCACAUGUUAAUUUGAUUAUCUGUGAUGGUUAUUGCUUUGUUUACUCCUAUGCAUGUUAUUGUGUUAGAGUAGAAUGAUCCCUCAAAGAAUGUCAAGUUUAUUUACCUCCCCAAUAGCUGCAACACCACAAGACAAGUACAUUUGGUGAUGGGCUCAUGAAAUUGGGGUAUCACCAUUUUUCCUUGUCGUUGGUGAUGUUCGUGUCGGACACUUACAUGCGAAGCUUUGGUUAACUUGACGGGGCUAUCAAAACGGUUUUGGGCCUCGAGGUGAAAGGAGUCGGAGCCGGGGCAAGUGUUGCCUACCGACUAACAAGAGUCGUAUAGAGAUACGAUUGGCAAGAGUUGCCUACCGAGUGAUUCAAUCGGCUAGCAGUGAUGCUAAAGCUCACUAGACGAUUGGUUGAUCUUGGAUCUUGAAUCACUAAUGAUCAAUGGAGGGAUGUUGAUUUUAGUGGGAGUAUAUUUCUAUUAAAUUGUUUAAUAUGAAUUACUCUUCAUGAAUACUUGUCUUAGUGUUUUUGCAUUUUCUGUUGUAGAUCAAUGGCACCACCUCAAUUGUCCAGUUUUGCUUUGAGAUCUGUUCUUGAGAAAGAUAAACUAAAUGGAACUAACUUCACCAACUGGUAUCGGAACCUGAGAAUCGUUCUCAGGCACGAUAAGAAAGAAAGAAAGAACAUGUCAUAGAGAACCCACUUCCAGAGGAGCCGGCUGAUAAUGCCACUGCUGCUGUUAGAAACGCCUAUCAACGCUCAUGUGAUGAGUCGAUUGAGAUCAGCUGUCUGAUGCUUGCCUAUAUGGAGCCCGAACUGCAGCAGCAGUUUGAGAAUGUUGAGGCUUUCGAUAUGAUCGAGACUCUCAAAGGCAUGUUUCAGACUCAGGCUAGGACCGAAAGAUUUAAUGUCUAAAGGUCCUUCCUGGAGACUAAGCUGAAAGAAGGCGAACCCUUGAGCCCACAUGUAAUCAAGUUGGUUGGUUACACGCAAAGCUUGGAGAAGCUGGGCUUUCCGCUGAGCCAAGAGUUGGCCACGGAUACAAUUCUGGCAUCUCUUCCGCCAAGCUAUGCGCAGUUCGUUCAGAACUACCAUAUGCAUGGCAUGGAAAAGAAAGUCACUGAAUUGCAUGGGAUGCUUAAAACAGCAGAGGAGGAUAUCAAGAAAAAUACCAAGCAAGUGUUGCUGGUACAGGGAAAGCCAAAGUUCAAGAAAAAUUCUUGGGCUAAGAAGAAGGCAAAGAAGGGAAAGGCUAAGGAUGUGAUCCCGACCCCUGCCCCUGCUGCGCCUAAGGCUGGACCGGACUCAGAGACCGUAUGCUUUUUCUGCAAAGGCACCGGUCAUUGGAAGAGGAACUGCAGCAAGUACCAGGCCCACGUGGCAAAGAAGGGUGGAAGUGUGACUUCUACUUCAGGUACGGUUGUUGUAUAUGUUAUAGACAUUUAUCUUGCUGAUGCACCUAACAGCUCUUGGGUAUUGGAUACCGGAUCGGUUGUUCACAUUUGCAACUCGAUGCAGGGGCUGGCAAGGACUAGGAGCGUCGCAAGUGGAGAGGUUGACAUAAGGGUUGGCAAUAAAGCAAGAGUUGCAGCGUUGCCCGCCGGGACUAUGCAACUUCAUUUACCUUCUGGAUUUGUUAUGGAAUUAGAUAAUUGUUAUUAUGUUCCUGCUUUAAGUCGAAACAUUAUAUCUGUCUCAAAGUUGUUGAGUCACGGUUAUGAAUUCAAUAUUAAGGGCAAUGGUUGUUCUUUUUAUUUGAAGGAUAUGUUUUACGGCUUUGCACCUGUUGCGAACGGGUUAUUCAUCCUUAGUCUUGAAGGAGAAUCUGUCUAUAACAUUAAUGUCAAGAGGCGCAAGCCUAACGAUCUGAAUCAAACCUAUUUUUGGCAUUGUCGUUUGGGUCACAUAAGUGACAAACGCAUGAAGAAGCUCCAUGGAGAUGGACUUUUAACAUCGUUUGAUUAUGAAUCAUUCGAGACAUGCGAGUCUUGUCUACUAGGCAAGAUGACCAAAUCGCCUUUUGCAAAGAGUUGCGAGAGGGCGACCGACUUGUUGGAACUCAUACAUACUGAUGUGUGUGGACCAAUGAGCACGACAGCUAGAGGAGGUUAUCAAUACUUCAUAACAUUCACUGAUGAUUUGAGUAGAUAUGGAUAUGUCUACUUAAUGAAACAUAAGUCGGAAACCUUUGAAAAGUUCAAGGAGUUCCAGAAUGAAGUAGAGAACCAACGUGGCAAGAAAAUAAAACUUCUACGAUCUGAUCGUGGAGGCGAGUACUUGAGUCACGAGUUCGACGAUCAUCUGAAGAGUUGUGGAAUUGUUCCACAGCUCACACCGCCGGGUACACCACAAAGAAAUGGUGUGUCGGAAAGGCGGAACCGGACCUUGUUGGACAUGGUUCGGUCGAUGAUGAGUCAGUCAGAUCUUCCCUUGUCAUUUUGGGGUUAUGCUCUAGAAACCGCAGCGUUCACACUAAACAGAGUACCAUCCAAGUCCGUAGAUAAGACACCAUAUGAGAUAUGGACUGGAAAGCGUCCCAGUUUGUCUUUUCUAAAGAUUUGGGGCUGUGAUGCAUUUGUCAAACGACUUCAGUCGGACAAGCUCACUCCCAAAUCAGACAAGUGCAUAUUCGUGGGAUAUCCAAGGGAAACCUUAGGAUAUUACUUCUACAACCGGGCAGAGGGCAAAGUGUUUGUCGCUCGAAACGGUGUCUUCCUUGAGAAAGAGUUUCUCAGUCGGGAGGCAAGUGGGAGGUCAGUGCAACUCGAAGAAGUUCGAGAUGAGCCAGUAGGGGAUAACUUGACAGGUGAUGUCAGUGUGACUGAGCCAGUCGUCGUACCCACGGCCAAUACAGCACCGUAUCCACGAAGGUCGGAAAGACUAUGUAAUAUACGCAAUGUGUUGUUGCUAGACAAUGACGAGCCGACUAAUUAUGCAGAAGCGAUGGUGGGUCCAGAGUCCGAGUUAUGGCUUGAGGCCAUGAGAUCCGAAUUAAAGUCCAUGGAUGAAAACCGAGUUUGGAACUUGGUAGAUCCGCCAGAGGGUGUAAAAACCAUUGAGUGCAAAUGGAUAUUUAAAAGAAAAACUGAUAUGGAUGGAAAUGUUCAAAUCCAUAAAGCUCGACUUGUCGCAAAGGGUUUUCGACAAGUUCAAGGAGUUGACUACGACGAGACUUUCUCGCCGGUAGCGAUGCUUAAAUCAGUUCGGAUCAUUCUAGCUAUUGCUGCAUAUUUCGAUUACGAGAUAUGGCAAAUGGAUGUCAAAACGGCUUUCCUUAACGGAAAUUUAACCGAGGACGUGUAUAUGAUACAGCCCGAGGGUUUUGUCGAUCCAAAGAAUGCUGGAAAAAUAUGCAAACUUCAGAAAUCCAUCUAUGGAUUGAAGCAAGCAUCUCGGAGCUGGAACAUUCGUUUUGAUGAAGUAGUCAAAGGGUUUGGCUUCAUCAAAAAUGAAGAAGAACCUUGUGUAUACAAGAAGUUUAGUGCAAACUCAGUCGUAUUUCUAAUCUUAUAUGUGGAUGACAUAUUAUUGAUUGGAAAUGACAUUCCGAUGCUAGAAGCCGCCAAGGACUCAUUGAAGAAAAGUUUUUCAAUGAAGGACUUGGGAGAAGCGGCUUAUAUUUUGGGAAUCAGGAUCUAUAGAGAUAGAUCAAGGAGGCUUAUUGGUUUAAGCCAGAGUACAUAUGUUGACAAAGUGUUGAAGAGGUUCAACAUGAAUGACGCAAAGAAAGGGUUCUUGCCCAUGUCGCAUGGUAUAAGUCUAAGCAAGACUCAGAGUCCUUCGACUUCUGAUGAGCGAAGUCGGAUGAGUGCGAUUCCGUAUGCUUCGGCGGUCGGAUCCAUCAUGUACGCCAUGUUAUGUACUCGACCGGAUGUUUCCUAUGCUCUAAGUGUUACGAGCAGGUAUCAGGCUGACCCCGGUGAGAGUCACUGGACAGCGGUGAAGAAUAUCCUUAAGUACUUGAGAAGGACUAAGGAUAUGUUUUUGGUUUACGGUGGUGAGGAUGAGCUCGUUGUAAAGGGUUACACCGAUGCUAGUUUCCAAACCGACAAGGACGAUUAUCGAUCACAAUCUGGAUACGUGUUCGUCUUGAACGGAGGUGCGGUGAGCUGGAAGAGCUCUAAGCAAGAAACGGUGGCCGACUCUACAACAGAAGCUGAGUAUAUCGCGGCUUCGGAAGCCGCGAAAGAAGGCGUUUGGAUCAGAAAGUUUGUUUCUGAGCUUGGAGUGGUUCAGGGCGCGUCCAAUCCCAUGGACCUCUACUGUGACAACAGUGGUGCUAUCGCACAAGCCAAAGAACCACGACAUCACCAAAAAUCCAAACACAUACUCAGGCGUUACCAUCUCAUACGGGAAUUCGUGGAGAGAGGUGACGUUAAGAUAUGCAAGGUACACACGGAUCUCAAUAUUGCCGAUCCGUUGACAAAGCCUCUCCCGCAACCAAAGCAUGAGGCGCACACACGAGCCAUGGAUAUGCGAUACUUGGAUGAUCGACUCUAGUGCAAGUGGGAGACUGUUGGAGAUAUGCCCUAGAGGCAAUCAUGUGAUGAUGUUAUUUCCUAUGUAUUCAUGAGUUAUUUGUCCUUGAACAUCAUCACUGAUAUGUAUCAAUAAAUACGUGAUUUGUUUGUGAAACUAUGUAUUCUAUGAUGUUGUUCUAAUGGUCCCUGGUCAUUGAGGUUAUGCGGACACAUAACCUAGACUAGCAAUGUGAAUCAGUGUGAUGACUAUGUUUCACAAGUCAUAGCGCAAGGUGUUGCCGACUGAUAGCAUGGACUCGACAAUGAGAUUGUUGAGUCGGACAGACCCGCACUGAGACACAACGAGAUGAUUGUCAUUUGUUAGUCUCAAGUACGAUGUAUAUGCCAGUCCUAGACCUGAGGUCAUCGUAUGAGCUUGGGAUGUGAAUCGGCCUACUUAGGGGUUGCCAAACGCUACUCCGUAACUGGGUGGUUAUAAAGGUAGCUUUCGGGUUUGCUGAGAAGCAUGCUGCGAGUCAUGGUUGAUCAAGAUGGGAUUUGCCCCUCCUGUUCGGAGAGAUAUCUCUGGGCCCUCUCGAGUGAUCAGAUUCGGAAAGCAUGGCCAUGCGACUUGGGUUAAGUGUUAACCCGUUCGGGAAUCUGUAUCACAGGAACGAGAAGAGACUCGAGCUAUCCACAAGGAUGACACGCACUCGCCUUGAGCUCGACACACAUAUCGCGAGGCAAAAGGAAUGUUGCAUAUGACACAUUGUAUGGUUCGUCAAUAUACCUUGUGGUUACUCGGGAGUUGGCACGUGCUGCUAGGCGCCGCUACCAACUAUCGACUUGAGUCGGUGCCAGUGGACGAGCAAGGUGUUACUCGGGCCCGCAGUCCGAGCUCGUAGUCGUGGCCGACUGACCGCGAACCUGAAGGGUCACACGCUUAAGGGGUGGGAACCGAGUUGGAUCGGAUCCAACUCGUAUCGGGCUUGGACUCCUAAUGGGCCUCAAGUGUUGAGCCCACUAGGGACGUCUAUAUAAGUGGAGGAGACCAACCCGUCUAGGGUUAACUCCAGUUCAGACGCGAGUUAGACUCGGCCGUCGCACCUCCACGCCCAAAGCCUUGCGAUCGGAUCUAGCAGUCCGCCGCACGGAGUUCCUCCCUGUACGUGUGGAUACCUCGGAGGCGCUGCACCUGCGGCGCUUGGACGAACUGUUCGUGGGAUCGGCGAGGAGGAGCAGGCUGUUCGACUACUCGGCAUCGACGCGCUACAUCGACUCUACUUCCGCUACGGGUCUGCGCGUCUAGUGGUAAUCUCGUGAUCCAUUAUCUACAGCAUUGAUCCGGGCGGAAGCGGUAGAAAAUUUUAUUUUGUGCUAGCGUAGCAUACCGCGUUCCCGAACAGGUCCAACAUCGUGUGCUGAGCAAGCAAAUUUGGAUUCCGGCCACGAUGAUUAAUUCUUCUCAUCUCACUGUUAGUCUGUUCUUCUGUCUUCUCUCUGACCUGACCACCCUCUAUCUCUCUUUUCUACCUACAAUGUUGUGGCUACAAUGUCAAGAUUACGGCGUUGUGUAUAUUUUCCAAUGUAUUUUUCAUUUUUUAUUGUCAUGUGAUAUAUAUAGUUAUUCAAAUAUAUUUCAAAUGUUAUAUGGAUUUUGAAAUAUGCAUAAAAACAGUAUAUCAAUCAUACUCGGACAACUGCAAUUGAUCGCUUUGACCAUCCAAACAAGAUUUGUCAUUCAAUCUUAAUAUCAAGUUUGGGUUCCGAAUACCGAAUAUCCAAACAAAAGUAUUGGCAUUCAAUGUCAAUAUCAAUAUCCUGUGAUGUUGACAUUGGAGCAAAUGCACAAUGUCAAGCCUCUCAAUAUCUACAUCUAAACAAAGCUAAGAUCUCGAGGAGACGAUGACGAUGAUGAGAUAAGGUGUGCGGUGAUGAUCCAUGCGUCUAGGAGCUAGCAGCUACGUCCUUGCAGAUAUCACAACCAAAUGUUGACCGGAUCCCAAGAUAUUUGCCCAUAUCUUGCGCAAAUGAUAGAAAAACCAAAUGCAAGCGUCGGUCCGUACCGGAUAAUAAAUAAUUUUGUCCGGCACAUCACUUUUAUCAGUUUUAUUUCAACAUAGGGAGUUGCCUCUGUUUAAGCUGAACUUCGGGUCAUUUCUCACGCCGAGAAGGAGAAUGCAGUCCAGAUUCAGUAGUACAAAUCCAUUUGUCUGCUUAAUGUUAGGUUAAAAAAAAUUCAAGAAAGUAAAUACGAAUCGCAUCAUCGGGAUAGCUCAAGCAGUGAUUCGGUCUACUCAAACGGCCUAUAUGCCUGACCGUCAUGUUCUAGACGGGUGGUUGUCCUUCACGAGACUAUUGAAUAAACUUCACUUGAAGAAAAGAGUGAAUUCCAUUUUUUUACCCCCUCUUUGAAACUUUUUGACACAAUCUACCCCAUUUAAGGGAAUUUCCAAAAUUGUACCCCAUUUAACCAAACCUUUGCCACCAAUUACCCUUUUAAUAUUUUCCCCCAAAUCUGACGUUUUCUGACGAGCGGGGCCCACUUUUCAGGCCUACGUGGCGUGCCACGCUGGCCUUCGGGGCCAAACCAGCCCGGUUCAGUUCGUGCGGUUCUGUCCGGUUGGGGUCUGACAUGGGCUUCAGUGGGUUCUGCCCGGUUCUUUCUUUCUCUGUAUCUCGCUCAUAACUCUUUCUCCCUCAUCUCUGUCUGUCUCCCACGGGUUAGGGUUUAGGCUGCGGCGACGGCGGCGGCGACGGAAGCAACCGCGACCUGUCGGCGGAGAAAGCGGCCACCACGGGUGCUAAGCCGGGUUCGACUCGGUGUUUCUCCGGGCCUGCGCUCAGAUGGCGUCGCCGGCGAAACGGAAGGCAGUGGGAGUGGCGAUUCCGAAGCUCCCCGUAUAUUCCGGGAAUUGCGAUUCUUCGUGGAAGGUAUGUUCAUCCGCCUCGUUUCCUUUCCGUUUCCAUCUCCUUAACGUCUUUCAUCUGUGAUUUCAUUGGUGAUUUGGGGAUAUAUUGUGGUCACAAAGAUAGGACUGAUGCGUAUCAUUGGAUUUUGGGGUUUCUCAAAAUUUAUUCCUGCUGGUGCAGCGUUUAAUUUGUGGUGUGGUUAAUGUACUUUUCAUAUCAGGAAAUUGUGGGCUCAAGCAAGUUCUCCCUUGUCAGUGGGUGCCGCUGGAAGGAACAGAGGAGAAGAUGGAUGCAAUCGACAGGAACUGCUCACGUUGGGCACUUUUGGAUGCAAUCCUGGAAGCAUUUUGUGAUGAAAAUGUAUGAAAUGUAUGCACUGUUGUACAUGGGCUGAUAUGUUGUACCAAAUUUUGCCUCAAAUGCAAUGAAAAUAUACGGGCUGAUAUAUAUGGUGAAGUGAAUUUUGUAUGGUUGCCAGAAAACCGAACCGGCACCUGACCUGAACCGGGCCGGUUCGGCCCCGAAGGUCAGCGUGGCACGCCACGUAGGACUGAAAAGUGGGCCCCGCUCGUCAGGAAACGUCAGAUUUGGCGGAAAAUAUUAAAAGGGGUAAUUAGUGGCAAAGGUUUGGUUAAAUGGGAUAUAAUUUUGGAAAUUCUCUUAAAUGGGAUAGAUUGUGUCAAAAAGUUUCAUAGAGCGGGUAAAAAAUGAAAUUCACUCUGAAGAAAAUGGAUGGCACUUUCUCACUAAAACUAGCAAUGAGGAAGAAGCAGGUCUAGCUCAAGGCUCCAGCUAGCUCAAGCCUCUUUGAUUUACAAGAUUGGAAAAAUCGGAGGAAUAGAAGGAAAAAAAUGUAGAAAUGCAAUGUGAUGUUUCACUACCAGGGUCACAGAGCUUAGUGAUGGUGAUUUAUUUUUGUGUCGGGCACCAGAAUGACUGUCAUGAAAAUAAUAAUUGUGACAGGCUACUACUGACACCAAAUUAUUAAUUUUUGUGGCGGGCCUUGACACUACCGACAGAAAAUAAAAUAUAUUGUGGCAGUUGGAAUCCGACACAUUUUCAUGCCGGUUCACCAUUACACAAAACACACAUUUGUGACGGUUAUGAUGUACCCAUCACAAAAAUAACAACGUCCCAAAUAUUGUUUUUAUCACUUUUGUGAACCAAAUACCAUAAGUCUGCUCUACUCUCAAAAUAUCUGAACAUUCAUAGGACUAUAUUUUGUAGACACGAAUUAUAUUUCUGUCGGCUUUUGGUUAUUUCUGAAGGUUUAGCACCGUCACUGUACUCUGUGAUCCUGUUAGUUUGAUUGCCUGAAAUUUUGUUCGAAUAUUGUAGGGAAAGCAAAGGAUUUCUCCCAAGAAAUGUAGUACUCCCUCAACGACAAGAAUUUGGGAUAGGAGGAAGUUCUUAGGAAAAUUUAGUAUAGGAUAUAAUCCUACGAAUCAAAGGACUCAUGUAGGAAAAAUUCCUAAUGAUUCUAUAUCAAAGCGUGCGUCGAUUUUGUGUUUGUUAGUCUCUGACCUAUAUAUGUCGGCUGACGGCAAGGACCCAGCGUCCGACCGAGCCGCGCGGGCAAGAGCCAUCUUGUGUACACUCCAGGUGAGCAGUCGUGCAUCUCAAAAGAAAAGAGACCCGGGACAGUUGUGUUGCCCCGGGUUUGCACUGUUGUACACGGCCGGGUCGUACUUUUUAGAAUGUCUCCGUGUGCAUAUCGAGCGUUUUACUUUCUUUUUUUUAGAAUCUCCUGUAACUUUAUUCAAACUCAAAACAUUACGGGUACAGUGCUUCGGAUCAUGGACAAAAGAAACUACAAAGUAACCCCUAUGAGUAAGAAUUACAAUGAAAUCUUUUGAAAACAUAUUCUCCGUAGCAUCAAUUUUUGCAACACGAAAUACUCUUCAUACUUUAGCAAAAGAACUGCAAUUAGACUGGAGUGGCAACAUCGCCACUCGUAACCCUGCACGAAUUUGAUUAUCUUUAAAGGUUUCAGAAAGCCCCUUGAGUCGUCCAUCUAAAAAGAUGAGAAGCCGUGAGCAUUGAACAUACUUGGGCCGGGGUUGAUCCCACAUGAUCUUCACGAAAACGCCAGAGAAAGACUCCAAAGUCACCAAAGUAUCAUGACACACUGACAAAAACUCAUCAAAUCCGUAUGAACAGCUCUGCGAGGACAUAAACUCAAAAUCCGCGUGAUCGGACACAUCGAAUCCGCGGUGAGUAAAACUUUUUGGCCCCGUGGCACUGCGCAAUAAGGCACCGCCGCAGCAGAGGAAAAACCAGAAUACCUUUAUUCUCGACGGCAUCGCACCCUCCGUCGUAACGUUGCCGAUGAAGAUCACAAGACUCGUAAUAGUAAAAACUUCUAAAAACACCCGGUAAUACCCGAGAUUCCCCCCACCUCGCAGCGCCAAGAUGGCGACAGGAGGUGAGGGGAACCGGUGAAUCCGGACGGUGCUCUACCUCAAAACUCUAAGUUUUCUCCCUCUCCUUCUCCCUGGCGGCGAUAGCGUACCUAACGUUUUACUCCCUCUGAUUCUAAAUUCUUGACUCAACUUUGCCAAAAUAUAAAUGUAUUUAUUAUUAAAAAGCGUCUAGAUACAUGUAAUAUUUCGACAACAAUUUAGGAUCGGAGGGAGUACUUUUUUUCCUUCCUUUCUUUGCCUCCGUGGGCUUCUUUUCUGUUUUUCUUUUUGGGCCGUGUCCCACCUGGCCCAUAUCUUAGCCACUGCCUCACCGAGCCCAACCGCUCGCUAGUCACGCAUGGUGGCCACGUUCCCCCUCUGCUAAAAAAAAACUUCGUGAGAACUGAUCAACUGAAGCACGAACUCCAUUCAAUCCUUUCCUCAAAAAAAAAAAACUCCAUUCAAUCCUCUAGAUUCCCAAUUGAAGCCCGCCAAAGAAAACCCCAUUCGCUCCUGAAUUGGUACCGCGAGUGGGAUGGCGUUGAUUCGCUGUGGAAUACCGGCAGCGGGCGGCGGUUGCUAGUCUGGGGCGAUUCGGCGGGCCUGGAGCAAGAGCCGGCGGAGCAAGGGCGGGCCACGGGUGCAGGAGCAGGAGCCGGCGGGGGUGAGGGCGAGCUGGGUCUGCGGCGAUUCCCGGAGGUUGCUGCUGUGAACGGCGACUCCGGCAGGGAGUUUUUGGCGGCAGGCGGCGGCAGAGAUUUCCGCCGGUUGAGGACGACGGCCCGGAUCGAGGCGUGUCCGAGAUCAGCCCACUUGGGAUCGAUUCCGGGUCGACUGAUUGGGCAUCUGAAAUAGGAACCCGCGGGCCGACCCUGGGCCGGAACCAACGGCGGCGGCGGGCCGGCCCGGUCUCUUCAACGCGCGUGUGUCGGCGGUGCGGGUCAAGUUUAUUUUUUUCUGAAUUACCUCUUUCAUAAUCUCGCAGCUUUUCUUCACGAGCGUAGAUGGCCAAUGGCCGGGCGGACGACAUUGUAGCGAGAGUCGUGUUUUCUUUUGAUUAAAGAUGGCAUUUUCUCCGAUUUCAUUAAAAGAAACAAUAUGUCUGUUAUAUAAAAUAAAUAAGUCCAAUUUUAAGAGCUACACUAAGCAAACAGCAAGAAGGCUACCCCUACAUUAUUCCCCUACACAUUGUUGUGCUCAGCAAACAAGACACUCUUCCUCGUCCAGCGAUACAGAGAAUAUGCAACAGGCCUACAGAUUUUGUCAACGGCCCUAACCUUGAGAUCGACAGAAGACCUCACAUGUGACUUGCCACAGUCUGCGGGAGCAUUUGCGAAGCGGUUCUCAAGUGGCGGGCUUAUGAAAACCAGCCCAAAGAUGAAUAAUAGAGCAGAUGUUAAAAUCACUACCGGAGGAUCAUAAGGUAACUUAUUCUUAAAACAAGCAUCCUUCCUUGUCUUCCAAAGAGUCCAAAGAACGGCUGCAACUCCAACUACCACGAGGUUUUCAACUUUCUUGCCAAACUAAAUCAGCCAACAAUAAAGCAAGUCCUAAAUAGAGACUGGAUCUACAACAACAUUAAAGCUAACUUGUACAGCAUUCCAGACAUAUCUUGCCAAGACAGCAUGAAAAGAACAAGUGGUCGAUGGAUUCUGUCUAGACCAGAAGGCACAUCUCUCUUCCCCCUCCCACCCUUGAGAUUUCAAUACAUCUAUGGUAAGUACACUACCUCUGUAGACCAGCCAAAGGAACACCAUAAUUUUCAGAGGCAUUUCUACUCUCCAGAGAAAGAAGUAUGGAAAUCGAACAUGGGACCGUUCAGUGCUCUGUACAUCGAGCCUACUAAAAAUCUCCCCUGGCAUCAGGUUUCCAAUACAGCUUGUAAUCUCCCCCGGUUAUCAUGUACCGAGUGUCGGUACACGAGGUUUUAUCAGGUUCGACUCUCCACGUGGAGAUAAAGAUCUACAUCUUGUUUGAUUGCAUUGAUCUUGAUUGUAGCGAUUACAAGCUGUGAUUCUUGUGUAGGCUCGGAAUCUAAUUCUAUGAUCUAUUGUCGAUUGUAAUAAGCUAUAAAAUUGUGUGCCUCGGGGCAGCCCCUGAUGGCCUUAUAUACUUGGCCAAUCUAGCUUACAAGUAGAAUUCCUAGCGGGACUCAACAAGAUGCUUGUGAUGGGGUAAUGGAACUAUAUAUUAUGAUCAAGGGCGGAGCUAGAGGAAAAAGCAUCCGAGUGCACUCUUUAAAGUUCAAUACUUCCUGGGACGCCUAGACAGCUUGGCCUGAUGCACACUUCCUAAUAAUCCCUAGUGCACUAGCUAAUUGCAGGGUAUAGUUAGCAUUAGAAAUUUUGUUUGACCCCUGGUGCAUGUGACCUAGGGAGCCAACAAGUAGGUCCGCCCCUGAUUAUGAUAACCCUAAACUGUCUUCAUAUGUUACAUUACACUCUCAAAAGUUGCAAUCAUGUUUUGUCUUUUAUCUAUUUAAAUAAACACUCAAAUCCAUGUUUUGUUUAUCGUCUUUAUGCUCGAGGAUAAGUAUAGACUAAGUUUGGGGGCGUUGAUUAUGUAAAAUGCAUACAUGAACUUUGACGUUUAUAAUGCCAUAUUCCAUCAUAAUUGUAUCGCAUUAUGAGUUAUUACCAUGGUUUUCAAUGAUUUGGGAAACUUCCCAUGAGUUCUCAUUAUUUUGAUAUUUAAUUAUGGAAAGAAGGAAAACCUCUUUUAAGUGUUUUUAACAUUCUAGGAGCUACGGGACUCGAAAAAGGGCACGAUCAGUGGCCACGGUUCAGAAAUUUUGAGAUGCCUCCAGCAAGUCAAAGCAGGCCAUCAGGGUAUCAACAGAAUGCAAAUGGGGCCCCACGGUGCACACCCCCUCCAGGCGCGACGUGCGGCCCACCACGGCCUUCCCUGCCCCUUUUGCCUUCGCUCAUUCGUGUGCAGCUUUGUCUUGACCUAAAACCAUCCAUAUAUACCCCCAAUAAAUUUAAUUCGUGACAUACGGCGACGAAGAGAGGAAACACAAUAACAGAGAUCUACAGGUAAAGACAUGUUUUCCCUCGGAGCUUUUCAUCUCUUAUAAGCAAACACACACACGCCACGAGCUUGACCUCUUGAAGCAUAGAGGAUUGGGCUUUCUCUGAAAAGAGUCACUUUUGUUUACAUUUUACUUGCUUUACUUUACUACACUUUAAAUUCCUCUACUCUAGUAGUUUAUUUCUACAAGUUAAAGAAACCUUGCAUCCGUUAAUUUAUUGGAUCGCAUAAACGGCCGUAUAAGUGGCUUAUAAAUAAUUAGAGAAUAGAUAGUUACCUUCUGCUCCUUGUGGGUUCGACACCAGUACUUAUCAAAAGGUACUACAUUGAUUCCUACACUCGUGUGGGUAUCAAUAUUCUACAUAUACAAAUUUGUGAUUUUAUGCACAAAACACAAAUCAAGUGUAUAUUUUGACGAAAUUACAAAGUGUAAAAUACAUUUAUACUUACACUAGAAAAAGAAUCAAAGCUUCACAAUAUGAUUUUUUUUCAAAUUAUAGGGACCGUGUAGCCAGGAGCCAAAAGUCCAUGUCCGAAGGAAAACUACUUCUCUCUCUACCCAAACGUAUAGAAGAAAACCUUGAGCUUCCAGACAUGGUCGCAUCAUCUCUUCCAUGUCUUCGAAAGCUCUUUAGAGCAUCAUAUCUUCCAUGUCUUCCAACUCUUUGGUCGUCGAGCCAAGUGGAGUUGGGCUGUCUGUUUCGGCGAGAGCAUAUCAGGUGCACCAAGCCCAUUGGUGCACCCGUACGUUGAAGCAACCAGAGCCGCCAUAUGGAAAAUGAAGGGUCCAGAUCAAAACAACGAAGGAAUUCACAUGUUUUAUGUUUAGUCCCUUAAGUUAGUUGUGAAUCAACUCGCGCUCCACUGCUCGUUAGUGUUUCUUGGACUUGGGGGUGGAUUUAAAUAGAACUGAAGGGUGUGAAUGGAAAAGAACACUAUAGAAGAGUGGAGCAUAGGUUGAUUCGCGAUAAACUUAAGGGCCUAGAUGUAAAACGACAAUUGGUUAUGUUUGAUCUAAACUUGGCCCUUGCUUUUCCAUCCAACGGUCCAUGUGGAUUGGACACACAGGGUGCACCAAAUGUCCCAGUGCACCUGAUACGCCCUCCUAUUUCGGCAACUAUACACGUGUCCAAGACUGUCAAGAAACCCGGUCUACUCCCUCAUAAUUGCAUUUAAAUCUAUGAGCUGGCUGAUGACAACUAGCGAAUCAUUGUGCCAUCUGUUGAUUUUUCAAAUCGCUUUGAUCUAUUUGACGAUCUUGGGAACGAUUGUACAAAAGCAAAUGUUCCCCUUGGUAGAAAGAAACGCCUGGUUAAAUUUCCACCAAACCGUCCUCUCUCGGCUAGUACUUAUGCAUUUGUCCUCGAAUUUGGCUUAAAUAGGGUUCUCCAAAUUAUCCGCAACAUCCGUAAGUUUUGUUCUCUCGCAUGCCCUUUCAUGUUUGUGUUGAAAGUUUUGGGAGAGAUGGAUUUAGACUACUUGAAUUCCAGCUUUGUGCAUGAUUUGGUUGUGUUUAUUAUUAUCUUCUCACAUAGAUCUAAUAUGUCCUCUGCGUUUCGUAGGAUCGUGAAGCAGGUUGGGAAGCCCGUUGACGUUGUAGAAAGACAUCAUAUCUUCGUUCUGAGUUCAGAGGUGAGAACUUUGUUCCGAUAUGUUUUUCACGUUAUGUUCUUGUAAUAUAGAUCUGAUGUCGCUUUAGUUCUUUGUUAUAUCAAUACAAGGUAAAUUUGCACUUAUCAAAAGGAAGAUGAACUACCAAGUUCUAGUGCAAACUCUCUUUUGGUCCUUCGUUCAUGCAAAUUUACGUGUUUAAUUUCUCGCCCUUGAUAUGCAACAAUUGGUUGGGAAAGGAUAAAACCUGAUAGAUGAGUCCUUCAAGAGCGCCUAGGAUUCAUGAAUGAAAUUGGUCUAAACGUCUCGUUUUCAUCGACUUAUUCAUUAUUCAUCUAAGGAUAAACAAACUUGUGAUGAUGCUUUGCCAUUGUUUGGUUGAUUGGAUUUGAUCUAUGUAAUAUGGUUCCUAGGUUCUUGUCUGAGUGAAGAUAAUCAAGUGGAAAACUAGACAGUUUACAUCCUGUAACUACUAAAUUGAUUCAAAAUCACCCACAAGAUUGUGUCAUGUAGUAUUUUUGUCAUGCUUGCAGUUACAAUCAUUUGAUUUUUAUGGUGCGGAUCAUUACGUACAUUGUGGUCAACAAUCCUUGUAUGCACACCAGCACACUUGCCCAUGUAAUCAUUUAAGACCAUUGAAUGUGCAAGCUGAAGAUAAAUAUAUUUUGAAUUUGGUGAUAUUUUAUAAAUUUGAUGAACUUUUCCUCCUUGGAAUAGCACACAAGUUGUUUUGAAGUCCUUGCAUAUCAGAAUUCAGAACACAUGGAGUAAACUAGAAAUAAGAUGAGACUGUAAAGUUGUUUUCUUGAGAAAAGCUAAUGCCCAUGAGUUAUGAAAAAGAAAAACUAUUCCAGUGUUUAGCCAUUAUUUAUGCAAAUUCAUAGGUGUUUAAUUAUUUCAUUGAUCAGCGUAUGAUUUAAAAUAUUUUUUAGGUGAGGAUUGAUUGCAAAGAUUAAACCCACAACACACUCCCAAUUAAAUAAAAUUAUUGUGCAUUAUUAUAUUAAUUGUCGCAAUUAAAUACAAUUAGUAUACAUCACUCAUUUUAACCGGCAAUAUCAAUGUGUCAUCAUUGUAUUUAAUAUUUUGGGAGCAAAUAAUUAUUGCACAUUAUUAUAUUAAUUUUCUCAAUUAAAUACAAUUAGUAUACAUCACUCAUUUUAACGGGCAAUAUCAAUGCGUCAUCAAAGAGUGUAAUUAUUUGUCAUCAAGUUGUAUAAUUAAAAUUGUCCCUAUGUCACACAAACAAACAGCAACUACACUCACGUAGAUAAGAAGAAUGCUGUGUGGGGCCAAACAUAGAGGCGCUGCUCGCUGCAACUGACAUCAAGAGCUGCCACGAUGCAGGAGGAAGCCAUACCUUCUAAGGAUCCAAUCAGGUUUCUACGUUAGGAGACAUUCAUGUUUUUCCAUUAGAAGUCCUAGUCUUGGAUUAUAUUAGAAGUCGUGUGUAUUUUCCACAAGCGAAAGAGAAGAUAAAACAUUUUCAUGGACGGCAUUCUCCAAACAAAGAAGAACAACUAGCAAAGUUAAGGAUAACUAGGUGGGAGACUACGUCGUCUUCUAUGCUUAUGCUGGGAGAACACCUCACCGAUCGUCUCUUCUUCCAAUUAUGCAACGUGUAACCAUCUGUCGGCCAUCGUACCGUGAAAGCAAAAAUUAACGAACCAAGUGUGUACAUGACAUAUCACUUGUUGGCGAGAAGACAUUUUCCUCUUGUCAUAUAUCACACCAUUUAUGCAUGGCCAUGAGGACCAACAAAAACUAGACAUGCACACUAACCAAGAUUUGGAUCUUGGAUCAUAGUAUACCAAUACCCAGGAGCCAAUAGCAAAAUGGCACAGCAGCCGCUCUGAAAUCCCUGAUCGCUAGUAGCUUACUGGCCGGCGUGCAGAAACAUACACAUGUGGAUCGCCUGGAUCGCCGGCCUGCACCUGCAGUGUUCCUGCAUGCAGGGAAAUUAUCUUUACCAACAUUCCAAAAUAAAUUAGUGUCAAGAUGAGCAAAUGAACCGCAAAAACACAAAAGGGCGUCAAAAAGGUGCUUGCGAUCAUAGGCGCAGCCAGGCCCCAGGCAACACGGGCCACGGCCUAGGGCGUGGCCAAAAUUUUCAAGCUAAAAAAGAAAAGAAAUUAGGUUUGGCAUGGGGUGUCGUGGCCCACUGGCCCAAGCCAGCUAGCCCAGCCCAGGGCGUGAGCAAUUCAUGACUCCGCCCCUGCUUGCGAUGAAGUUUAAGUCAGAAUAAAGCAGCUAGUAGUGAAGAAUAAAGUGAUGGCUAUGCGCCAAGAUGAGAGACAGAACAAAAAACGAAAAUCAAGAAAAGAAAAUACAUGAACACACAAUUCCAGAGAGAGAGAAAAGCUAAGAAUCCACCAGGCAUCUCUAAUCUUUUCUAGUUUGUUGUGAAUCAACUCGCGCUCCACUGCUCUUUUGUGUUUCUUGGACUGGGGGGGGGGGGGUGGAUUUAAAUAGAACUGAAGGGUGUGAAUGGAAAAGAACAUUAUAGAAGAGUGGAGCGUUGGUUGAUUCACGAUAAACUUAAGGGCCUAGAAGUAAAAUGGCAAAUGGUUAUGUUUGAUCUAAACUUGGCCCUUGUUUUUCCAUCCAACGGUCCACGUGGAUCGGGCGCACCAAAUGGCCCAGUGCACCUGAUACGCCCUCCUAUUUCGGCAACUACACGUGUCCAAGACCUACCAGAAACCCGGUCUACUCACUCAUAAUUGCAUUUAAAUCUAUGAGCUGGCUGAUGACAACUAGCGAAUCAUUGUGCCAUCUGUUGAUUUUUCAAAUCGCUUUGAUCUAUUUGACGAUCUUGGAAACGAUUGUAUAAAAGCAUAUGUUCCCCUUGGUAGAAAGAAACGCCUGGUUAAAUUUCCAGCAAACCGUCCUCUCUCGGCUAGUACUUAUGCAUCUGUCCUCGAACUUGGCGUAAAUUGGGUUCUCCAAAGUAUCCGCAACAUCCGUAAGUUUUGUUCUCUCGCAUGCCCUUUCAUGUUUGUGUUGAUAGUUUAGGGAGAGAUGGAUUUAGACUACUUGAAUUCCAGCUUUGUGCAUGAUUUGGUUGUGUUUAUUACUGUCUUCUCACAUAGAUCUAAUAUGUCCUAUGCGUUUCAUAGGAUCGUGGAGCAGUUUGGCAAGCCCGUUGACGUUGUAGAAAGAUAUCAUAUCUUCGUUCUGAGUUUAGAGGUGAGAACUUUGUUCCGAUAUGUUUUUCCCUUUAUGUUCUUGGAUAAUAUAGAUCUGAUGCCGCUCUAGUUCUUUGUGUCAUCUAGUAUUUUUUUUUCAUGCUUGCGGUUACAAUCAUUUGAUUUUUAUGGUGCGGAUCAUUACGUUCAUUGUGUUCAACUAUUCUUGUAUACACACCAGCACACUUGCCCAUGUAAUCAUUUAGAACCAUUGAACGUCCAAGGCGAAGAUAAAUAUAUUUUGAAUUUGGUGAUAUUUUAUAAAUUGUAUGAACUUUUCCUCCUUCGAAAUCGCACACGAGUUGUUUUGAAGUCCUUGCAUAUCAGCAUUCAGAAACAUGGAGUAAACUAGAAAUAAGAUGAGACUGUAAAGUUGUUUUCUUGAGAAAAGCUAAUGCCCAAUGAGUUAGGAAAAAUAAAAAUUAUUUCAGCGUUUAGCCAUUAUUUAUGCAAAUUAAUAGGUGUUUAAUUAUUUCAUUGAUCAGCGUAUGAUUUAAAAUAUUUUUUAGGUGAGGAUUGAUUGCAAAGAUUAAACCCACACGGCACACUCCCAACUAAUUAAAAUUAUUGUGCAUUAUUAUAUUAAUUUUCACAAUUAAAUACAAUUAGUAUACAUCACUCAUUUUAACUAGCGAUAUCAAUGCGUCAUCAUUGUAUUAAUAUUUAGGGAGCAAAUAAUUAUUGUACAUUAUUAUAUUAAUUUUCUCAAUUAAAUACAAUUAGUAUACAUCACUCAUUUCAAUACGUCAUCAAACAGUGUAAUUGUUUGUCCCUAUGUCACGCACACAAACAGCAACUAUCCUCGCCUAGAUAAGAAGAAUGUUGUGUGGGGCCAAACAUAAAGGCGCCGCUAGCUGCAACUGGCAUGAGGACCAACAAAAACUAGACAUGCACACUAACCAAGAUUUGGGAUCUUGGAUCAUAGUAUACCAAUACCCAGGAGCCAAUUGCAAAUUGGCACAGCAGCCGCUCUGAAAUCCCUGAACGCUAACUCACUGGCCGGCGUGUAGAAACGUACACAUGUCGAUGGCCGGCCUGCACUUGCAGUGUUCCUGCAUGCAGGGAAAUAAUCUUUUGCACUCGUACAAGUCCAGCUUUAUUUGUUGGCAGCAAGUCAAAGAUGUGUCGUGGCCUGCACCGCCGCAGCCAAUCCACAUCGGCACGAUUUACUUGCGCAAUUAUACGUUGAUUUAGUACCUGUUCGAGUAUUAUUUUGUUUCUUUUGAAAUUUCAACCAGCGCAUAUGUAGGAGUAAAUAGUAAACAGUUCCAUGGACUUGUGCUGGGCAGUACUGGCCCAAUCUUGGACGGUGGAGUACUGUACUACGAUGGGCCUGAACCGGACCUGAGUCCAGCAAUGUAUGUACACCAAGUUUGACCAAAGCCCAAUAUUGCUUAAGUCUAUUUUUAGACCACAAGCAUCACCCUAACAGAAAGAUAUGUAUGCACUGUACUGUUGCAAGUCAACAAGCUUUACAUGCAUCACCCUAACAGAAAGGAAUGAAAGAAAAUAAUGUCUUCAAGUCACACACGGGUGCCUAGGUACUGCUGUCUCCUUUUACCAACAUUCCGAAACCCAUAAAAAUUAAUGUCAAGAUGAGCAAAUGAACCGAAAAAACACAAAAGGGCGUCAAAAGGUGCUUGCGAUGAAGUUUAAGUCAGAAUAAAAUAGCUAGUAGUGAAGAAUAAAGUGAUGGCUAUGCGCAAAGAUGAGAGACAAAAUAAAAAAGAAAUUCAAGAAAAAAAAUGCAUGAGCACAUAAACCCAGAGGGAGAGAAAAGCUAAGGAUCCAGGCAUCUCUAAUCCUUUCCCGUUGAGCAAGAGAGAUAUUCUUGGAUGAUCCAGCCUUAUAUUGUUCCCAAAGACCAUAUCUAGGAUGAACAUUCCUCGUGAUCUAGGGGGACAUUCAGUUGAUAGAAAGAAAAAGGAGGGUGUCUUGUUUGCUGUACCUUAAAGAUGAUCAUUCUGUGAGGCACUUUGCAUGUCCAGCAGACCAGCACCACUUCAUAAUAUUCACCACCAAAAGAAGUGAUUAGGACCUUUCUCCCCACAGGGGAAAGGGAAUCUUAUUCCUCCGAGGUGAUCAUUAGUUUAAUCUCAUCAUGUUUGCAUAUGCCCUAAUCCCAAGUGCAGCUGUGUGCAUGCGUGUGUUGUUAAAAAAGACUUUGGCAAUUUUAUUUCUUUCGGAAGAGAAUGUUGUGCCGUUAGAGGGGCAUCACCACGCUAUCACUAGUCACUAGUUUCUAGGCAUUCAGACAGGCAAACAGACAAAGAAAAAAAGUUGCAGGAUCCAAGACUAGUAUUAAGUGGGCCUAAUGACAGUAAUAUCUUUGCACACCCCAAGGUGAUGAUGCAUGGAGUACAGUAGGUGCUAGCUCCAAAUUCAUCAUGAUAGAUGGCCAAAUGAUAAGAAUCUCCGAGAUGGCAUCUUGUGGAUGCAGAGAGUCAGCUAACAGUAGGCCAUGCUUAAUUAGGACAUACAAGUCACUCUAAUCAGGGGUGCUGCCGUGCACAUGCUGGCCCAAAGGGGAAAGUUGUAGACUGAUUAUUCUUUUUCUUUUUCUUUUUUUAAGACGCCCCCUAAUCUGUUCGUUAAUUGCUGGUGUCACUGACAUAUCUGCUGUUAGCCUCCAGAGCAUGCACAUUCCAGUGCUGUUUUUUUUUCCGAAAAAGGCAGGAGCUCUGCCAUGUAAUAUUAGAAGAAAAAAAAUAUAGGUACAAGAAUCAUUUUUUUGCCGAGAAUUCCAGUGCUGUUAUUUUUUAUGCUUGCACAUUUCCAGGAAGCAUCAGAUGAUUGGUUAGUGGUGGUCACGGGGGGUAUCCUUAGGAGAGGGGGUGUGGUGGUCAACUCUUAGGGCACAAUGAUGAUACAGACAAACCCACUAUGCUCUGCUACAACCUGACGACUGAGCCUGAUAAUACUGUUACUUACAACUUUCUUUUAGUACUCCAAUGUAGAAACAUAUGCAUCCAGCUUAAUUCUUUUUUCAUAACCUUAUGCCAAUAUAUAGGAGAACAUGAGUUAGGUUUGGAUAGUUUUUGUUAUGAAUUUUGUAAGUACCCAUUCAUUGGUGAAUUAUGCAGAGUGUUAUACCCAUUGCUGACACUUAUAUACUACAUUCUCUUAGUUAUACUUACUGCCCCAUGAUUUCUUUCUUGCUAAUUCCAUCUUGUAUGCAUGAGGAUUCUUAUUUCUUUUGUGCUUACUGAAUUUGGUUGACAUGCUAUUUCUAAAUGCCACGUCUUUUUCUCUUGAAACAUACAUGUUAUACCUCAAUAGUUUCAGCAAUGUUUUUCUUUUCUUCAAUUUACCAUGAAGUUCUACAAUGAUUGAUAUAUAUGGACUUAAAUUUUCAUGUGGUUGCAAUGUGCUUAAUUUAAUAUGUACUGGCGUUACUUUAAGAGCAUACGCAAAUUAGAUGUUUUUUUCAGUUUUCUUUCACAUCAAGCAUGUAAAACUGGUAGGUAUACUUGUAAAUGUGAAAAUAGUUUCUUCAGUUGUGUUAGUCGAACAUGAUAACUUGCAUUACUAGUUUUAAAAAUCCAACUAUAUAUGUUUUGUGUCAUGUGAAGAAGCUAGUGUUCAAAAUAGAAUACAUUUGUCUAUGUGAAGAGGGAAAAAAAAUUAGAAGCACCAUGCAUAGUAUUAAAGUGAUGCCGUUACAUCCAUCUCGUAGCAGCAGUUAUGACCUGUGAUCAGGGGAAACACUGUCCAUGAAUUGAUGGGGUCGGACUAUAGAAUUUGAUAUUACGCUUGCUUAUGCAUGAGAAUUAAAUACCCAGCACAAGGGGUUUGUGAUGGUAUACAUACUAGAGCCCAUGAGGGGCAUUAAUUCCUAACUCGAUCCAUUCUUCUCAGUUCUUCAGGAAACCUCUAGCUACUCUAGCAUUCUGCCCCCCCCCCCUCUCACCCCUUAAGAUGAGAGAGAAAAGAGGUUUUGGGGUGUUUAAAACAAGCAAAUUGACAGAAAUCACAGGCACAGUGGAGGCAAGGCAUGCCCGUCUUGUUCCCAUCUCUCUCUCUCUUCUGACACACCACAGCCUGCCCCUCUCACUCUCUCUCACCCUCUCCAUGGAGCAAGCUUUUUUACUGAAGCAAUGAAGUCAAGCAAUCAAGUGAUAAGCUUGCAUUCCUGAUAGUGCAAGCAAAGCAAAGCGCUUGAAGACAGCCUCCCUUGUCCUCCUUCCUCUAGCCUUGCCUUCUUCACUUCUCCACCCCCCUUCACAGGCGCCCACAUCUCCUUCCACCAUCUCCAUUCCCUCGUAUACUAUUUUCUUUCUGUUGGCACUUUGUGUGAUGUGCCCUAGGCCCUAUAGGCUAUAGCCCCCUAGUCACUUCACUACAAUGGUGGAAGCUGCAAACACUGGAGGCCUUGCCCCUUCUUUGUCCUCUUGAUUAGCCCUUGACAAACAAACACAAGGUCCGUUUGCUUUUGGUCUCUCUCUCUCUUCCCACUGUGCAUAGCAGUGUAGGGAGAAAAAACCCUCUGGAUGGUCUCUCUCACUGUCUCACACACACACAUAAACACAAAGAAUUAACAUCUGCACAUGAAGCUCCUCCUCCUUUAGUUUCUAGUCCUUGUUGUUGUGCAUUUAGUCCACAAAGAAAAAACUAGCUGGUACUAGUAGUGGUGGUGUAUAUGUAGUCGUAAGAGUAACUAGUAAAACCUCCACAAAGUAAGCACCCCUCCCUCCCUCUCUUUGCCCAAGAAGAGCUCGACUGUUCAUCCUCCCCUUCCUCCAUGCAUCCUUCCACUGGCUAGUUAUAGUGAGUAGCAGCAGCUGUCUUCUCUCUUCUUAAGCAUCUCCUCCCUUCUUCCUUCUUCUAAUCUACUUGUUUGUCUGGGGAGGGGGGCAAGAGUAGCUCAACACAGUAGAGGCUGAUAAGCUAGAUAGAGAUAGCUAGGACUAGGAGGAAUUAAUAGGAUAAUAUUAUAAAAUAUCUGCAUUUUUCUUCCAUGGUCCAAUUGAGCAUGCAAACUAUAGAGUAGCUUAGAUUAAUAAGCUCAUCUCCUCCAUCUUGGAGAGAGUUUGCAAGUGGUUGUAGUAGUAUCUUCUUGAUAAGGUCCCCAAGAUCCCACACCACAGCAUACCAUACAUGCACCUCGGUUUCCUUUUUGUUCUCCACACACACAUACUCUCUCUCUCUCUUUACUUUAUACUUUAGUGCCUUCCUGUUUCGAGUCCCAAGAAACACUGAGAAUUUUGUUAGCGUCCUCGUGAGAGAGCCGAUUGAAUCAGGCCACUGACAAUUUUUCCUCUGUGUAAUUUCUCAUGGUUUCCAUUGUGCCGCUGCAGAGAAGGCAAGCAGAAGCAAGGAUGGAUCUCUCCGGCACCACCCGCGGCGAGCUCCCGAUCCCCAUGAACGCCUCCUACGGUCCUGCCGCUGCCGCUGGCUCCGUCGUAGUCUCCGGCGCCGGCCACUCCCAUGCCGCCGCCGCCCACAACGGGCAGCAGCAGAUGACGGCUCCUCUGAUGCCUGCUGCUGAGGUGGCGAACAACAACGCUGCUGCCGCCAUUGGCAUUGGCGGCAAGAAGCGCUCUGCUGCUGCAAGCGCUGGAGCUGGAGCUGGGAUUCGGGCUGGCAAUGGCGCCGGGGGAGCGCCGCUGGCAAUGGUGAAGUACAGGGAAUGUCUGAAGAACCAUGCCGCGGCGAUUGGGGGAAAUGCUACUGAUGGCUGCGGCGAAUUCAUGCCGAGCGGCGAGGAAGGGUCGCUGGAGGCCUUCAAGUGCUCCGCCUGCGGCUGCCACAGAAACUUCCACCGCAAGGACUUCGACGACGACCUCGCUCUCCACCGCCGUCUGCUCCUCGGGCCCCACCACCUCAUCCCCAGGGGCCCCAUCGUCCCCAGCUCCGGCGCCGGAGACCACUACGGCGUUGGAGGCGGCGCCGCCUACGCCCGCGCCGCCCUGCCCCCGCCGCAGCACCCGCAUCAGAUCGUGAUGCCGCUCAACAUGAUCCACUCCUCGGAGUCGGACGAGAUCAUGGAGGGCGGCCAUGGCAUUGGGGGAGCGGUGCUCUCCCGCUCCCUUGGCCAUGGCGGCGGCGGGGCGUCUUCUUCGCAGCAGAAGCGGUUCCGCACCAAGUUCACCCCGGAGCAGAAGGCGCGGAUGCUGGCGUUCGCGGAGCGCGUGGGGUGGCGGCUGCAGCGGGCCGACGACACCGCCGUGCAGCGCUUCUGCCAGGAGGUCGGCGUCAAGCGCCGGGUGCUCAAGGUGUGGAUGCACAACAACAAACAUAACCUCGCCUCCAACAAGCUCCCCAUCCCCAGCACCCCAAACUCGCCCCAAGCUGAAGCUCAAGCUCAGGAUCAAGACCAGCCUCCAAUGGCGCCCGCGCCGGUGAAUUCCAUGCCGCCGCCGCCGGAGCAGGAGCCCGGGCAGGACGAUCAGCAGCUCGACCUCGAGUGAUCGAUCAGAUUGGCAGUGGUUCUUGGUGAUUCUGCUAGCUAGCCAUAGCAAAAAACCCAGCAUUUGCGUUUAUUUUUACUGUUCUAUCGGACCGAUCGGAUUUUAUUAAUUUGCGGGGAGGGAGGACGAAGAACCCAAAGAAACUAGGCCCGUGGUUAUUAUUAUUAUCGUCGUCGUCUUUUUUUUAAUCUUGGCAUAAGGUAGGGGAGGACAUAACUGAGCUGCUCUGCUCAACUUCCGGUUAUUAUUAAAAAAAAAUUCCUGGACUUGCAUUUUUUUUGCCCUGCCAUUUUUCCCUGACUUUUAAGUCUAGCUCUAGCAGCGGCUGAUGUGCCUGGCUGAGCAUUUGUCUUGUCAUGGAUCAGAGGGUUUUAUUGAAUUAAUUCUGACUUUUUUAAUAUUUCUCCCUUGGUAUUAUUAUAUCUGUGUGGUUUCUUAGAUUAAUCUGUGCUCUGGUGUGGUAUUAUAGUUAUAUGUGAUUUGAGGAAUUUUAUUUAGAUAUAUAAUGUGAUGGGAGAUGAUGCACAAAAACAAAGAGAGAGCAUGAGCUGGGAUGCAAAUCUCUGCUCAUGUCUUGUGUCUUUCAUGCCCACUGUUGAUGACAUGAUGCGCAUGCACGGUGCACCCCUUUGCUUAAUCUGCAGUUGCUGUCGGUGCUCUUACUGUGGCCUGCCCUGCACUGCAUGCCUGAUCUCAUCUCAUCAGUUUUAUUUACAUCCAUCUCUCAACUCACCAAGAAAUUUAAAAAAAAAGAGGGAAGGGUUUCAGAGGAGAUAGGUGCAGCAGGCAAACAAAAACGGUGAGAAUUAAUACCCCUGUUUGUCCCAUUUCUCUCUUUGGGGGCAGAUAAUGCUCAUUAGUCCUUUGCCCCUGCAGCACAGCACAGCACAGCUACAGGCUUGGCCCCAAGCAGUCAAUCGGGGCAUUGGGGCCGUGUAGGUGUGCAGGGGGGCAGGGGAGCAUGUGGCAAACGAAUCUGAAGGUAGUUUGGAACUUUGGAUUGCCUUGUGGUGUAGUUGGAAUUGCAACAAGGGAGAGGAGCAAGCAAUGCAUUGCUAGCCUGCUAGGUGGCUGUGGCUGUGGCUGGUCCCCCGAUUUGUCCUCCGGCAGGAGAUUUCUUGCUACGGCUUCUCUUGAUUGUUUUACCCUCAAUUGAUCCCUACUACUUCCUAUGAUAAAUGGCUCCGCCUGCCUGGCUGCCUGUGAGGAUCAAGAUUUCAAGUACUACCGAUCUGCUGGUCUUAAGUACAGGUUUUGGUACUGCAAAUGAUGUGAAAUUGGAUUUCUGUUAGUAGUACCUGCUUGAUCCUUUACUAAUGUCUCUCUGUAAGUGUGAUUCAAGUACUGAUUUGUUUUAAGAUGAGAUUCAAGUACUGCUGAUUUGGCGGUCUCACCCUCAAGUAGAUGUGUGAUUGGUUUUUUGUACCGGCUUGAUAAUAAUAGAUGUAUGCUUGCUGGGACAAGCUUUUUUAAGGAGAUCAAGUGCUGCUGAGACGAAACUAAUUGCCGUGCCAAUGUUUUAUUGUCCCUCUGUGCGUCGUGUACUUUCUUUGCCGACCUGUAAUGGUGGCAGGAGCGUUUUAUGUCACUAACGCUGCGGGCAUUUACCCUGAAAUGACAAGCUGCUGCCUGGUUUAAGUGAUUUGCGGUGUCCUGGCCCAUGGGAGUAACGCUGCUCACUCCGAUCCUAAAUUGUUUUCGAAAUAUUACAUGUAUCUAAACGUUUUUUAAAAAUAGAUACAUCGAUAUUCGGACAAAUUUGAGUCAAGAAUUUAGGAUCGUCCCUUUGGAUUAAAUGCUUCUUUGUACAAAUAUUCUAAGAUAAAUGCUAAUCGUUUUUAUGAAAACCUUGCAGUAAAAAUGACACCGUGCAUCGAUUGUUCCAGAGAGGUCAGGAAUCUUUUCACAUUUUCGGAAAAAAAAAAUGCCGCCGUGAACCCCCUUACUGGAUAUUUAAACCCCAGAACUUCAAUAAAAGAAAGUAAAAUGCCACUUUCAAAAAAGAAAAUGUAAAAUGCAUCACAGGUUCCGGGUGUCAAGUUGGUUCUAGUCCUAAGAGAAAUUAAAGUGAUGCAUCACAAUUGAGUUCUCCGUGAUCCUGUCAAGUUGGUACCUGCUUCUAUUUAGUUCUCCUUCUGCUACAUUGCACAGCAAUCUGGAUCCUGGAUGCCGAGGCAAGAGGCUCUCCUAGGAGAUCAUGUGCCGAGACAAAACUCACUAGUGCUAAGUACACGUUGUGCCAAUGUUUUCUGUGUGUCCGACCUGCGUUGGCAGGGGCGUUUUACGUCACUAGUGCUGCGGUCAUUUAAGCUGAAAUGUACAGGCUAGUACUGUUAAGAAUAUAAAUAUACUGACUAGCCUCUUUCUGUAAGUUCGUACUUUUGGUUCAAGUGGCUAGCGCAUCAAUCUAAUGGUGCUAGUUCUUUUCGGUUUCCUGGACCGGUUUGUCUGAGAAGCUACCCUCCACCAGUUUCCUGUAGAAGCCACCACCUAAUUUGAUUAGGUUAUCAAACUAGUUUGGAUUAAAUUACUUUGAAAAGCUAGCUAAAUUAAAGAUGCGGCUUCUCCAAGAAACUAGGUGAGAGCAGUUUCUAGGAGAAGCCAGUUCUAGAAGUCGAAAAGAACGAAACCAUGGUAUUGGAGUCAAGAGGUCUCAAGUUCAACACCUUGCUCACGCAGUAUUAAAAAAAACGAUUCUACGGCCUACACCGAAUCGACGCUAAGGACUAAAAUAGCUUAGACGUGAAGAGGAGUGUUGAGAAUAUAAAUAUAUUGACUAGGCUCUUUCCGUAAAUUCGGACUUUUGGUUCAAGUGGCUAGCACAUCAAUCUAAUAAGUACUAGUGUUCUGUCCCCUCGCAGAGAGUAAUGUUAUGUUUAUCCAGUUUAGAGACUAGAGUUGUUUAUCCAGUUUAGAGACUAGAGUUUGGUACUCCGUCCGAUCUAUAUUAAUUAGCUUAAAUUUGUCCAAAUAUGUAUGUAUAUAUGUCUAAAAAACGUUUAUAUAUAUAUAUAUAUGUAAUAUUUCGACAAGUAAUAUGGAUUAGAGGGAGUACUUAUCUUGUGGCCUUGGAUGUUAGGCCGAAUAUGGUGAGUUACUUGUUCAAUCGCCGUUUCACGGAAAAUUGGGUAGGGGAAUGAAGAAAAUGAUGCAUGCUAGAAAGGCCAAAAAUAUUACUGCAUGCUGAUUUUAAACUGCAUUGCUUCAUGCUGUGCCAGGUUUGAUCCUCAUUUGUCUCGUCUGGGCCAUGGGGCCAUGCUAUUUGCAUACAUGUCACUUUGGAUUCAAGGCAAGUCCUAGAAAUCCUGUUAAGCUGAUCUCUUCUCCUUGACUCGUGUGCAGAAGGCCUGUAGUCCGGUAGGUUGCUUGCGGCCUAUAUGAACCGGAAACGAGGGUUCACCUCAUCAUGUUCGAGAAUGUAAAUUCAGUCGAUGGAUUUGGUUUGGUUGUGUGCGUCACUUGAUGCAGGGACCUUCUUUUUUUCCGAAAAAAUAAGUGGAGGAUUUGGCGUUGGUCAAUAACUGGUUCGGCUUUGAUCUUGAUCUGAUUCCGCCAACACGGUCGUAUAGUUAUUCUUUUAAAAAAGGCGAAUUCUCUGGCCAAGCGAUGUACACAACCAUCACACGGUCGUACAGUGGUGGCAUGACAACUUCUUUGACUCGUGAAACCGUAGAAAGGCGAUCACCUAGUUUCUUGUAUUUGUCUUAUGGAAGAUUUGGAGCGAACGCAACGUCCGCGUUUUCGGAACCUAGUCAUACUGCCCUCGAUCAUCUUGCUCGCAUCGAAAGCACGACAAAUUGAGUACUUGCCGGGGCCAAGCAUCUCAGGUCAAUUUUAACGAGAGAGUAGAGUCGGUUGUCGUCCUUGUUUUUAGCGCUUGUCUUGGAUCUCUUUGAUCUAACUUUUUCUCUAUUAAUGAAACGAGACUUCUGCCUCCAUUUAAAUAAAAUGAAAAUAAAAUGAACCAAACUCCCCCUUCUUGGUGCCAGAAUUUGGGUUGUCAUGUGCAUGACCAACAUGCAUGCGCACGGUGCAGCCUUGUGUUGUGUUGAUAUCGUUGUACUACGAUGUCUCCAUCGUACAGUAAAGUGCAAAUAUUUGACUCGAGCUGUAUGGAAUUUUUAGUCAAGUUUCUACAAAACAUCUAUCAGUUUUUAAAAAGCAAAAAAUAUUGAUGUACAUAUUAAUCUAUAUACCACAUAUGUGUAAAAAAUUACUAAGAAAAUCUGCCAUGUGAGAUAAGUAAAAAAAAUACAAGUUGAUGAAGUGCAUCUAGUGAAAGUCACAUCAAAUUUUCGGGCUCCAUGGAGCCUGAGCUCUACAAGCAAUUUUGCUAAAAUUGGCACUGCACUUUGAAGGCUCCUUUAAUUCAAAAGAUUUUUUUAAAAUAAAUUUGAAUUAUUAGAAUUUUUUCGAUGGAGGCAUUGAAGGCUCCUUUAGUGCAAUUUGGUUGGUUGAUUUGUAAGAUUGAGUCUCGUAGAUUUUUUUUCGAAGUUCUCAACUUUGUACUUAAUUCAAGACACUUAUUAUGGAUCGGAGAGAAUACUUGUAGUUGAUACUAAAUUUUUACUCGCAAAAAAAAGUUUAUACUACAUUUUUAAGUUCUUGGAAAUCGUUUCUUCUUUUCGUGGUAGAAUCAAACAAACUUUCUGUACAAAUUCAAUGCAGUAGGAUUCGAGCGGACCCUGAUCCAGUGUGUUUCAGAUUCCUGCGUUUUAUCAUUUAUCCUGCAAAUGAAAAAGCUCUAAGCAAGUACUUUUUCCCUCAAAAGUAAACGACUGCAGCAUCAUACUCGAAGAAUAUGGUCACAUCCAACAGUUCGUAUCCGAAUUCUGACGAGGUGAAAAUAUAGACACACGCAAUGGAGAAGGCCUGAGUGCUUGGACAUACUGACGACACGAGCGAAAAUUGCAAGAAUCCAGCAGAAGAUGCUCAGUAAAACAAACAGGCAUCGCACAAAUAUACAUGUGGGUUGUAGUACUGCACAAAAAUAUACAUAGAAAACAAUAAAACGCUUAGAUUUGAAUGUUUGAAACCAAUGUAACAAAAGGAGAACGAACAGCAGCGCCUUGCAGCUGUGCUGAGAUGAGAUAACCCAUGUGUUGUUGCAGGGGAGCCCAACCAAAACGCCCUCUUCCCAGCAGCUGAGCUGACAUAACCCAUGUGUGUCAGUGCUGCUGCAGAUGGAUCCGUGGUGGUUGCUGCCAAGGCAAGCAGGCAAGCCAUCGGAUCAGUCCCAUGUUCUUGGCAUCAGAACACCAUCGCCCCUCUUUGCUUACGUUCGGCUGAAGUUCAAUGCUCUGUUUGGUCCAUAUUAAUUCGCUGAUUUAGUAUGAAGUUGUACUAUCAGCCACAACCGUAUGGAUCGGAGGGAGCGGUACUAUCUAUACAGGAAGCAUUACCACCAGUUUUUUCUUAAAAAUUUGGUUGUUUCACAAGUGGAUUUUGAGAUUUUGCUUAGAUAAGGUGUCUGCCUGGAGUUGUUGUGCAAAAAAAAAAAAAAUUCUAUUCCAAAACUUUAUCACAAAUGGGUAUGAAGACCACAGAUCGAUCUCCGUUUUAGAAGGGACUCUUGGGAAUGAGAUGGUCUUUCUUUCUAUGCGUGUCUAUUCACUGUUAACGAUGGUAUGAGAGUUUGUUUUCAUGAGGACACGUGGUUGGGUUCUUCUCAUUUAAAGGAUCAAUUUCUGUCUUUUAUCGAAUUACGCUCAAUCGACGGGUUUCACUGGUCCAUGUUUAGUCGAGGCCCCUCCUAAUAUUGCCUUUAGGAGGACUAUCGUUGGCGCAAGAUUGACAACUUGGAAUAAGUUAUGUGCUAACUUGGCUUCUUUGCAUUCCAAUGACCAACCCAAUGCGUUUUGGGUCUUACUACAUGGGUUGGCUCGCCAUGAAAUCCUUAUGUAAGACAUUAAUCAUUUUGAAUUGCCAAUUUCACCAUAAUGUCAUUUGGAAGCUUAAAUGUUCAUGCUAAGAUAAAAAAUAUAUUUGCCUGGUAUCUUUAUAGAGGGGUGGUGACAAUGUGAUCGAACCCUAAACCCUCAUCCUAUGGGAAUGGUAGUUUCCCUCAUUUCGUUUAUGAUGUCUCCGAAAAUCACUACUUGCCCUGUAAAUUUUGUAAAAAAAACACAUAAAUAUUUUCUGUCUAUACAUAAAUCACAAAUGGACACAUGACAAAUCAUGUAAAUUAUAAACGUCUUUUGUACAAUAACUCGUCUUGUGAUUUCCACAAGGCUUCCAAAUGAUCAUAUUCAUGGCAAAAGUUACAUAUAGGCACAAUUUUACCAAUGCCUAAUGCAAUAUCAAAAGACCACAUUUCCACAGAAAACGUUAAAAAAACAACGAGAAAACAUGUGCUUGGCUUCGGCGUGACCUUGUGUUUUCCUGAACGCUGACCAUGAGAAACUCUGAACACCUUAUCAUUCAACUCCAUGCAUGAUUACAACAACAACGUGAAGCUGUGAACCCAAGAAAAGAAAAAUCAAACAAACGCCAGGAAAGGUAAACCCAGCUCCCAACUUUCAGACAAACUAAAGCCGGCUGCACCAAACAUUCUAUCCAUCACACACGCACACACACGGCCCCUACAGCAAAAAGCUCUGAACCCACAGCACAGCAGCGAGAGAUAGAGUUUAAUGAGGCGCUGAGCACGCAUGCACGGGCACGGACGGACGGGCAUGCAUUGCAAAGUCAGUCAGGCAGGCUGCAAGAACAGUUUUAAGGCAGGGAAGAGGGAGAGAGCAUCGAGCACCGCGCCGAUCGUAAAAGAAGGAAAAACAAAGGCGCAGGAGCGUGAAAUGCAGUAAAAAAGGGGUCGGAUCAUCGGAGCCCGCCGUGUAAUCGCAAUCGAACGCCGUGGUACGAAGAGAUUCCGGGGCGCUUUCUUAUCAGGAAAACCGAUGGAUUCGCGGGCAACGGGCAUGCAUUGCUGCAGCGUGGUGUCAUUUCUCUGGUGCGUGGGAGUGCACGUGAGAGUACUGGUAUUUUCUUAGAAAAAGAGAAAAUAUCAAGUGUAUAUAUACAAGAUGGGAUGGCAGAGAGACACAGCUGAGUAACAUAAUGAGAGGCCGGCCGUAUAUAUGAAGAGAAGCUAGUGAAAAAAAUUGGAGGGAAAAGCCGGACCGCUAUACUCUCCUUCUGGCACGACAGCUUCUUUGCUUUCGAGACAUCUUUUCACUUUCCGCUCCUACAGUGCCAAUGCAGUGGCAGUCGUAGUACACUUUGGAUUGUUGCUGUGCUGGCAUGCAAACAUAGAACACGCGCAAGUACGCACUACUCAUCAGAGGUUUUAAAAUUUUCCUGAGUUUGCAGGGUAUCCCAUGCCACUAUAGCAGCAGCAGAGAUGGAGGGAUCAUGAUAUUGAUCAAGACGUGGAACUGAGCACGCAUUUACUCUUUUUUUCUUGACCACAUCACAUCAGAUCAGCUCAUUGGCCAUGUCAAGCUAGAGAGUAGAAGAAAAAGGGCAAGAAAAGCAGGAGGGGUUGUUGCCUUGUUCCCAUCUCAUCUCAUCCCAUCUCCCCUGGGUACCUACGUGCAUGCAUCUAGUAGGACAUAAAACCCUAUGGUUCCCCUGUCAGAAGACAGGGACAAGUCCAUGUCCAUGUCCUCCUGGUGGAGAAGAAAACACGAGAAACACAUCCAAGAAGAAUAAUCAAAGGACAAACACCGCUAGCUUUAGCUUAGCUUAGUAGUGGUACUAACUUUGAUGGUGCCUAUUUGGCCCCUAGGGCUUAGGUUAGGAGAGUGAUGAGUGCUAGUAGCUACGAGGACACAUGAUGAUCCUCUCCACUCCUAUAGUCCUAUCUUUGUGUGCAAGAGCCUCUCAUCAGGGAUGCAUGGCAUCUGUGCAUGCAUGUGAACCCUUCCACGGCAAAGAAGGACAAGGGGCAGUUGCCACUAACCCCAUUCCAGCCAAUCAAGAGAAAGUCCAUUUAACCAUCAUCUGAUCGGAGCGGCAAUAAAACGAAAACAAAAUCAUACGCCAUCCGUUCAGAAAAGUAUGUCUCAAAUUUGAUUUGUCAAAAUUUGAAUGUAUUGAGACACCAUUUAGUGUAUAUAUACAACUAAAUUUAGAUAAAUUUGCGAUAUCUUUUUUUUGACAGAGGAAUACACGACCCCAUGAACGUUCAUAAAACGGCAUGCAGAAAAAGCAAUUAAAUCACAGGCCAAGGACCAAAAAACAAAUUUCUUCAAGCUGUGUUGGCCGUGCCUGUGGGAAAAAAUCAGAAAGAUUUUGUGAUCCUCGAUCGUGUUCCAUAAUUAUGAUGCAGCAUGGCAGCAGCGAUUCGCACACCCAUAGCAUCACAGAUCUUUGCUAGUACUUGGAUAAAACCGUACACAUACAAAAGAAAGAAAUGAAAUGAAAAAUGGAGACAGAUCGAGGAGGACCACGCGAGGAAUUGCUCUCCGAUCCUCUCUUUCAUCCCCAAGUCUCAGAAGGAUGUUUUCUCAUUAAGUUAUUGCUCACUCAGUAGCUGGCCCUGGCGCCGAGAAGAGAUCAUCAGCUCAGCUCCGUCCGUGCCAGCCCCAGGGACAAGUGUAGCCAGCGAUUGUUGCAGGUUUUGCAGCAGAGGGUAGUAGUACUGGUUGCGUGGCUGUGGGCCCGUGGGUGGGCCAAUGGUUACCAAGAAAUACAGUGCUCCUUUCGUUUUUAAAAUAUAAAACGUUGUAGUUUUAUUCUAGGUAAAAAAAAGUGUGAUGGUUUAUAGAAAAAUAUACUAACAUCAAUAAAUUUAAAAUGGUUUUAUUACAUUUUUCAUUGUAUGCUCCAUCCGAUAUUAGUUCCUUGAACUAAAACCACGACAAGAAUUUACGAUCGAAGUGAGUUUCUUAAUAUUUUUAUCGGAUAUUAUAUAUUUUACUAUAUUUUUUCUAUAAAUUUGCAAUGAACACAUAUUACUUACGCCAAAUUAAGUUAGAGCAUCUUGUAUUUAGGAGCGGAGGUAAUAAUUUUUUUGUGAGCAUAGUGUUGUACUGUUUUGCAUUAAUCACGUGAUUAGAAACGAUUUAAUCAAAUUAGGUUCCGUUAAAUGGCUUAUCGUCCUGUUGAUGAUUUAUUUCCUUUGGGCUAUGGCGCCGCUACUUGACUACUUAAUUCGAGUGUUGUUUUGCACCGAUCGUAUGGUUAGCAACAUAGGUUUAUUUAUUACUAGCUCCUUGAAAUAUUUUGUUCUAUUAUAUCUUUGACCAUUGGCUAACAUGGGUUGUCUCGUGCUAUGCUAUUGCGCUAUUUGAUUGAUUUCGUUGUGUCAAUAGCAACAUUUUUUGGACAAAAAAAUGCAUUCUUAUUGAAAUCCUCUUGUCUAUCAAUCGGCUGCGGUUCAGGUCAAAUUAAGAUACAAUGACCGGAGAAACAUGAGAGUGUAGUGGAAGGAAGCAAGAAGUUGAGCAAUGUUGAUUUACUCCCUUUGUUUCACAGUGUAAGAUGUUCUAACUCUGUCCUAAGUCAAAAUUUUAAAGUUUGACUAAGUUUUUAGACAAAUGUACCAACAUCUACAAAUCUCAGUUCGGUAUAUAAAAUUUGUUAUGAUAUAUUUCUUCAUAGUAUACUUAUUAGAUGUAUAGAUACUAGAUAUUUUCCAUAUUCUGAAGCACGGAGUAGUUCCAUCAACUACCGACUUGUUUUUUUGUGUCUUUUUUUCAACUCUUGGAACUUUAAAAUAAUUUUGGUAUUCUAUUUUCGGAGGCAGAGGUCGAAGGGGUAAAUCUCUUUCAUUAUCUUAGAAGACACAUGGCCGACCCCAUACGCAUGAUCUUGGCCUAACAUGAUACAAGUUGCCAUGAACAUGACUCGACGACUUAUCGAUCUUGCAUACUUUGUGAAUUUUUAUCUGCUCAAGGCACCAUUGAUUCCAAUAGAACACAUGAUCACAAAACAAGCUCAAGAAGCAUGCAACGGGAACACAAUAUAUUAAAAGAUAACCUCCUCGACUUAUUUCCCCAAAUACGUGCCCAGGUGAUUCUGGUGACACUUACAUGCAUAGAAGAAAUCAUUUAAACUUUGAAUGGUUUAUAGUGACAAGUUAUCAAAGUGAUUGAAAAUUAGUUCUGAAACAGAAAAAUCAUUUAAACUUGAAUAAUAUCCUUAUAAAUAUGCAAGAUUGACAAAAAUGUAAUCAAAGAAAAACAAGAGAUAGGGAAUAGGUUUCUUUUCUAUCAUUUUAAAAGUUAAGCAACUUUUAGUGGGUUUUCCGGAGUUCAAAGAACAAUUUUGAGUUUUAAAAAUAAUCAUAUUUAUCAAUAUUUUUAUUUUACAAAUAUUUCUUAAUAUCUUGGAUAAUAAAAUCUAGGUCUUCAAUUUCUUUGCUGAUUUUUCACUUUACUAUAUGUUUGUGUGGCUGAAACCACAUUCUAUAUGCACGUUCUUAGUGAAAUGGCAUUAAAAACCGCCCCUCGGGCUAUUAAUCUGGCCAUUACUUUGACAAAUAUUUGAUAUUUUUGUUAUUGAAGGGUAAAUUUUGUAUGAAUAGUUUAAUUUUCUCUCUAGCAAUGUUUGUGGGGUUACAUAUACCUUUAUUACGACAUAGAUCUGGCUUUAGUGAUUGAUGAAAGAACAUAUAAUAGAUCGACACAACCAAAACGAACAUAAACCACGAAAAUCCUUGAUAAAAUCAAAAGCUCCAUUAUGGUCAUUCAAAGUCAACGUAUCUGGAUUCACCUUUCGAAUCUUGAGGUUUCAUCAUUUAUUCGGUGACAAAAUUGUAUAAUACCAAGCCCGCGCAAGAUGGACUAAAUUCAUAAGUUUUUUAAAGGUCGCAUGAGUUGCCACCUCAGAAAGUGAAACUUAAGAUCGUUGGACGCGUCAUGGUCAAGGACACGCCGCUCGCAAGACAAGAUAUGAAACCGCUCCUACAUCGUUGAAUUGACAAGAAAAAAAUACGAAAAGAGAUCCGUAAGAACCACUGACUCCAUGGAGUAGGCCGUGACACCUACACCAGGCAAGGGCGGGACACAUUCACCAUCCUCAAGAACACACACACCUAACAAGAAAGGUAUGAAAAACUAGACUCCUGAUAUUGAUCCAUGGUUCCCCCCAAUCUCCCAACGCCAGUUCAGCCAUCAGAGACAAGGAAAACCGCCGGAAAUCAAACGAAGACCCAAAGAAAAACUUCCGAGGUCAGCAAGGAAUCUGAUGGGCCAGUUCCAUAUGACCCAUGUCAUGGUAGAUAUGGUCCAAGCCCACUGACUUUUCGUCUAAAAAGAAAUACUUACGAUGGAUGGCUUGUCAGAAAUUACACUAGAUCGAGAUGUAGGAGUACAUCGGUUGACUUGUUCUGCAGAUGGACGGGAAUCCUAACCCCCAACCGAUUCGAAUCUAGAGAAGGACGAGGGAGCGUUGGGUGCUGUAUGUGAUCCAAAGCAGCCCCGGGAGAAAAUUCCUUCUUCUAAAAAUAUAUACUCGUACAAGAAAUUGAUUACAGAAUACACUGUUAACUCUCUACAGUUUAUGUCCAACUCCUCCAGAAUUCAGUUUCACUACUCUGCUAAUAUAUUAAAAUUUACUUACGAAGUAUUACUAGAUAAUGAAUUGGCAAUCCAUUCCAGAAAUUACUCAAUCAGCAGGAGAGCAUUUAGCAGCACUUUUUCAGAAAGCCACACAAACUGAAGCAGUAGUCUCAUCAGAAAUCAGAACGAUCAUGUUUCUUCUGCCCUUGAUAAUUUACACGUACGGUACAUUCGGACUCUCGUACACUUUCCCGGUAAAAUUAACACAGCACAUCAUGCUGCAUUGCACGCACGCAUGCAGCUGAUCAUCGACAAGUCGACGGCAAUUGCGAUGAAGAGCUCACAGGCUGGGCGUCCUCUCGGCAGCUCCGGAGAUGACGGUGAGCAGGUUGUUGCCGAAGGGGUCGCUGAGGUGCGCAGAGAGGUUCUCAACGGGGCCCUCGCCAGUGACGUAUGCCUGGAUGAAGAAACCCAGCAUGGAGAACAUGGCUAGCCGGCCGUUCUUGAUCUCCUUCACCUUGAGCAGCGCCGCCUGGUCGGGGUCGCUGGCGAGGCCGAGCGGGUCGAAUGGGCCACCGGGGUGGAGCUUGUCCUCAAGAUCCUGCCGGAGAAAUUGAUGAAAACCGUUGGUCAGUACAAAGUUCCUAAUUGCAGCUCAACUUAUGUAUAUGUUUGAGGUGUUACUGUCACUGACAAGGCCGUUGAUGAUCCUGUAGUACUCGGCGCCUCCGACGAGGACAACCUCGGCGACGACGGCGAGGAUGAGGUUGAUGGGGAUGCUGUUGCCGAAGUAGUUGAGGGUGUUGCCGUCCAGGAGAAGAGCGCCGGUCUGCAUAUGUGUUUGUUCAUGGCACCGUGAGUUUAAACUUCAGAGUUCUGAAUCUGAAUCUGAAUGUGUGAAUACUGAUGAGCAAUUACCUUGAACCAGACGGCCUCGGGACCGCAGUUGGCGCCGAACUUGUUGCACGCCUCGGGGAUGAUGAAGCCGGCAGCGCCGAGCAUGGCCCAUCUGGCAUGGAUCAGCUCAUAGGCCUGGUACCUGAAGAAUAAGGUGUGGGAAAGGAUUACUUAGUUGAUAGAAUAUUUUGUUUAGAGUGAGACCGUAGGUUAACAAUUUUAGGUCUGUAUUUGCAAAAUGCAGAUCACUACUUACUUGGUGAAGUCAUCUGGCUUCUUGCUCAGACCGAAAGGAUCAUAGCCAUAGCUGAAAGUCCAAAGGGAAACAAAUAGGUCAGUUCAGUUGCAUAUAUAAUCUUAGUCUCUUAGUUUUGCAUGAGCAUUUCAGUAAUAUGAGCAGUGAGGCAAUGCUGCAAAGGGAAGACAACUUUAAUUCAAAUAGUCUGAAAGAUUCGAGAAAACAGUGGCAUUUCCACAAAGAUGAAAACUAAUUUAUGCUACACUGCUCACUACAGAACUAGCAAAAUAGGUACGAGUACCAUAUCCAUAUAAAUUUGCCGUAGUACUAAAUUACUACUACAGUUCAAAGGAUGGUUAAAUUGUGGAGGGUAAAAAUGGAAGCAUAUGACUUACUCUCCAGGAACCUCUCCGUUGAGGUACUCUGGCACCUCUGACCGGUCAAGGAGACCGUCCGGCAAGAAGAUCCUCCUGUCAGGGCCUGAAAACAAGAUUAAAAAAAUAGUACUUAGGUAUGUAUGAAUUUUCAGAACAAAUUAAUUACCUGAAAUGUGUUCAAUCUCAUAUGGAAGUUUUCUUUGUACUCACCAUACCACUUGGCGAGCUCGUCGUCGAUGUCUGCGCCCGAGGAGGAUACUGGGGCGGGCUUCGGCUUCGCAGCGGGCUUUUUGUUGAAGCCCCCGAAGAGGGAGACAAUCUUCUUCGCCCCAGCGGUCGGUGCCGCCGUGGUGUAGCUGGAGGAGCCGGUGAAGUUGAGCCGGGUGCCCAGCAUCUUCGUGGGAGCGAGCGCCGCCAUUACCUCAGGCCCAAAGUUCACAGAGAGGUGUGCUCAGCUCAGCAGGAAAGGUGUGAUGGGCGUUUGUGGAGGGAAAGGUGGGGUAGUUUAAAUGGAUGGAAAUGAGGAUUGGAGGAUGUUGUGGGCCCAGGCAAGAUUGGGCCAAAGGGGUUGUGAUUGGCUGUGUGUUCAGGAGGGCUAUCUGUUGCUUGGAUUUGAUUGGCCUGCCUUUGCUGACUUGGCAGAUGAGGGUGCUGGUGUGGCUCCAUUAGAGCCUCUUGUUAUCUCGUUUAUCAAGAGCCAGGCGGUACUAAAUGGUCCAAAUGCCAUAGAUAGAGACACAGGGAGAACGGAGAACCAAGGAUAGAGAGAGAGCGAACACAACAUUUUCAAGCAACAUACCCACCCCUGAGUUUCCACACACCACCCCUGAGUUUCAUCAGAACUUCAUAACAUCAAAUUAUGCUGGAAUUUAACAUCUGAGACGAGCAACACAAAUAACGGGACAUAAGCCAACAUGUACACCUAGCACAAUAGUGUUCAUCGGUCUGACAUUUUUUUUCUAACUACCAGAAUGUUAACACUUGAAGAAUUUUAAGCAUUAACACUAAUAGAAUUUCAGGAUCCUACUUAAAUACUCCCUCCGUUCCUAAAUACUUGUCGCUGUUUUAGUGCAAAAGCAAGUUUGUACUAAAACAGCGACAAGUAUUUAGGAACGGAGGGAGUACAAGUCUAUCUAGUGACGGACUGAUCAACAUUCAAAAUAAGAAAUUACAGUGUGAUACAAUAGAUGUGGCUAAAGGUCAGCUGCUAAUCCACAUCAAUGGCAUACUGUUUGUAAUCCUUGACCAAUACCAGAUCUUGACAGCUAACAGCGGCAGCCAUAUGGUGGUGCAGCCGAUGCUCAACUCUUCACAGCUCACAGCAGCAGUCAUUUGGCAGUGGAGCUCAACGCCAUUUUUCAAUAUGUUUUGAAGUUGCGCUCGCAAGCCUUUUGGUGUUUACAACCAGCUCGUCAAACAAAGCAGCAACAUUCUCCCUGGAACAGAGAGAGGAGGAAAGGAUGAGCAACAUUGAGUAGAAAUAUGCAUGUUUAUUUUGCAUGCAGAUUGAGUAAGUUAUGUCCCAAGGGUGCCAAACAAGAAAUAAGGUGGAGAAAGCCAUAAGCCAGUAACUUGACAAAUUUCACGGUGACAAGAAAUGAUAGAGUUGUGCAAAAGCGAGAAUAUAUGUAGUUGUCCUCUCAGCACAAACUAGAGAACUGCUUAGAUGUUCUAGAUUUUGAAGUAUGUUAGCAUGACAUAUCUUAUGCUCUGUACUACAGAGCUUUCAGAAAAAUAUAUUAGCCUGACAUUAUACUGCAGCCAAACGUAUACACAUUUAACUGCGAGGAACGAGUACUGUUUGGGAAUAUGCUGACAAAGAAAACUGAUUAAAAUAAUAGGAGAAGAAUUGCAGUUUAUGCUCUACAGAAAACAAUCUGACACAACUGGCAUUAGAGUACAGCUCAGGUUUAUGAAAAUUCUGAAAUGAACACUCACAAAUCUGUUUCUGCACCAUGCGAUCAGCUUUUUUUAAUUUGAAACACACAUACUGUCAGAAAUAGAAUUUGUAACAAAAUAUGGUAUUCCAGUUUAAGUCAGGAGUCAGGAAUGAGUUACUAGUACUAUUUUUUUUUGUGGAAGUAGUUACUGUUAGAACUAUACUGUACGGACACUAUGUGCACACGACAUACUAGAACGUCACUUCAAAUAUCUCACUAUCUACUGUUAACAUCCUGAUAGAAACAAGGUUUUAGAAAAACUGCACUGGACUUUUUUAGAAAACUCAUGAAGGGGCUAGGUUUUAUGAAUUCUCAAAGAGACUCACGAUUUUCACUAAGUUUCAUUAUUGCACAUAAAAUUAUUAUUUCGUGAUGUUCAGUGAGAAACAUUUUUCUCUGAUUUUCUAUGGGUCGCACUUUACAUAGUUAUUUUCACUUAAUCCAAGUGUUUAAGUUUUCAAGUGUUACAUGUAUAUAGUAUGUGUACAGUUAAUUAGUUUGGAUGUGAAAUGUUGCAGUACAGUAGUUUGGACUAACUAAUAAGGUCAUAUCACGUCUAAUGCCCAAUGUGUAAAAAGAUGGUGCUUAAGCUAAUUGAUUGGGCUCUGGUAUGGAUUGAUUGCUCGGUUUCUUUUCUUUUGUUGCCUUUGGUAAUCGAAUACUGAAGCAGGAUCUUCUUCUGCAAUUCUCCAGUCAUACCGCCAAUCAUCUAGUUUGGAUAACUAUGUGGGAAUGCUUCAUGUGACUAUGUGAGCUCGUCUGUUACUUCAAAGCAUAAACAAUAUUGCCUAAGGUUCUUCCUCCAAUCUCAAUUGGUCAUCUGUGUGAUUUAAUGCACAAGUCAAUGUUCCCUAGCAUUUUUACGGACUGUGUAGAUUGUUAAUUUCAAAAAUUAGUAUUACAAUAUUUGCACCUUACCCUUGCCAUCCAGAUAGCUCAUCUUGCAAAUUUAAUGACAUGAGCAACGAUAAAUAGAGUAAAACCCCAAAGUUAUUGAACAUAUCUUACAAUGUUAGCAAUCCAGCAUAGCAUGCAUAAAACUGUCUGUUAGCACAAAUGUCACUAAAUACUUUCAUGCCCACACAAUACUUACGUAGGCAGAUUUGGAGCUUCUUGGAACAUUCUGCCAACAUUUGAGUGCCUUUUCUUUUCGUCAUAGGCAAUCCCUUUGCCCAAGCCGUAACCAAAACCAAAUCCUAUACCACAUCCAGCUCCAACUCCAAAGCCUAAAGUGAGUCCAGGAAAUCCAUAACCUAAUCCUGAACCUGCAUUAUUCAUGCAACAUAUAAAGUUAUACAUCAUUUAUUACAGAAGUUAACACAAAAUAUCAGGAAAAGGAAGCGAGAUCCCAGAGGAUCAAAAAACAGUAUACAAAUUACAAAAUGAUGGAACGGUAGUAUUGGAAAAAAUAGUUUACAAGUGGCAAGAAUGCUGUUCAUUCUGCAACACAUCUGCCAGAAAGUUUACAGAUGCAGACAAUUGGCCUCCUCUCAUGCGCCCAAUUGUAAUGAUAUUGGGUUCACAAGUUGAUUCUAUCCCAUCAAUGGUACCAACCAAAUAUAACAAUUUUCCAUAUAAAAAGUCAACUACUUCCUCAGUCCGACAAAGAAUGUCUCAACUUUGACUAAAUUUGAAUGCAUCUAUACAUUAAGUCAUGUCUAGAUACAUCCAAAUUUUGACAAAGUUGAGACAUCUUUUGUUGGAGGGAGGGAGGAUAACAAUUGCAAAAUUACCAAAACCGAAACCCUCCAACCAAGACACCGAGCAGCACAUAUCAGCAUGUGCAACAAUCCAAUCUGUGAAUACCCCUCCCCUUACGAGCUAUUAGGCUGCUUUGACUAGAUGAGUCUUAGAGCAAACCCUACCUCGUUGACUCCACUAAACCCCACCCUGACUAACCUUCAAAUACUCAUCAUGUUGUCAAGCAGCUCGUCAAGAGCGAAGAGCAAUGCGGAAACAAGGAGCAGGGAAGAAAAACGAAAAACACAACAGGAACUCAAAGUGAAGGAGGGAUUUACCGCCGAAGAAGCCGACUCCGGCGCCCACGCCGCAGCCGAAUCCGAGGCCAAAGGCGGGGCCUAUCUUGCCGAGCUCCCUGGAGGUGACCUCAGGCAGCCUCCAGAGGAGCCCCUUGUCGCCACCCCCACCUCUCUUCCCCGCCUUCGCCGUCCCCAUCGCCUUCCCCUCUCCGUCUGGUCCUGUUCGUGUUGAACUGAGGGGUCCAGGACCUCCGGGUCUCCGAGAAGAUUGAAGAAUGAAGACUCGUGCGGAAAAGCUGAAACAAAGGGCCCAACGAUAACUUGCCCAUAUAGAGCCGGAAGGAAGAUGGCCCAGACAAAAGUCUAAGCAGCUAUUGGGCUGAAAUAGAGAGGGCAGCCCUUGGGCCCGCGGAGGCAGAGCGGAGGACUUUUUUUUUCUGAGGUGACAGAGCGGAGGACUUAAAUGGUGUUUUUUUUUUCCGAAAAUAAGAUGGAAAGCAUCAAAUAUUUUUUGAGAAAUGAUGGAGAGCAUCAAUUGAUACACACAAUUAUUUUUAUUUCAAAGUCAUAGAACACAAGUCAUACAAAACACAGAUCAGAGAACACGAAUACAAAUGUAUGCAGGCAGAAAUGGUCUAACAUAGUCAGUCUAUGUAUUAAAGCAAACGAUUAGAACAACUUGAAUGCCAUGGAUAAUGGUAAACAAUGCUGCUUCGCGGUUGACCCCGCUGAUCGAUGGAACAUGGAAGAGUCUACUGGCUGCACCUUGGCAUUGACCGACUAGUGCUGCACCGCGAUAUCGUCGCGGGAGAAGAGGCAAUUUAAUUUUGCAACCACCUGUCCUUAAAACUGGUUUUACGCAUGCUAGAGAUGCUCUACGCAACAAGGUUAGAAAGAGCAUGAAACCUUGGUUUGUUUACCUACACUUGACUCUUUUCAUAUUCCAGUUUGAAGUGUUCCUUUUAAUCGGUAAUCUAGCUUUAAGUGUUGAUCCUGCCGCUACAUACGCGUUCUUCCCCAAAUCAGAAACAAGCUGGUGGCUGCACAGACCUUGUGGUCCAUUCUUUAGUACUACUAUAUCAAGACAUUUACCAUAUUGUUAUUAGAAAAUCCCGAUUACCACAUGUAACGUACUCUUCGAUUACCGUACGUGCAGGAAGAGAAUAUAGUACUGCACGUACUGAGAGAGUAGUAGUUAAUUGGUGUACGCACUGCCGCUGGAUCUUGUUGUUUUUCGAGUACCAUGCACGUUGCUCGCUUUGUGUGGAUGCAUCGUGCAUAUCAGACCAUCAGUAGUAUAUCGCAUUUUUCUCAAUUGGAAGUAGCUUAGCCCGUGGUUGGUACAAGUUUUGCAUCUGGUCCAUUCAACAUGCCAUAAUACUAUAUCAAUGCAUUUACUACAUUAGUGUGUUCAAGAAGAUCGAUCGAUCUCGCAAACGUACACGCUUGAGGUGUGCAAAUGCAUGAGUGUACUUGCAUAUGGGCAUGAGAAAACAAUGCAGGUCCGUGCCGAGAUAUUUGACAAGUCGGCACGAGCUUGAAUUUGAUUCCACUCCGGUCCGGUCAGACAUACUUCCUUCAAUCCAUGUCUCAAAUUUAAUACUUCCUCCGUCCAACAAAAAAUGUCUCAAAUUUGUUAGAAUUUGAAUGUAUCUAAAUGUGAAUUAGUGUAUAGAUGCAUUCAAAUUUGGUCAAAGUUGAGACAUCCUUUGUUGGACGGAGAGAGUACAAGCUUAUAUUAAGUUACUCACUCCGGCCGGAAUUAUUUGUUGAAAUAUUCAUGUAUCUAGACGUUUUUUGAACAUAGAUACAUUUAUAUUUGGACAAAUUUGAGACAACUAAUAUGGACGGGAGAGAGUAGCAUGAGACAAAUAUUAUGGAUCGGGCAGAGCACGUGUUAACGAAUUAUGUUGCGGUACGCUGGCCCUGAUCAUUACGGCGGCCACAGGGUUGCAAGAGUACUUGUGUAGGCAGUGGUAUGUACGCAAGUAGUACAGCUAUGUCAUGGAAACUUAAUUGAAAUCUGAGGCUCUCCCACGGAUGGGAUCUCGAUCGUUCUGCCAAAACCUUCAUGAACCUGUUAUAUGUGCCGGUCGUACCAAGAAAACAAACAAACUCUUUCCUAGCUCGAUUGUAAGUACAAAUCUUGCAUUGCUAGCUCUCCCUAGCUGAAAUAUAUAUAUGCACACGCCCAAAUAAAUGUGCAUGUACAGUUCAUAAUUUUGGGGCCAAAAUGUGUACAAAUCAGAGCCACGAGUAGCCACUGCCGGAAUCGAUCGAUAUGUAGCUCGCUUAACUUCACCUCACGUACGAUCGGCGCUCGAUCAUGUAUCUGUGUCGUAUGUACCGCUUGUGCAAGUUCAUUUGCACUUUAGAUAUAGGACGUACAGCUAGGUGCCAUUACCCAUGCGUACAUCCUAGCUAGGAUUGCCUAUGCAUGGUACGAGAAUGCACUUUGUAUUCUGGCAUCCAGCUAGUGUUCCCUGUAUUUUUAAAAUAAUAAUAAUAAUCAAAAACCAUAUUGAUGAGUUUCGAUAUUUUUUCACGUGAAAUAUAUAGGCUUUGCUAUACGACACAUUUAUUAAUAAUUGAUAAAUAUUUCAUCUAUGGGCUACACAGAAAAAUGAAUAAUGUAAUAAUGGAUGCACUAUUUGCUACUCCCAGAUUUGUGCUAGGUGCCAAGGCAGCUCUCGUUUCUAGUGCCUGCCACUGAUAUUGGGUUAAUAAUAAAUGGAUGUGAGUAGUUAUUUGCCGGGUGCGGGUACUAAGAGAAAAAUGAGAUCCAUUGUGAAACAAAUGAGAAAAAUCUAUACGCGUUCUAUUGUGGAAUGCAGUGAGUAUUGUAGAACAAAAAUGGAUAUAUUAUCAAUUAAUCAAGAUAUGUACGUAUGUAUACAUGUACAUGUACAUGUGGAACGUUUUUUAAAAACUCCAAAAUAUGAUAUUAUUAUCUUUUGUAUUUUUUAAAAUACAGAAAGUACUGGAACCCAAGAGCAAAAUUCGCUCCAUACUAGAAGUACACACCAACAUACAAGUACUCAUCAAUGACCUUUGAAAAAAUAUAUCCCAUAUAUUUUUCUGAGCCGUCACAGAAGCCGUUGGUGGCCGCAUAUCGUUCCAGGAUAGAAAUUUGCGGGGAUGUUUUUUUUUUUUAAAAAAAAAAUCUAUCGAGAUUGCAUGGGAAGACUAGAUCAGACCAUCGAUCUAGGCUUCAGGCACCAUCGUCGUGGCCGGAAGGAGGGAUUAUUGGCAACACGGUUGAGGGGAGGGAGAUGGAGGUGGAUGAUGGAGCUUCAACUUCCUAACUGUGCGAGCGCUCACCGUGGACAACAGAGGCUGACAUCGAAGUUGUGGAAGAAGAUGAUAGCUAGAAGUGAAGAAGCCCUUUGCGAGGACAAUGACAAGUACGAAGCUUCAACCCUCUACACCGAUUCAACAAACUUUGAUGACGUAUGGGAGCACCAAGUUUGACGAUGCAUUUACCAUUCCACAUUAUGGCCAUUGCAAAAGUUUGAUCGGUCACCAUGUGUGCCCCAACACACAACUCAUACCCGCCAUUAUAGAGUACUCCUUCCGAUCCUUUUGAACUAAAAUAACGACAAUAAUUUGGGAUAGGAAGGAGUAUUUAUUAUUAGUGUUCGACUUUGGCCUUCAAAAUAUUUGGCAGCCUAUGACAGUUUUGAAAUUUUGUCCAACUACCACGUAUGCAUCAUCUCCACAAAUCUUGCAAAAAUUUCAGCCGACCAAAAGCCAAGGUAUCAUAUUUGGCUAGUGAUGGUGGCCGUCACUAAUUCAUAGGGCUUGAAUUGGUAGUUUGGUACUCCAUAUUAUCCAAACGUACCUACCCACACCACAUAAAUGUUACUCUCUCUGAUCCUAAAUUGUUGACUUAAAUUUGAUCAAAUAUGAAUGUAUUUAUUCUUAAAAAAUAUCUAGAUACAUGUAAUAUUUCAACAACAGUUUAGGAUCAGAGUGAGCAGCACAUGGAGUGAUCGCUGCUGAAUCCUUGUUCAGUAUUUCUGGCCGGGCCAAAAUUGAACCACGAGGACAAGUCACAUGCGUGCACGUCCAGUGACCCGCGUGACAAAGAGCAGUACCAUAUAGCAAAAUUGAUUGCUUUUUUCCUUAAAGCACAAGCACGUACGCAUGGCGUGAUGAUGAAGAGCCAAGAUUUUGGCGGCCGGCGGCGUCACUGCACGGGGGGUUGACAUCCUCGCAAAGAUUUCUGGGAAUGAACGCCGCGUACAUCACCCACAGUGUACGAACGUUCAGAGCUACGAGCGGCCACGGGCCACUAGUCCCACUACUGUAAACGUGACGACUUACACCUGGGCGUACGGCCUCGCAAUUCUUAACUUCCUCGCAUUACGCGCACAAACGCGAGGACACCGUACGCACCGUACGUGUGUGCAAAGUUUGAUUGUAGCUCGGGACGAAAUUAAGGCGCCGGAUUUGUUUGUUUCUAAAUCCGAUGGCAACAACUUAUGCAGGAUCGGACGUCUGGGCUCAUGCAGGCGACGGUGAUGCUUCUCAGAAGCCGUGAUGGGCGGCGUCCAGCGGCUGGGAAUAGGAUGUGUCUGCUGUCCUCUUAAACUCUUCUCUCUAUUUGGCUCGUGUGGGUCAACAAUGAAGUUUAUCGCCACUCUGUUUUGAGAUUUUGGGAGUUUCUGGCUCUGUAGGACUAGAUAUUUGGUGGCAUCAGGUUUUCAACCCAUACAGUUCCGACCGAGCCGGCUGGGACACAGUAGGUUUCCUGGUGGUGUCAGGAUCCGCUUCUCCCCAUUCUCUUGUGUUUUUCUUCCUGUAAAGCUCUAAAACAUUGUUAUUUCCGUUUCAAUGAAAUGAAAAAUGAUGGUCAUCCGAAAAUAAGCUCUAAUGCAUCCAACCAAAAUAUUGUCAGGUAGAAUUAGGUACCAAAUUAGUCUGUAAAAGCGACCCCACCAGCCUCCAGACCACACAAGCCACACCACAAGUGAAAAAAAAAUGCCUAGCAGAUUCCAAUUGAUCAAAAAAAGAACACACAGGAGAACCAGACCAAUUCUUUUUCCUUGUGUAUAAAAGCCAUAAGAAAAUUUGAAUUUUCAGGAGAAUUUUUGCUUUCCAAAUCCAUCUAUGAUGGCUGCCAUGAAUAUUUCUUUCCAACCACUUAUACAUUGAUCUCACAGAAUAUACUUCUCCAAGGACCAGCACAAAUUUUCUGGUCCAGUAAAAUAAAGAUCAGAUGUUUUGCUUUUUGUUGGAUUUUACCAUGUAUAUCUUCUUUUUGGUUAAUCCUUCAUGUUCUUUUAGUAUAUAAUUGUCUGAUUUUCAAUAACCAGUUCUCAUUCUGUUCUGUUUUAUACUUUCACCAAAAUGGGCAGCUUUGAUCUUUCUGCCAAAAUAAUUUCGAAACGAUGUGAUGAGUAUUUAAAUCCUUGAAGGUAAUAGGAGGAAGAAAUUCUCGCAAAAAAAAAAUAAGCGGAAGAAAUACAUCUCAAUCAGGUCAAACUCCAGAUUCAUAGUCAAGUCUUCCCCGGCCGAAACCGAGAGUGAUGUUCACCAUCUCAAUCAGUGGAACCUCCACCACUCACGAAAGCAAUCAUUCACGACAGGUAGAUAAGAACAAAUCAGCCAUCAUACACUACACCUCAUGCACCUCAGUCUUAGACAAAUUUACUAGCAAAAUGCCUUCCACUGGCUGGCUUAUAUUACUUCUCCUUGUUCUUACAAAGCUCACGUUCAGUGGUGUCCAUGGCAAUCUUCCUAGAAAUUCUGUCCAUUGCCUUCCAGACAAGGCUGUGUCGCUCCUUCAGCUGAAGCAAUCCUUCUCCUUCGAUUUCUCUACCACCACCCUCCCUUCAUGGCAAGCCGGUACCGACUGCUGUCUUUGGGAAGGCAUUAGCUGCGACGUCUCCUCCGGUGAGGUCACUGCCCUCAGCCUCGCCGGUCGAGGCCUGUAUAGCUAUGGCAUAGACAGUGCAAUCUUCAAUCUCACCUCCCUGCAGCAUCUUGACCUUAGCAGGAACAAUUUUGGUGGGUCACACCUUCCGGAUGUCGGGUUUGAGAGGCUCUCUUUGCUCACCAACCUCAACCUCUCUGGUUCAGGUCUCUAUGGCCAGAUCCCUAUCAGCAUAGGGUACCUCACAAGUCUCGUCUCCCUUGAUCUCUCCAACAGAGACGUGACUACUUACUUUGCAAAUAUGUUGGUGUUGUGGGAACCGAGUUUUAUGGUGUUGGUGGCAAAACUCACCAAUCUAAGGGAGCUUUACCUAGAUUGGGUGGAUGUAUCUGCUAGUGGAGAAGAGUGGUGUGGUGCCCUGGCAAGACAUGUUCCUCAUCUUGAGAUUCUUAGCUUGGACCUAUGUAGGCUCUAUGGUCCAAUUCAUGUGUCCCUCUCAAGAGUUCGCUCGCUUUCUGUGAUUAACCUCCAUAGUAACUACAGAAUAUCUGGUGCAGUUCCGGAUUUUUUUGCAGAUUUCCAAAAUCUAAGUGUUCUUCAGCUUGGUGAUUGUCGUUUUGAUGGGCUAUUUCCUCCAAGGAUCUUUGAACUAAAAAAACUGAGAGUCCUUGAUUUGUCCUAUAACUCAAACAUGUUGGUUCACCUUCCAGAUUUUCUGAAUGGAAGUUCUUUAGAGAUAUUAAAUAUACAAGAUACAAAUUUCUCUACUGCCAGCCCAAGGUCCUUCAGCAACCUCAAGUUUCUCGAGGAGCUACACAUUGAUGGGAAAUAUAAAUACCUCACGGUGCUUCCUCCAUCCUCAUUUAAGUCCUUGAAGAAGUUGCACUUGUCUCAGCUAGAAUCAGAAACACCAGCCUCCUGGCGGAUUGGGGAAGCUCAGAACUUAACAUAUUUGGAAAUUUCAAGCAGCAACUUCUCCGGGAGAACGCCAUCUUGGAUUGACAAUCUCAGAAACUUGAGGAAAUUGCAAAUCUAUGACUGCAUCUUCUCUGGGCCUAUACCAUCAACAAUUGGGAAUCUGAUGAAUUUGACAGAUUUGGCACUUCAGAAUUGUGGUUUUUCUGGAAGAAUACCAGCAUGGGUUGGUAAUUUAACCCAACUAUCUUAUUUGGACCUUGACACGAAUCAUCUGAGUGGUAAGUCUACAUACCAAAAUAUUAUUCCAAUCACCACAAAUCUAUGAUGUAACUGCACAAUUUAGUUUUAUGAGAUUUUUUAUUGAAAAGAAGUGUUUUACUUAGAUUUAUUUAUUGAAAUAAGUGUUUUAAUGAGAUUUUUCUUUUCAAAAAUAUUAUUGCACGGAAAUCACAUUUGAAUGUGUUAUGGGUGCUUUAAAAAUUCAUUUGAUGGACCUAUAUACAGUGUACUAUAGGAUUACACCCACCAAGUUAGUGGUUAGUUCUGAUUAAGUGGUCAAUAUGGGAAUAUACUGUUUCAUUUAUUUAGUUUUGGUUACUUCAAAAAAACUGGAAAGUGAAGAUCAGGGGCCAAUUAACCUAAGAGCGAGCGUGCCGGCGAAUACGAACCAAGGCCCCGAGAUAGUUAUAACAGUAUAGGGGCCAAUUAACACAAAAUCCUUUUUAUCCAGUAUUAAUUUGGAACCACGUGCAUCUAAAGCAUCCUUUACAAAAAUCAAUGUAGUUGUAUGCAACCUAGAGCAAUAGCAUGAAGAACACGACACGAACACGAAGAACAGUUAGAACAGAACGUAAUAGGAACACAAGCUAGGAAACAAAGCGGAGUCGAGAACAGAAUCACAGUAGAUGUAAAUGAUAGCCCUUUGGGUCAGAUUGUUUUGCAUUGAAUUAGUUUAACUUGUCCUGUCGCCAGUGGGCCAGGGAAGGUACAGCGGCCAAAGAAAUACACAAGCUGUCAAGCUAUUCUGCUGGUGGCGACAUUUCGUAGAUCCGUAGAGGAAGUUGUGCUUAGCACCGACGAUUGUAUGAUAUCAAUAUGUUACGCAUGUGAAUCCUAUUCUGGUAACUUUAUUUCUGAUGCAAAUGAAGAAGAAUGAUUGGAGCAGAUUUUAACUGAACUGACAUUUAUUUUGCUUAUUCUCAGGGGAAAUACCAGAUUCCAUAUUUACUCUUCCAGCAUUACAGAUGCUGGAUCUUUCUUCAAAUCGACUUUCUGGCAAGCUAAGGGACUUUCUUGCUUCAUCUUCUUCCUUGUAUUGGAUUGACAUGACUGACAAUGAAUUGGAUGGGUCAAUAAAGUCACUCAGCCAACUAAAAAGAUUGCAUGCACUCUUUCUCGGUUCUAAUAACUUCAUGAUAGAUCAGGUAGAGCUCAAUUCGUUGUUGGGAUUAAGAGAACUCCGGGCACUGGACCUGUCAAAUAAUAGGCUGUCAGUAAUAGAGGUGACAGAUGGACAAGGAGUUUCAGUUCCUUCUGUAUCUCGACUUCAAGUUUUGGACCUAGCAUCCUGCAACCUAACUAAAAUUCCAGAUUUUCUACAGUUUCUGCACCAUGUCGGUUACUUGGAUAUUUCUAAUAACCAUAUUUCCGGCAGUAUACCUAAGUGGAUAUGGGACAAUUGGAGUAAUACACUUCUCUAUCUGAACUUGUCAAACAACAAUUUUUCUAGCAUGGAACUAUCUUCGCCUUUUCUUCCAAAAGCCCUACAAAUUAUUGAUCUUAGCUCCAAUAGACUCCAGGGAAAGGUCCCUAUUCCACUGAAGCCAACAAACCUACAGUUCUUGGACUACUCAAAUAACAGAUUCUCAUCAAUCUUAAAAAACUGCACCUCAUGCCUUGGAAAAACUUUCUACCUUAAGAUGGCAAAUAAUAGAAUAAGAGGAGAGAUCCCACACUUCAUUUGCAACGCGAGCAAGCUUGUAAUUCUUGAUUUAUCUAAUAACAGUUUCAGUGGAACGAUUCCAUCAUGUCUAAUACAAGGUGGCCAUCUCAGCAUAUUGAAUUUGAGGGACAAUCACCUCGAAGGAAGACUAGCAUCUAGGGUUGACAAGAGAUGCGCUCUUCAGACAAUAAAUUUGGGUGGAAAUAGGAUUGGAGGUCAACUUCCCUGGUCACUUUCUAACUGCAAGGAUUUGGAGUUUCUCGAUCUGGGUAACAACCAAAUUGUUGACUCUUUUCCACAUUGGUUGGGAAAGCUUCCCAAGCUUCGCAUUCUGGUCUUGAGAUCAAACCAGCUCCAUGGCACAAUAGAAAAUUCUCCAGGAGAUGAUGACUAUGGAGAACACUUUUCAAGUAUGCAAAUAAUUGACGUUGCCUCGAACUAUUUCUCUGGCAAUCUGAGGUCACCAUGGUUUGAAAAUUUACAGUCUAUGAUCAAAAGUUCUGAUUUCGAAGGAGACAUUAUAAAAGCUCAAAACGUGACAGGAUCUUAUCAAGAUAUUGUCACCGUAAUGUUCAAAGGGCAGUACAUGACAUUCGAGAAGAUAUGGACCACUCUUACAAUGAUCGACUUCUCGGAUAAUGCAUUCACUGGUUCCAUUCCUGAAUCAUUUGGAAGACUUGGUCAACUACAUGGACUCAACCUGUCAAAUAACAUGUUGACAGGAGAAAUUCCAGCACAACUAGGUGGUAUGACUGCUCUGGAGUCAAUGGAUCUAUCUUCAAACGAGCUUUCUGGGGAGAUACCAGAGGAGCUGACAGACCUCACUUCUCUAGGUACCUUGAAUUUGUCCAACAACCAAUUCAUCGGAAAAAUACCGGAAUCGCGCCAAUUUGGAACGUUCCAGAACAAUUCGUAUGAAGGGAAUGCAGGACUGUGUGGACCGCCCUUGUCCAAACAGUGUGACAGCCAAGGAGGUGGACCAAUUGGAGUGCUUGCGAGCAAGUCCUCAGAUCAGGUUGAUGUCAUUUUGUUUCUCUUCAUCGGCAUAGGAUAUGGCCUUGGGUUUGCAGCAGGUUUACUAAUCAAAUGGAGUCGCAUAGGCAAGUGGUUCAGGACAACAAACACGUCUUGAUAGUGCGCAAGCAAAGGUUUGUCUGCGGAGUGCAACUAUGCCUAUGCUGAAUUUUGAAGUAUUUGUUGUACUUACAUUGUUGUUAUCAGCACCUGCAGCUUCAUAAUUGCAGCAAAAAAAAAUGUCUCUACUGCAAGUUGUCUUUCUGUUGCUAUCAGUGUCUGUACUCAGCAAUCAAAACUUUGUACUACGUGAUUUGCAUGUUCAAGAACGAUCUAAAUUUCCGUAUAUUUUUAAGGCAGAUUUUAUUUCGGAUGAAAACCUAAAAUGUACAUGAAAAUUAGUUCUGGGCUCACAUUAGCGAUAUGUACAUAUAGGUAAAGGAAGAACAAUUGUAAAAUUCAGAUUUCAUAUAUUACAUGUCUUAAUUGAACCAGAGUCCAGAAACAGGACCAUAAUAAGCUGAACAGAAACAAAUGAUUCUGAAUCUGAAUGAACAAGCAUGCCAAGAAGAGAAGAGACCUGUGAACCUCUCUUGUUCUCGAGGUGGGUGCUCCAUUCCCGCCAGCCAUGGUCUACCUUGAGUGAUUCUUCCGCCCAUCACGAUCACGAUGCCUCCAACGGCCGGCUCCUGCGCCCUCCUUCCUUGGCGGAGCAUCUAGGCGACGCGCCGCCCAAUGUCGUGGUGCCCCCACCCGCGACUUGACGGCUGCGGCGAAAGGACGUGGCCGGCGGCGCGUAGAAGGCCGCCGGAUUCCCAUAAAAAAGAAGCGUGCGGCAGCAGCGCAUCUCCGCCGGUCGCCGGAGAGGGAAGGGGAAAGGCUUCGAAGAAAAAAGGGUAGCGGGGAUGAUACUUGAGCCGGUCUUUCUACGCUCUUGUACAAGGCGACCAAAAAGAGCAAAAUGCACCGUAGCUUGUAAAACUACGAAAGAUGUGUCAAUUCGGUCCUCACGACAUAAGUUUGUAAUGCAUUUUUAGUGGUCAGCUAAGUUAGAUGCUCUCUUCCUCCAAAAAAUACAAACACAAAUUGAAAAUUAAGUGAAGAAAGAAUUGACACGGUACCAUUGUACAAAACCAAAGGUUUCAAUAUACCACUCAAAUAAACAUCCUUUCCAAAAAACCACUACAAUUCAGUUUUUCAUGCCAAAAUGCCGCUAUCGUCAAUUGACUGUUAGUCAAAGUGGUAGAAAGAUGCCAGUAAUCUUACUAUUUCAAUAUUAUCCUUCUCCUUCCUCAUGCGACACGAUAAUGGCAACUCUCUACUGUAAUGGUAGAUCGUAGCUUUGUUUUUUUUCUCAACGUGCGCAACUCUGAACCACUAUCUUUUGUUUGCUGCUAUCUAAAUGCUACUGAAAUGUUGAAGGUUGUCCAAUUGAUGUCGAAAUUUGUCCAAAUGUGCUACUAAAAUCUGUCCAUAUGUGUUGCCGAAGUGUUGUUGAAAUAUGUCCAUAUUAUUGUUGAAAUGAUGUCUGAAUGUGCUGCUGAAAUGCAAGCAAAUGUUGUUGAAUUGUGAAGAGGCGAGGGUAUAUAUGCAGGGACGGAGUCAGAAAUUUGACAUGAGGGGGCGAGUUGGGAUUAGGGGGGCGAAAUUAAAGUCUUCACCUAUUUUAAAGUGAUUUUUAAUGAGCUGAUUAGUAAGUAUUAACUAAAAUGAGUCCAUUUUUGUGGUUGUUAGGGGUUGUUAGUCUUUAGUGGUAUUUUGACAUGAAAAACUGAAUUGUAAUGGUAUUUUGGAAAGGGUGGUUAUUUGAGUGGUAUUUGAAACCUUUGAUUUUGCAUAGUGGUACCAUGUCAAUUCUCUCUCAAGUGAAUGUUUUCUUGUUGAAGUUUAUGAGUUUUAUUAUGGAGUAAACAUUGAGUAGAUAUGCAAUUAAGAACCAAUUUGACAAGGAGUAACGACGAAACGGAUAUAUGUGAUGGCAGCUCAAUGAUCAUUGAUCAACUUAUUUUUGGAUUUCUCAAAUUAGAAUUUGUCCUUAUAUUUUUUUGAUCGAGUGAGUAGAAUAAAACAGAACCUAAAGUUUACUGGCUCCUCUCUGUAUUUUCCCACCUGAGCUCACAAUCACAAACAAUGUGAUUCUAAGGCGAUCGGAUUCGGCGAUUGGAACUUCGACGAGCUCGCAAACGCUUUGAACUCCUGACCAUGGUGGGAGGAGACUGAGAAGUCUAGAAAUAACAGAGAGAACGAAGAAAGGGGAGGAGGCCGUGAGAUAAAUGCAAAAUGACCAAAUGCUUCCGGUGAAUUUUCCUGCCAAAACCGACCCUUUCUGUCUGGCGUUGGUUAACGAGCUACGUGGACAAGUUAGGUCCCGAUGGGACUUACUACUUUUGUUUCACAAAACACAUGUAGAUUUGUUCAUUCGGAUAAAAUCAGCUCUCAUUUCUAAUGUCUCACUAUUUAUAUUGAUUAUUACUAAAUGAAUGUAAACUAUUAUUGGCCGGUUGCGGGAGCCAAGAGAAAAAACGAGCUAUAUUAUUGAACAAAUCAGGAAAAUCUGUGUGAUUUGUUUUGUGAAAUGGAGGGAGUAUGAUGAAACACUUGAUACACACGGUUAGAACUAAAAUGUGCAUUUUUAUACUUUCAGGACUCGGUUGAUACAUUUCACAUGGUUUUACGAGCUUUGAUGCAAUUAACUCGGACAAAAAUGUACCAGUAGAAACUCCAAAUAUUGAGUUCUCUUAAUAUAUUUCAUCAUUUUUUUAACUAGUACCGUGGCCCUCUCAAAUAGGAGGGCAAUAUAUUUAGUGUGUACAUAGAAUUAAAUGUUCCAACUCAGAUGAAAAGGUCACAAUGAUAAACACAUAAACUUUACGAUCUUUCAUCAUGUCCUUACUUCCCUAAUACCAAAAUACAUCAUGUUUUAGACACGGGCAGCACCUAAAAGACAAAAUUUUGGCGUUCUGCUUUGUAUGAACAUGCUACUAAUUUUUUGAAAAGAUGUAUAAUUAUACAAUAUUUUCAUGAUUAAUCUCAUGGCCUUAAUUUGGUCUCUCACAAUAAUGUGUUUAUACAUCGAUAGUUAAAGUUAGAGAAAUAUGAAAAAAAAAAGCUUUUGAGGACAACAAUCUAUCUUUGAACGGAGGUGUUGUUGUUGUUGUUGUUGUUGAUCUAUAAGUGCUAUCUGAUCCACUCCUCAAUUCAGCUAUUGUACAUUCUCGUUCCCUUAUAUAUGUCGUGUCAUGUAACGUCAUUAUAUCUCCUUAGUCUUGGCUUGAAUGCAUGGCAUAGUCCUGACAAUUAAUAAUCUCAUUCAAAAAAUAGUUAUCCAUUUUACUUCACCUUUACCAUUCCCAGGACGAACCAAAUUUGUGGUGUGGCAAAAUCAGUAGCACGGCGACAAUGUACAACACAACAUUUCAUUCAUUGGGUAAUACGGGUGCGAACAUAUUAAGAUAAAGGUAAGUUACCGAAAAAUACCUCAUUAAGCGAAGCUCAAACAAAAACUCACCAUUAAUCUAAUAAAUCUAAGUAGGGGAAACCACUACUUAUUUCUCUCAUCAUGCAAGCAUGCCACAUCAUCACACAAUUAAUUAAUUUGUUCACACAUCUAUUUUUUGCACAUGCGUUACUUUCCAUCAAGCUAUUUCCAUUAAGUGAAGCAUGUAUAAUCUAUCAUACAAUUACAUUAUAUGUUUUCAAUGCAUACUCUUUUGUUGCUACUUUUUACUCAUGUAUGUUAACUAAGAAUUUCAUUCAACAACGUGGGCUCACGUAUGUUAACUAAAAGUUUUCGCGACAACGUGCGGGGAAUCAUCUAGUUUAUCUAAUGUAUCGGUAUAAAGACUAACAGCAACGUCAUACAUAGUAAUAGUACAUAGUUACAUACAGUAACAAACACUGAUAUACAUACCUCUAAAAUUUGCCGUGGCCUUGCAGCCCUUCGUCUUCUUUGAAGGUGUCGGGCGGAUGACCCCGGAUAGGGUCUUGGCGACACACAUUAGCCGAGAUGACGAAGGCAAAUCCGGCACAGGCAUGUACGUCGGCAUCCUUAAGACAAACUAAUGCUAAGCCGGCAUACCAAGUGUAUGCCGGCAUGACUAUCUUGUCUUAUGAGAUGGCAGGAUAAGGACGGAUACACUGAUCUCGGCCAGCGCCGAGAUGUCUUAACGGUCUUAUCCUCAUCGCGUGGCGCAAAGUAAAGCAACGCUAUCUUUAUCACGGAAAAGCAGUCGCUGCUUACGUUGUGAUGGCAGACGACCGCGCAAAGAAGCACCGAAAGAGAAUCAGUGACGGAAGCCGGCAGGCGGCUGGUGUACUUGUUGCAGAGCGUCAGGAAAAAUACAGUUGUCUUGUCCCCUGAGGUGCCACCCGGAGGGAACCAAGGCGCGUGCCCGGCGGGACUCAUAGAAGAUAACGUUAGCCCUUGACCCACAUGUCAGUGUGACAUGGGCGGUCCAUAAAUAGAGCACUACCCCUCCCAGGAGAGGGAUCCAACACUUAGGCAUCUAGGGUUUACCCCUUCUUCUUCUUAUUCUUCUUCUUCUUCUUCUUCUUCUUCUUCUUCUUCUUCUUCUUCUUCUUCUUCUUUCCUCAAGAACACUGCUCAAGGAGCGCCAUUGUAGAUCUUGUUAUCUCGGCUUAUUAAAAAAAGCAGGAGUAUGAGUCUUACCUCUACAAGAGGGCUCCGAAUCUGGGUAAAUCUGUGUGUGCUAGUGUGCUUGUGCGUGUUUCUCUUCACGUCCUCCCUCCUCCGGUUCCUCUUUCGUCCAUCGGCCCCAACUUAAGCCAUCCUAUGGCAUCUGCCGUGACACCACCACGACAGUUGGCGCCCACUGUGGGGCCAGCAGCGGCGCUGGCUGGAGUUUUCAUCCGGACGGAAGCUUCCUCGUCACCGGGGAGCGCGUGGUCUCCGGUUUGGUCUAGAGAUUUGGCUCUCUGGGCUUCAUCGACAACAACGCCGGCUGCUUCAACAACGCGCCGCUUCCUUGCGCAGGCCGCUUCAUCAACUUCGGCAUGCAUGAGGUUUAUGUCGCCACUGACAGUCCUUGCAGGUACCCCGAGCAGGUAGUGGUGGCCGAAGAUCCCCCCACCGUCUGCACGGUUCGCGGCCGGCAUGUCGACUGCCCCGCUGACCGUGUGGAGGUCAUGGUGACGGCUCACGGCGUCGAUGCUGGCAAGGGCACCGCAGAGAGCGGCACGGUCCCGAGCAAGUCCGGCAGAACGGCGAAGUUCCCUUUGGAGAAGCCGGAUAAUGUCGCUGCUCAAGCCGGCACGUCGGCUCUACCGCCAAAGUCGACUCAGCUCCAGGCCUCCAACGAACGGCUGACCGUGCCGGUGGCGUCAAACUCUAACCCGGCCCAGCUGCAGGCUGAGUUGGAGUUGGAGCGCCAGAAAUUGCUGAAGGAAGCUGUUGACGUGGCUCGCGCUCGGCAAGAACUUGAUAUUUCGCUCCGUAUAACAAAGCUCAUGGUUUCAAUUCUAUCGCAUUGACUAACCCUAGCCGAGUUGGGGAAGUGCGUAACCGAGGCAGGAACUUGAACGCCGAGAUAGCUAGAGAUUGCAGAGGGGUGCCUGCGGUGUCGGCAAGUUUUGCCUCGGCAUUGAAGCCGAGAUACAACACCCCUGUCAAGAAUCUCAGGGCCACCGAGGCUGCGGCCGAGGAGUUGCCGAAUCCCACGGGAGAGGCACUCCGGCUGUAGCAAUUGCGCGUGAAGGAGUUACUCCGCACGGCUAACGAGCAGAAUGAGGCAUACAUGAGAUUGCACGGCAAGCCCAGUGCGUCUCAGGUCAUUCACUCGGUAGCGGGCGCUGAUGGCCGGGCUGACAAGCAAGCGUCCUCGCCUGAUGGCAAACGGGACAAGAGUGUCAACUCAGGCCGAGAUAAGCGCCUAGAGCAUUAUGACCCGGUUCUGGCCGAGAAGCAAAUGGUCAAGAGAGUUGAAGACAGCCAGAGUGGUAUGCGUCUCGGCAACAAUCGCCGAGAUCAGCAAGAGCGUCACUCGGCUGGUCUUGGACACCGACCUCGGGGUCCGGCACCCAAUACUGUUGUAGGUCAGCAGGGUGUCGGGCGCAACCCCCUGUAUCGAGGUGAAGAUCGCCGGCAAGACCGUUACGAUGACGGGUACUCGGCCAUGGGUGAUGAGGGCUCUCUCAGGCAAGAACGCCAUAAUCUCGGCCCGCUCGGAGCCCGAAUUGGGAACAAACAAGUGUCGCCGCUGGAUGCCCAACAUCGGCUCGACAGAAUAUAUCUGUCAGAGGUUUUGGAAGAACUAGGCCCUUCGGGACAGCGUUGUUUCGCACACCGGAUCAUGAGGGAGACACCAGCCCAGGGUUUCCAGCUGCCCAGGGGUACGAGAACAUAUGACGGCAGUACUAAGCCGGAAGAUUGGCUGGAAGACUAUGUCACGGCGGUGCAUGUGGCAGGCGGCAAUCGCCGAUGGGCAGUACAUUAUGUACCCCAGAUGCUGGUAGGGCCGGCAAGGAUAUGGCUGAACAAUUUGCCGGAAGGCAGCAUCAAUUGCUGGAUAGACUUUGAGGAAGUUUUUGUCAGCAAUUUCACUAGCACUUACAAGAGGCCAAACCGCUCUCAGCGGUUCUUCAUGUGCAUGUGCAAACAAAGAGACAAUGAGACUGACCGGAAUUACCUGACAAGAUGGAACAACCUCCGCAAUUCCUGUGAAGGGAUAGUGGAAUCGCAAGCCAUAGCGUGGUUUGCCCAAUGAUGCCGACAUGGCAGCAUGUUAUGGCAAAAGCUGCAAAGAGAAAUGCCGGCCACUCUGUCUGAGAUGAUCAAGAUUGCCGACAUGUAUGCUCUCGGUGAUCCGACUCAGCCAUCAUUGAUGCCGUCAGAGCCGCAAAGGGAGCAGCCGAUAUACAACCCUGCUAGAGCAUUCCAGAGGAACGAUUAUCAAGAUCACCGCAACAAGAGAAGGGACGACAGGUCGGAUUACCGGUAUGGGCCAGCCCAUGUCGCCGCUAUUCAGGAUCAACCUGAUGCCGGCUCUAGCCAGUGUUGAAAGACUGAAAAUCAGCAGUGGGUCAAGAAAGGAGAGCAAAAGAAGCCCUGGCAAGAUAACCAGAAGUAUAUGUUCGAGGUGAUGCUGGAUCAGCCUUGUCGUUUUCACACGACUAAUCCCAGCAAACCGACAAAUCACACAACCCGGCAAUGCAACUGGAUGCAGCGGGCCGAGAAGGGUGAGGCAAGUCGGCUGCCCCCUCCUCCACCGCUCACAGGCGUUAACGCCCAGAUCCAAGGACCCCCUCCGACAAACAAUGCUGUCAAUCAGGUGGAAGACCAAGGUAUCCCGCAAUAUGCCGGAAGAAAUAAAUACAAGGAGCAUCACGAGAGCUACAUGAUUUUCAUCACGGAGCCGACUGACAAGCAGAGUCAGCGUAGGCGAGAGAUGGAAGUCAAUGCUGUGAUGCCGGCGGUUCCAAAGUUUAUGUACUGGUCGGAAUAGGAGCUCAACUGGAACCGAGCGGAUCAUCCCAAGGUUAUGCCAAAUCCUGGUAGAUAUGCUCUGGUGGUUGACCCGACACUCAUUGGGCCCGGCAUUAACGUCAAGUUCACUCGGGUUCUCAUUGAUAUUGGAAGAAGCAUAAACAUCAUGUACCGGGACACGAUGCUCAAAUUUUGGCAUUACUCAUAACAUGCUUGAGCCUAGCCGGACUACCUUUCGUGAUAUCGUGCCGGGAGUGUCUUGUGCCCCGGUAGGCAAGAUCCGAGUCGAUGUCUUAUUUGGCACCAGGGAGAAUUGUCGGACCGAGAACCUGGUGUUCGAAGUGGUGGACCUUAGCAGUCCGUACCAUGCGCUACUUGGCAGACCGGCAUUGGCCAAAUUCAUGGCGACUACCCACAUAGGCUAUCUGAAGAUGAAGAUGCCGGGGCCAAAUGGUACCAUAACCAUUACUGGCAACUACAAGCGUUCAAUGGAGUGCGCGGCGGCAGGGUCUGCCUUGGCCGAGUCACUGGUCAUCGCUGGUGAGAAGAAGAAGUUACAAGAAGCUGUUGCGAUGGCUCAAGCGGUACAGAUUGGCCUGCGGGCUAUGACCAAUCCCCAUGGGAGUGUGGCGUUUCAGGCAGCCAGGAGACGAAGAAGAUACAGGUCGACAGUGAAUUCCCGAACCGCACCGUCAUCAUUGGUGCCGGCCUGGGUGAAAAUAGGAAGGCGAGCUCACCAGCUUCCUCUGUGAGCAUCGGGACAUCUUCGCAUGGUCUAAUCAGGACCUGCCGGGUGUGCCGAGGGAGCUGGUUGAGCACUCAUUACAUGUCAGACCAGACGCUAGACCGGUGAAGCAGCCCUUUCGACGCUUCGCCGACGACAGAAGGAAAAUCAUAUCGGACAGAAGGAAAAUCAUAUCGGAAGAGAUAUCCCGGUUUCUAGUUGCGGGCUUUAUCAUGGAAGUAUUGCAUCCCGACUGACUGGCGAAUCCGGUCAUGGUCAAGAACAAGAAAAACGACCCAACUGCUGCCAAGGUGUGGCGCAUGUGUAUCGACUACACAGCCUGAACAAGGCAUGUCCAAAGGAUCCUUUUCCGUUACCUCGGAUCAAUCAAGUAAUCGACUCCACUGCCGGUUGUGAAUUGCUGUAUUUUGUAGACGUGUACUAUGGUUUUCACCAGAUACCGCUGAACCCUAAUGAUCAAAUAAAGACAUCAUUUAUCACCCCGUUCGGGGCUUAUUGCUAUCGCACUAUGCCGUUUGGUUUGAGAAAUGCAGGAGCUACUUAUCAAAGAUGCAUGCAGAAAUGCUUGCACGAUCAACUCGGCAAAAAUGUGCAGGUAUAUGUCGAUGAUGUCGUCAUAAAAACCAAAGAAAGCGCCACGUUGCUGGAUGAUAUCCGGAAAACAUUCGCAAAUCUGAGAAGAUUCCGAAUGAAGCUAAACCCGGCUAAAUGCACAUUCAGUGUGCCGGUAGGGAAGCUGCUCGGGUUCCUGGUAUUGAGCCGAGGUAUAGAAACGAACCAUGUGAAAAUCGCCGCCAUAGAGAGAAUGAAACUGCCGAAAUGUCUCAAAGAUGUGCAGAAAUUCACUGGAUGCCUAGCAUCGCUAAGUCGUUUCAUUAGUCGGCUGGGUGAAAAGGCAAUGCCCUUAUACCAGCUGAUCAAGAAAACCGACAAAUUUGUGUGGACGCAACACGCAGAAGUAGCCUUUCAAGAACUAAAGAAGAUGAUUGCUACAACGCCAAUAUUAGCCUCACCAAUGGAGAAAGAGCCGAUGUUAUUGUACAUAGCAGUAACAAAUCGAGUCGUUAGUGCCGUCAUAGUGGAGGAAAGAGAUGGAGAUGGCAAAUCAGUGCAAAGGCCCGUAUAUUAUUUGAGCGAGGUGUUAUCGUCGUCUAAGCAGAAUUAUCCUCAUUACCAGAAGAUGGCAUACGACGUUUAUAUGGCGGCAAAGAAACUGAAGCAUUAUUUUGAUCUGCAUCAGAUUCGGGUUAUAUGUGAGGCACCCAUGUCAGAAAUCAUGAGCAAUAAAGACGCAAGCGGCCGGAUCGCAAAAUGGGCUAUCGAGUUAGCACCCUACACGCUGCAGUAUGACAGACGGGAUGCCAUAAAAUCUCAGGCUCUCGCGGAUUUCCUGGUACACUGGGCCGAGAUAGAAUAUGAGCCACCACCGCCUGAAACUGGCUAUUGGAAGAUGCAUUUUGACGUCUCCAAAAUGAGAAGUGGGCUUGGUGCUGGCAUAGUAUUAACUUCGCCUAAGCGCGACCAACUUAAAUAUGUGCUGAAAAUUCAUUUUGCGGCAUCCAACAAUGUCGCCAAGUAUGAGGCACUCGUGCACGGACUAAAGAUGGCAAAAGAAAUUGGAGUUUGUCGGAUUCAAUGCUUUGGCGACUCGGACUUGGUAGUUCAGCAAGCUUCCGGCAAUUGGGAUGCAUUGGAUGCCAAUAUGACACUAUACCGCUUUCAUGUUCAGAAGAUCAGUGGUCAUUUCGAAGGGUGUGACUUCCAUCAUAUACCGCGGGCGGAAAAUGAGGCAGCCGACACGCUGUCGAAGCUCGGCUCAACGCGACAAGCUAUCCCGGCUGGUGUGGCAUUGGAGCAUUUACGCAAACCAUCCAUCAAGCCAUCACUAGAAUCGGAGUCAAUCUUUAUCCCGCCGAUCUCAGAAGCUGACAUCACCCCAAUGGACAUUGACAGUGGUAGCGGUUCCGGUAACUCAGUGACUGAGCGCCCUAACUCGGCGGAAGCAAUGGCGGUUGAGCCAAUGGAGAUAGACGAACCAGACGAGCCGAUCUUUGCUACUCGUCCCGUGCUGGCCUGGGCACAACCGAUAAUGUCUUAUCUCAAAGAUGGGAGUCUCCCGGAAUAGUAAGUGUCGGCAAGGCAAAUUUAGAGAAGGGCAAAGGCAUACACUAUACAAGAGAAGUGUUACUAACGUCUUGCAGCGAUGUGUCGAGCCGGCAGAAGGGCAAGAGAUACUCCGAGAUAUUCAUCAGGGAGAGUGCGGUCACCAUGCGUCUUCAAGAACAUUGGUUGGCAAGGCAUUCCGGCACGGUUUCUACUGGCCGAGUGCGAUGCAAGAAGCAGAAGACAUGGUCCGGAAAUGCAAUGGUUGCCAGAGAUAUGCCAGCAAGAUUCACAUGCGGCAUCUGAGCUCAAGACUAUUCCAAUCACUUGGCCAUUUGCUGUUUGUGUUUGGAUAUGGUGGGACCUUUCAAGCGGGCGCGAGGAGGCAUGACACAUUUCUUGGUCAUGGUUGACAAGUUUACUAAAUGGAUUGAAGUGAAGCCGAUACAAAAGUGUGACGGCAAGACUGCGGUAUCAUUCUUAAAGGACAUCAUCUUGAGGUAUGGUUACCCGCACAGUGUCAUCACGGAUAAUGGAACGAACUUUGCGGAAGGACCUUUUGCGUGAUUUCGCGCGGAAAAGAAAAUCCGGCUGGACAUCGCCUCCGUGGCACAUUCUCAAUCCAACGGACAAGUUGAGAGAGCAAACGGCAUGGUUCUAGCCGGCAUAAAACCUAGGUUGAUUGAGCCACUGGAACACACUCUAGGAUGUUGGUUAGAUGAACUCCCAGCUGUGCUAUGGAGUCUUAGGACAACCCCAAAUCGCUCUACAGGCUACACGCCAUUUUUCCAUGUAUACGAGGCGGAAGCUGUCUUACCAGCCCACAUUGAACAUGACUCUCCACGAGUGACCAUUUAUACGGAGGUGAGGUAAAAGAGGCCCGAGAAAAUGAUGUCGACCUGCUCAAAGAAGCAUGGGAAUUGGCUCUAUCUCGGUCAGCCAUCUAUCAACAACACCUAAGGCAUUAUCACAGCCGGAGGGUAAACCCGCGAGUAUUCCGGGAAGGAGACCUCGUGCUCCGACUUGUGCAGCGCACAGCCGGCAUGCUUAAACUAUCACCCCCAUGGGAAGGAUCCUUCAUUGUGAGCAAAGCGCUACACAACAAUUCCUACUAUCUUAUAUAUGCGCAGGAUCCCAAAGCAAACAGGAUGGACAGGUCUGGCGAGGAGACCAAGAGGCCAUGGAAUGUAGCUUUACUUCGUCUGUUUUAUAUUUGAAAGAUGAGUAUUUGUAUCGCUUUUUCCUUUAUGUUGAAUGUUUUGAAAAAAUGAAAUUAUCUGCCGGGUUCUUAAAAAGGACUCGCAGACUCCCAUGCUAUUUAAGUGUUGUAUUGCAUUUACCGUUUUGUAUGUCGGCAUGUCUUAGUUGUGCAAUCUUAUGUCGGUUGAGUAGUCUGUCGGUAUUCAAAAUCCCCUCUAUGACUUCGUUGUUGUGCGCAACGCAGCUUCAUGGCAAGCUAGAGAUUGGGUACGAGAUAACUGAACACAUGAAAAACGAUUGCGGAAACAAACAAAAAAGCGAGCCGAGAUGCGCGUCGUUUUACUUAACUCGGCAUUUCAUUCUUGUCUCGGGUAUUUCCAAGCGAAUUUGUCGAGUUUAAGUUUUUUGAAAGGAUUGUUCUAUGAAUUCGUGAUUCAUACGUCGAACGCCGACAAGGCAGACAAAAGAACCGAAGUCCUAAAAUCACCAACAGAAAAAAUAGACACGGGGACUCGGUUGGGAGAUCGGUAAUUAAAAGACUGAAAUAAAUUAAAAGUAGCUUCAUAGAACAAAAGUGUUUUAACCCGGUUACAUCUGCACCCGGCAUCCCGGGGAUCUGAUAAAUUUAGAGCAUUUUUCCGGCUUGACUAAGAAGAAACAGAAGGAUUGGCGGCGCCGGAACUCGGAGCAUCCGUUGCAGUAGAAGCCGACUCGACGACAAUCUCUUCGUCGACUUCUUCUUCGUCGUCUUCCUCGACCAUCUCCGCAUCUGCUUCUGACACCGGGCCCUCCACAAAUUUAUGCACAUCGGCAUAUUGGAUAAAGGAGUAGGCCCGCUGCUGCCGCUUCGUGAUGAGUUCCGGGUCUGAGAGGAAAGGGGAGCCGACUUGCAUCGACUGCAGCACGUCGAGGUUGAUGCCGUCGUACCAAGAGAGUACAAACGACAAAGCCUCGUCGGCACCGACACAAGCGGCCGAUUCCCGCCACUCGUUCAGCCGGUCCUCCACCUCCAGAAGGCGCUUCGCCAAUUCCGGGAUGCCGGUCGGAGUUUCUUCUCCCGGCCACAACGCUCGGAAGGCCCGGAUGCCGGCGUUGAGCAUGUUUACCCCGAACGACUUCAGAUGCUUAACCCGGCUUGCAAUGCUGACCAAGUAAUCCUCCAAGUCAUAUUCGAAGGGUACUGCCCCAGCUGGAUCCCUCCUUCUACGGGCCUUGAUCACGGCAGCUUGGGCAGUCUCAACAGAAUGUGGGAAAAAUUCUGACAAAGGCAAAAAGAUCGUAAUGAGUCUCGACACUCCAUUGCUGCUUUCGGACAAAUGAUCAGAGGAAGAGACUUGGUCAAGGGCAACUUACUAGUCAGCAUUGCGUCGAUUUUGAUGAGGUCACGCCGGGACACGCUAAGUAGGCGGGCGUUCUCGGCCUUCUCCUUCUCGACAGCAGUGGCGCGAGUCUCGACCUUGGCGACAAGAUCCUUGCAUUUCUGCACUUCGCCUUCUAGGCAGAUCUUCUCGUCAGCUUGGGCGGAGAGAGGCGAGGUAAGUUGACCUACCUCGGUGUUAUGCGCCUCCGCCUGAGCUUCGAGCUGCGCUUUCUGCCGGGCCACUUCGUCCCGGUGCUGCUCUUCUAGCCGAGUUUUCUCAUCUGUUUAGCAGACGUGUGUUAUAGAAGUUUGAGUUUAAGAUGGAUGAAACCUGAGAUAAGGACAAGCCUAUACCUUGUACUUCGGCGACACGCUUCAAGAGCUCAGAUACUUGAACAUUGUCCCCGGCUGUAAACAAGAGCACGUAUCAGUUUUUGCAGUGCAUUAAUACUCGGACAAAUUCUUUAUGUAGGUAAAAAUGUACUUACUCUGGCUCUGGCGCUCGGCUACCAAGGCCUUGUGCUCUGCCGCCAGCUUCUUGUGCUUCGCCAGCAGGACCUUAAAGGUAGCGGUGCGCUUGUUCAUGCAGGUCUGCAAGACAAUAAUCAACAGUUAAUUCUAUUGCAGGGGGAAUAAGUGUUUGAAGUUUCUAAGCUUCAGGCCGACUAUUCUAAAUCCGACCUGAAUCUCGGGGAAUAAGUGUUUGAAGUUUUUAAGCUUCAGGCCGACUAUUCUAAACCCGGCCUGAAUCUCGGGGAAUAAGUGUUUGAAGUUUUUAAGCUAUAGAAGAAGGUCUUGAGCCACUUUUUGCUGGACUCAAGACCUUGGAUCCGAGGAAAGGCUGAGCCUCGGCGGGGUAUCACGGUGGCGGCGCCGCACUGGGUCAUGGGUUUGGCGGCGCCGGGAUUCUCUUUGUCGAGGAGAACUUGGGGCCGGAACAUAAAGUAUUUGGCCCACAAGUCGACGGGAGGCCAGAGGCCGUGAUAGGCCUCACAGCAAGUGACAAACGCCGAGAGUGUGAGGAUAGCGUUUGCCGGAAGAUGGUGCGGCAGAAGGCCAAAGAAGUCUAAGAAUUUCCUAGUGAAAUCACUAGCUAGCAGAGCGAACCCUCGUUCAAAAUGAGCAAGGAAGACGACAUGCUCACCAGAUUCGGGUGCCGACACAGUCUCGUAACCGGGGGUCCGACACUCUACAUCUUCUAGAAUCCGCCGGGAGCGGCGGAGCCACUCGAUGUCUGCCGGGGAGACGUCGGAGCCUUCCUAGCCAGCUUGCUCCGAGCCCGUCUCCUCCUCGGUGUGCUGAGCAGCGAGGUCAACGGUGGCGGCAUCACGGGAAGAAGAAGCCAUUGUUGGAAACUAGAUCUAGGCUUAGCUUCUCCGGCGAAGAGGUGGUGGUGCAAGGCUCAAGCGAGCAAGGAAACGGCGGCAGAGAGUCAAGCGAGGGCGCACGAGGAUAUGGCGACGAGCUCGGUUGCUGGGAGCAAGGAAGCGCACCGGCGGAAGAUCUCGGAGCUAUCGGCAAUGGUGGAGCACGCAAGAAGCAGAGAAGAGCAGAGGAGAGCGAGAAGGUUGGGGGAGUGCGAAGGGUUUUUCUCCCUCGCCCCCUCCCUCUUUUUGUACCCGCAACGCACUAAAGGGGGCGCGGAUCUUUUGCGCCCACGAUGCCUGUGGCCAACGGAUGGGCCGCGCACGAUCAUGGGGGCAAUCAACCCCAUUAACGCGCAAGCGCUCGGUUACCACGCGGCGUGGCUCAGUUAAUCCCGUCGAAUCCGGGAGGAUAAGGAUCCGCGUGGGAACCAAAAUUCCUCUCUUAAUGGCCUAUCAGUUUUACUGUCCGAUGGGACGACGUGCUCGCCUCAAUGGGCGCGCCGGCAGUACUUCGGGUUUUAUCUUUCCGUUAUUUAUGCAGAGUGCAGAGUACAAGCGACAGGUGGCACUAAUGUCGGCAGAAACGAGUUUUUUGUUGUCGGCCAUGUAGGGGAAAAGAAUCUCGACUCAAUGCUGAAUAAGCACGCCAGCUCGGUAUGUCGGAAUAACUUGAUCUCGGCUAAGAGGAACUCGGGGUUGUCUCGGCAUCCUUUUUGGCUAAGCCCUGGUGAGCUUCGGUGGUUCCUGUGUGGGAAGUUGUCGUGGCCCGACAUUCUUCCCUGCCGGACCGCAACAGUUUCGGGGACUAUUAUCGGGGGGAUGACCCCGGAUAAGGUCUUGGCGACACACAUUAGCCGAGAUGACUAUGUUGUCUUAUGAGAUUGCAGGAUAAGGACGGAUACUCUGAUCUCGGUCAGCGCCGAGAUGUCUCAACGGUCUUAUCCUCAUCGCGUGGCGCAAAGUAAAGCAAUGCUAUCUUUAUCGCGGAAAAGCAGUCGCUGCUUACGUUGCGGUGCCAGGCGACUGCGCAAAGAAGCACCGAAAGAGAAUCAGUGAAGGAAGCUGGCAGGCGGCUCCUGUACUUGUUGCAGGGUGCCAGGAAAAGUAAAGUUGUCUUGUCCACAACGGUGCCACCUAGAGGGAACCAAGGCGCGUGCCCGGUGGGGCACAUAGAAGAUAACGUUAGCCCUUGACCCACAUAUCAGUAUGACAUGGGCGAUCCAUAAAUAGAACACUACCCCUUCCAGGAGAGGGAUCCAACACUUAGGCAUCUAGGGUUUACUGCUUCUUCUUCUUCUUCUUCUUCUUCUUCUUCUUCAAGAAUACUGCUCAAGGAGCGCCAUUGUAGAUCUUGUUAUCUCGGCUUAUUAAAAAAAACAAGAGUAGGAGUUUUACAUCUACAAGAGGGCUCCGAAUCUGAGUAAAUCUAUGUGUGCUAGUGUGCUUGUGCGUGUUUUUUUCACGUCCUUUCUCCUCCGGUUCCUCUUUUGUCCAUCGGCCCCAACUUAAACUAUCUUAUGGCAUCUGCUGUGACAUCUAAAAUUUCUGAUAUCUGAUAGCGUCCUAGCAGAGUAACAAUCUGCUAAUCUGCUUUGCUGCCGCCGCAGGCGGGCCUGCGCGCGGUUCACCGUCCUCGACGGGCGGUUGUGUUCCAAUUGCAACUCUGGUUGCCACGGUUGACCGUGCCCACCGUGGAUUAGGAUCUUGGGUUCUGCUUUUGCGACUCUACUCUAUGCUAGCGCCGAUCAGAAUUCAGAAGGAUGCAGACGCACACACAAGACGAUGUAACGAUCUCUGAUUAAAUCGAUCGAUCGGACCAAACCUUCACGUACGCUAACACCCAGACCUCUGCUAAUUGAUUGCGAGCUAGCAGUUGUUCCUAGGGUAGUACUGAACUACUGCAUGUACCAGCUGCGGCACGGCGCCGCGGCGCCAUCGUCACCAGACUCACCGUCAUGCGCGCGCACUCGCCUCUCCUAAUCGGCGUGUCCCAAUUUCUGUGUUGACCUUCGUCACGAUGAUCAUGGCUGUGAUCACGUUGUUAUUUCUACUUUCCUUCGCUAACAUGGAAAUUUAUAGUUUCUACUUUCCUUGGUUAACAUGGAAAUUUCUAGGGAAAAAGAUCUAACGGUUGUGAUCUAGAUGGGACGUUUGAUGUCCUGAUUUAUUUAGAUGCGAUUAUAAAGAUGCAACGGUUGUGAUCUCUCUAUAGAAAAAGGUCCACCCAAUUAAUGUUUUGCUUUUUUGCGAGAUUUUUGAGCCUCUCUAUUUUUUCCGUGGUUGUUCUGUCAUGUACUUUUAGUAUAUAAGACAUUAAUAAGACGCCGUGCAAACGAACCAGUAGCAUCAUCAUGCAUGCAUACAUGUACUAGGCAAAAGUCCAUUGUUUUAAAUGCUUUAACUCUUAAACUGUCAAGUUAAUUUAAGAUAUGUCUUCUCGAUUAAUUUUGUCUCGACGAGAUCUUCGAAACUAGAUCUCAUGUUGACAUGUUUAGACAAAUUUAAUUUUUGUUUUAAAAGUUUCCAUCCAAUAAUCUAUGAAGUUGCCAUCCUGUUAGUAACAAAGUAACACGUUGUAACUUUAUAUAAAAUAUGGUGGCGAUUUGUGUAUCAAAGGUAUUAUCUGAUAAUACGUAAAGUCACCACCCUGUAAUAUAUGAAGUUGCCGCCUUAUUAGUAACAUAAUACCAUGUGUCAACUUUAUAUAAAAUACGGUGACGACUUGUUUAUCAAAGGUACCAUCCGAUAAUACGUAAAGUCACCGCCCAAUAAUAUAUGAAGUUGCCACCUUAUUCAUAAAUAUUACCAUGUGGCAACUUUAUAUAAAAUACGGUGGCGAUUUGUGUAUCAAAAAGGUAUCCGAUAAUAUAUGAAGUUGCCACGUUAUUCGUAACAACUUACCACGUCGUAAUUUCAUACAGUAUAAAAUAGGAUGGCGAUUUGUGCAUCAAAGUUGUCAUCCGAUAAUAAUGUAAAGUUGCCAUCCAAUAAAAUAUGAAAUAUUAAUGUGUUAGUAAUAAAUUAGCACGUGGUAACUUUGUACGAAACAUUUUGACUCUUAAAAUAACUAGUAUGUAUAUAAUAUGCACUCACACGCUAGUUGCCAACAUAAAAUAAAAAUUACAUGCAAAGAGACAAAAGAGACAGUGCAUGCAAGCUGCAGGCUGUUCGCGCAGGCAGCUGAAUACAAUUCCUGAGUAGCAAAGGGGAAAAAAAAUCAUGCGUGCAAGCCACGCAAGUGCAACAGCAGCAGCAGUCAGCAUUGGCAGUAGCCCACUAGCGCUCGAUCGAGCGCGUCGCCCAGCCAGACAAGAGCGCGGACGUACGCGCGACAUAUUUUCCGUUUAGGUUUUUAGACAUCAAUCUGAUUAUAUGAAUUCACGUGAUUUAGUUUUCCAACAAUUUAAUUUUGUCUCUACUAAUUAUAUAUAAAGUCACCAACAUAUUCUUUUCAACGUCCACCUCACUAAACGUACACAGAUUAUUUAUAGUCCACAAUCAGACUUACUGAACACAGAUUACUUUUUAACCGUGUGCGUUUAGUAAUUACUCCCGGAGGCUGAAUUCCACAAAGCAUGAGAUAAGGUUGCACCGUCUGCUCUCUCGCAAGGAACACACCGGAUCCUCGCGCACCCCCGCUGCUUAUCAAGCCGGACUCCUUGCGCCCGCUCAAAUCUUCUCGCUGCUGCCGCCGAACUCCUACUCCUCCUGCCCCGUCGCCUCGCGGGCCUCGCACCGUCCUAUCCCUUGCCCCGUCGCCGCCCGUCCCCAUGCCCUUGUCGCGCUCCCCUGCCCGCCUGCCCUAUCCAUCAGUCAGCCUGGCAGGAGAAAAUCAGGCUCGUCCUCCGUCAAUGGCCAGUGCGCCUGGCCGCCGUUUCCGGCCAACUCCGCCGCCCCGCAUGCUCCACCCCAGGCAACGCCGCUGCUCGCCGUCAUUGCCGCCCCGCCCCAGGCGCCCUGUCCCGCCGUCGUGCGCCACGGCGACCAGGCCGCGGUCGUAGCACUCCCGCACCCCGCCCCACGCGCCCUGUCCCGCCGUCGAGCGCCCCGGUGCCCCGGCCGCGGUAGCCCUUCUGCGACCUCCGUCCCCCGGGCGCCACGCCGCUGCCCCACCGCUGCUCAUCACGACAUCACACCGAGGCCGCGUUAGAGGUUAGUGCUUCAAUCUCAUAUGAUUUGUUCCAUUGCGUUGUAUCCGUGUAGGUCUUUUCCAGCCCGAGGAGUAUAUUUAUUUGUAUUUUUUGUGAGAUAUUUGUAUUUUAUGAUGCAGAAAAUUAAGCAUGAGUUGAUACAUAUGCCCUACGAGUUAUGGGCUUAGGUUUUGUGUCAGUACCCCAAAAUAAACUAUGCGGAUCUUAAAGGCAAAAGUUAUAAGUGAUUAUGGAGAAUUCUGUACUAUAGACGGGAGCUAUAAGUCCCUAUCUGUUUACUACAAAUGAAUUGUGGUCUGUAUUUUAAAUACAUAGAUGAACCAAUGUCUGUAAAAAGCUUCUAGAUAUUCUUAAAUAAGGAGUAGAAACUUAUGACUCAAUGUACAUCCUCCACAUUCUUACAUUGGCAUACAUUGUUUGGUACUGUGCAUUCUUUCUCAGUUGUUCAGUUAGCUUGAACUACAUAAAUCCUUGGCUCUGUGCUGCUGCUGCUACUGUUAACAUGCACCGGAGAUGAUGAAAAUAUGGGAAGACAAUCCAAAAUACCUAUUGUCUCUUCGAAGGAAAAGAUCAAAGAGAGGGAAAAAAGUGAACGAAUAUAUAUCUUAUUUCCCACAAAUUUUAUGAUCUGAGGUUAAAUCAUAGUAUAGAUGUCCAUCUUAUUACAGACAUAUAUAAGAAAUAAUUAGAAGAGUUUUUUUAUGGCCGUGACCGAGCAUGCAUAUUCUUUUAGCUUAGACAUAUAAAUUAUCGAUGUUGCUGGUCUUUCUCAUGUAUGGGGUUGUAUAUCUGCAAGCAAGGAGAUGGCUGACCAUUUCUGCUGUGUUGCAGGUGCAGUUGUCCGUUCUUGUGAUGGAACUAUCUUUGAUGAUGAUUCAACACCGCUUGUUUGUUGUCAUACUUGGAUGAAUAUCUCUGACAGUUGGAAUUUGUUUUCAUGUUUGGCUUCAGUUAUGCGAAGGACAAGUGUUACUAUUAUACAUGGAUUGACAAGAAUGGCAAAUAAUCAUGGCUACUACUUACAAAGUUACAAACCAUAUUUUGGUGUUGGUCUGGGACCUUUGUUGGUAGCUUUGCACUUCUAAAUGAAACUUGGAUGGAUUUUGUCUGCCAGCCAUAUUAAAACAGUUUGUUGACUGUGCCACCAAUUAUUUAUUAUUGGGCUUAUGAAAUGUCAGUUAAAAUUAUAUUACAAUCGUCAUAAGAGUAUGAUGGAACAAUACAGACUAAAGUUGAGGAUAGCACAUCGUGAAAGAGUUGAUGUUGAACUGGGUUUCAGGUGACAACAGGUGAUUAUUUUGAGCUACAACUCUUUUUUAUUUUCGAGCUAACCGUAAAUAUUGAUGUAUUUUGUAAUGGAAUCUUCAUUGGUGUUACAUGCCUCAACACACAUAAGAGGCCUCUCCAACUAUCUCUUGUUACUCUCCAUAUGUUGCUCCGUAAUAUGGAAAAGAAAAUUGUACAGCUUAAAGCUACUACAAGAAAGACCAUCGAGUUGCAGCUUUCUAACAAAGUAUGUUUCUAACCAACAUGAAAAUAUAUAUCAAUACUAAUACUGUACUAACAUUUAGAUCCAAUGAAUUUAAGGCGAAUGACCAGCUUGGUCAGUGGUUAGUCCACCGUGCGUUGCACGGGCACACUAACUAGUUAGUUUAAUGAAAAACAACAAUACAUCAAGUUACCACCUCUAGCCGGUGGCUGAUGUAGGAUUAAAUGGGGUGCCAAACUAAAUGUUCAUAGUUCAAAUUACAUUUACACGUAUUUUUAACAGAUGUAUGCACUCCCUCCGUAGUAGAAUUAGAUUGAUGACUACAAGGUUAAAAAAUCUCCAAUUUUCCGGGGGUGCCAUGUGCACCUGUAGCUCCAUGCAUUCAAGAUCCCAUCGCUUGUAAUAUUGUGUAAUUUGUAAAGCUUUACUCCCAUGGGUUGGGUUUGAAUCAUAGAAACAUAACUGCAUAAGAUCUACUGGCUAUACUAUAUAUCUUGAUUUCCUACUCGACGAACUAGGUUACUAACAUACAACAAAUCCAAGACUCUGAAAGCAUGUCCUAGUAGACUAGCAGCAGCCCAGUGCUCUUUCCUUACUUCAAUUUCAAUUUUUCGAACUCCCUGUCCCAGUUAAGACCAGACAUUUGCCGUCCAAAGGGUACUAUAAGAUUGUAUCGGAAAACCUGCAAAAGGAGAAUCCCAGCAAAAUGACACCACAAAAUUAGUUAGCCAUUUUGAAGCAUUGACUAUACAUGUGAGACCUGGUAUGGAGCAGUACCUUGUCGUUUAUUUGGCGAAUUUUCUCCUGUAGAGCCCUGCGAUCAUCGUGCCAGGUAGAACCAUUUUGUUCACAGCGGUUUGCCCAAGCCUUCCUCAACACUGACCUCCAUCUCGCAAUCAUUCCACGGAUUUCCUUGUUAAGCUCUACCCAUUCUGGUGCACAACCAUUCUUCGAAAGUAUCCUGUAAAGGGUGUCUUCUGCAGGAUCUGCGUGAGGAUUUGUGGUGAGGUUCUGGGGCCUGCCCUUCCCAGGUAGGUUUUCAAAGUGCCCUUCCUCCAUUGAAUGCCAUAUUCUUUGUUCCACAACGUUCACUAUGUCAGUCUCAGAUCUGCAAAAUAGCAAGGAAGUUCCUAAUUAGGAACAAUCAAGAGUCCACAUGAUCGGUGAGACAGUAAUGCGCAGGCACCAAUGAGAAAAAAACCUAACCAACUGUCCAGUCUGAAGAAUUGCAUAUUGUUAUCAGCAUCGAUUUAUACAGGCCAAGAGAUUUGAAUGCAGUACUCCACCAAUGAUUGUCUAGGCUGUAGUGUGCACACGGAUAAUUAAACUGAGAGAUCGACAGACAAAUUACAGACAUCAGACAACUGGAUGUGUAUAUAGGGCCUUCAACAGCUGAACCAUCCUAAUCACUACACUGGGCUUGGCUCAGAACUUCCUGGGUUCAACAGUCCAAUAAAACGUUCAGAACAAAACCCAUGUUUUAUUACCACCAAGGAAAAAUGAUUACCUUAACUAUUACCAUUGACUAGAGAUUUCUUUCUAAUCAACGUUGAACAUCAUAUAGACGUUGGAGAGGCCUGAGGAUAUACAGCAUCCAAAUAGUGACCCACAAUUUGGUCAUCAUCACCCAGCCACAGAGGCAGCUUUGAGUGACAAUAUGUUAAGGACGGCAAACAUACAUAGCCAUAUUGUCAGAAUCUUAUGAGUAAACCACUAUGCUUUUGAGUAGAACAAAGAGUUCCACCGCAUGUACUCCAAAUCUGGAGGGUUACUGAAUAGGUUCACAGUUUAACAUGCUGACUUCAGAUGCUAAAAAAACUAAACUCAGGAAAACGCCAAGAUAUACCGAGGUAGUUAAGUUUCCAUGAGAGGUUAAUUGUUGUUGUUGACAUACUGAGCAUAAAUACAAAACUAUGAAGAUACCGCACUAUAAUGUAUAUCUGGUUAACCUCCGAUCCUAAAUUCUUGUUGUUUUAGUUCAAAUUUGAACUAAACAAUGACAACUAUUUAGGAUCGGAGGAAUACAAAAUAGAUCAAGUAAGUGACACAAACAUUAUUUUCCAUGUUUGGCAUGGUAGUUCUACUUCUAUUUGUCAGUUGAAACUGCAUUAUAGUUGUUGUUCUUACAAAACGUUAACCGUGUAAACUGUGUGAUAAGUGAACAUGCCUACAUAACCCCAGGAAACAAAUUUAUAUCAUAACUGAUAUAUAGCUAUCUAAUUGCAUAAAACUACCUCAGCGUAUCAUAUUUUUGCAGUACACUUACGUAACCAACAACAAUAAAUUGGCUGCAUUUGACACAAGUAUGCCUUCAUACUAAAUACUAUCACAGACUACAGAUGCAUAAAGGGAGCAUGCACAAUUGAACUACGUUGAUCAGUAUAGUGGGAAAAGUUCAGUUCCCCUUGGCUUCAACAGGUCAAUGAGACGUUCUAGAAACGAUCACAUUAUCACCUAGGGGAUGAAUUUUGAACAUGUCACAUCUUCAUGGAUGAUACCGCCGACAAUUUAACACAGAUAAAAGACCAAAAGUUUAUUACCGCCAGCUAGAGAUUGUUUCGAUGUUACACGCCGUCUGAAGUUGGAUAGGCUCUGAACAAAAGCAGCACCCAACCUAGUUUUGUUUUGCUGGUGAAGCAGCCAACAUCAUGAGCAGACAUUUGACCAUCAUUGCGAAGGCCCUGGAGGCAGCUUUCAGCAAUAGCAUCACAAGGACCAUAAAACCAUAUGCUUUGAGUAGAACAAAUGAGUUUCUCCCCAUGCACCUAGAUCUGGAUGGUAAUUGAACAGUUUUGAAAGAAUAUUCAAACUUGAACAAGCUGGAUUUUAGAAUUUCUUGUGGAUUUAGCUCACACACAAGGCGUUGGAGUUGUUGAAUAGUUUUGAAAGAACAGUUGAACAUGCUGGCUUUACAAUUGCAUAUUGAUUUAGCUCACACGACAAGAUGUUGGAGCUAGUUAAAUUUCCCACGUAGGUGUGGCAAAGCAGUUUUGGUGCAUGGUCUCUGCCUUCUUUAGGCAGCUAGGUCACUGUUUUGAGUCUAUUGCUGAGCUUUGGAUUGCUAAUAAAAAGUUGUCUGUCCUUCACUUGUCUGUGCUACAGUUCUUUGGAGCAUUUGGACAUUUCACAAUAGUAUAAUAUUGAAUAAUCAGUUAUGGUUGUCUGUUAAACAGAUCUGGUGUUUGAUCCUGCAGUCGCUCAGGAAAUGGUCACAACUGUUCAAGGAUUGCAUGCUGGACAGUAUGCACAGCUUCAGCCGAGCAGUUUCCCAGAUUUUGGGGGCACCUUUGGCGCUGGCCUGGAGCCCUGGAGCUGAGGAAGGCAAGUCCUUGCCAUUCUCAAUCACCUGUUCUGUUUUCAAGUUCGCCAUCUUCUGUUGUUGCUGUUUCAACAUCGGAACCUCCGGUGAAGACUGCGGCUGACCGCAGCCCCUACUCUGUCCUCGACUGUGCCCCGACUCCCUCUGAGCUGCUGCAGCGAGACCUGCUCAGGAACAAGCUGGGGUUGGUGGUUCGGCGCUUUUCUGAAGGCGCCGGCAAGCUUCAGUUUUUGAGCCGGAUGUUUGUUCCACUGCAUUUUCAGUUUGUUUUUCAGUUUAUCUUCAGACUGCGGUUACAGCUGAGUAGACUUGUUUACCUUUUCUGGUUACACUCUGAGGGCCUCCUGUCGUUCUAAAAACUACGACGUAGGUCAGGUAAUCGUUGCAAAGACUAAUUUACGUGCUUGGCCGAUCUGUUUGUCAGUUGUUCAAAGUGAAGUAUAUUGUUCCCUCAAAAAAAAAAAAGAAGUGAAGUAUAUUGUUCUUCUCACAACUUAUACUCUCACAGCGUAACCGUGUAAGAUGUUUGGUUGCGUAAAUGGCUUCAUAAAACUUGGAAAGUAACAUAAACUUACCAGAGGUGAUCUGAUUGCAGGAAAUAUCCAAGCCUUUGAGGCGGAAAGGGGGUGAGGAUACCUGACGGCGUUGGGGCGGCCGCGGAGCUCGGGAGGGAGCUUCCGUUCGUUUACGGCGUCCCUCACGUCCGCGAGGCGGUGCUCGGAUGACGAAGGCAGCUUCUUCUUCUUCUCCGGCGACGGCGACGGGGACGCUGCGGCGGAGGCCUCCGGGUC